Molecule: long non-coding RNA, 154766 nt
Filed under: Cucumis sativus (cucumber)
Lineage: Eukaryota; Viridiplantae; Streptophyta; Magnoliopsida; Cucurbitales; Cucurbitaceae
Description: long non-coding RNA (CSAT_LNC001726)
Rfam family: Bacterial small subunit ribosomal RNA (bases 39519-39707)
Source: RNAcentral
UUUUUUUUUUUUUUUUGUAAAAUGACAAAUAAAAAAGGUGUAAUUAUCUUAAAAUUGAAAUAAUUAGGAUUCAAAUUAAUUGACAGAUGAAAAUGAAAAUGAAAUUUUUUUGGAGUUAUUAUCUUUUCAGUUAUUUAUUAGUUAUUAUCUAUUUAUCCUCCACAUAAUAAUUCACAAUUUUCCAAAAAAAUGAAAACAAUUAAAUUAGAGAGAGAGAGAGAGAGAGAGGAAAGAAAACAAUAAAUUAAAUUCCAUUAACAUGAAUGUGUUAUAAAAAAGAGGGGGGAAAAGGGAAUUGGAGAAGAACGAGGAUGAUGGAGAGAUCGGCGUAAGAAAAUUGUUUCGGUCGCCGAUAAAAUCCAGACCCCGUUACUCGAUAAUUCUUCGUUUCAAACCCCAAUUAACAAACCCUUUUGUUUUUUCUUUUCUUAAAAGAUUCUGACGAUUGAUUUCCCAUUUCGUUCUGUUUUGUAGGUAAUGAAUUGUGCUCCUUCUAAUUCUCGCUUUUGGGUUUCUUAAGCUUUUUUCUUUUUGACCAGAUUAGUUUGGGUUGAAUCUUAUGUGUUGUUUGAUUUUGAUUUCAGAGAGACGGAGGAGAAGAAAAGAAGUGGUGGGUUUGGGGAAAAUGUUGUGCAGAAUUGCUUUGAUGUCGAAGAAGAAGAAGAGUGGAACAGUGCCGGUUUAUUUGAAUGUGUAUGAUUUAACACCCAUCAACGGCUACGCGUAUUGGCUUGGUCUUGGGGUUUACCAUUCCGGUGUGCAAGGUUAGCAAAUUGUGGCGUUUUUUUUUUCCUUCUGUGUUUCUGUUUUUCCCUUUUUGGGUUUUGUUAGAGGAGAUGAGGAGGAUUUGGGUCUUUUAUAAAUGAAUUUUUCCACUCGAAAGGGUUUGUUUUUUUUGAAGAAUUUUUCUUGAUUAUCCGUUGGGGUUUCCUACAGAUCUGAGGUUGAAUUCGUUUUAUUUUUGAGUGAAAUUUGCGGUACUUGAGAAACUAGAGGAACAUAAGGGGGCUUUAUGGUUGUGUUGUGAAGUUUUCUGGUUUUGGUUGUGGAUUUAUGUCUGUGAAAUAUGAUUCUGUAAUGUGUAGCUUGAUUUGGCUGUGAUUUUGAUGACUGAUGUGUUGAAAAAUUUUGAGUUCCUGCAUUUUUCUUUGAUUCUAAUUGUUUAUAUGAUUUUCUAUUGACCUUAAUCUAUAACGUUUUGUGUUUGACCUUUUCAAGAGAUUUUGGAUUGAUGACUUAAGCAGUCCAUAUUUUUCUUUGAUUAAAGUCCAAAAGAAAUCUCCCGUGUAUCCAGUUUGUUUAAUUUAUAUUAUCAAGUAGUGCAGGGUGUUCCAAAUUCAAAUAUCUUAAUAAAAGAAUCUUUUUUGCAGUUCACGGAGUUGAAUAUGCAUUUGGAGCACAUGAACAUGCAACUUCAGGUAUAUUUGAGGUAGAACCAAGACAAUGUCCUGGUUUUACAUUUAGGAAAUCAAUUUGCAUUGGAAGAACGAAUCUUGGUCCGAAAGACGUUCGCUCGUUUAUGGAGAAACUAGCUGAAGAGUACUCCGGGAACACUUAUCAUCUUAUAACAAGGAAUUGCAACCACUUUUGCAAUGAUGUAUGUAUAAGGUUGGCAGGGAAACCGAUCCCUAGCUGGGUCAACCGACUUGCUCGACUUGGUAAGAGCGCGGAUUAUAUUCCCAGUUUAACCAUUUUCUUCUUUAUAAUCAUAUUUUGUUCUAUGUUCAAAUUUGGUAACCAAGCUUCCUGCUUUUUACUUGUUGACUGUGCCUUGUCAUAGAGAAGUGAAAGUUUUCAUUCAACGGAGAAAAACCAGUUUACAAUGAUAACAUAACCACUGUGUUUCUGUGGCUUCUCCCUGCAUAAUUAAGAAAGUUUGACAUGACUCAUAACGUUACGACUUUGAGUGUUUCAUUUGUUCCCUCAACUGCCUUCUGCACAUCUCUGAGAUUGGAACUUACAACAAUUUUGUGAUUUUAAUUUUGAUCUAUGUUUUUGGUUUCCAGGUCUUUUCUGCAACUGCGUUCUUCCAGCGAGUUUGAACGAAGCAAAGGUUCGACAAGUAAGAUCAGGAGAUAAGCUUAACGAAGGUGUAAAGAAGAAAUUGAAAAGCCAACCAAUUAGGUACAAUAAUACAUCUUCUUCUAACCCUCCACGACCACCCUUGUCUUCCAAUCCUCCAACUUCAUCAACCAUCAAAGUAAGUAGACAAAAACGAUGUAUCCCAUCAGCAUCCUCGGCGAUUCAUUCUUCAGCAUCUACGACCCUGACUGUAAAGCUGUAAAAGUAAUUGGUUUCCUGUCGUUUAUAGGGUAUUUAAGAGUUUAAUUAACAACAGAAGAAGAAGAAGACAGGCAAAAUAGCAUAAUUUUCCAUUUUGCCUUUCUACUACUAAUCCCAAAGAAAGAAAGAAAGAAAAAAGAAGGAGAAUGGUGUUGGAGCAAAUUUUGUGUUGAAUUGAAGUGUGUUGUGUGUUGAACUGCUGAACGAAUCAUAUUACCAACUAUGAUAUUGAUUCUGAUAUUUAUCGAUUCAAAAUUAUGUAUAGAUUAGAAAAAACAGUGAUUUUUUAGGAAGUGGGAAAAAGAAUGGAAUGAAGAAGAAGAAAGAAGAAAGAAGAAAGAAGAGGGAUUGUAUCAAAACAUGUCAACUCAAGUGGAGACGGCAUUAAUGGAAGUGGGUAUGGUGGGGACUUAGGUGGUGGAAACUCCAUCCUCAUCUUCAUUCCAUUCACUUUCAUUUAACCAUUGGUAGUUUCUAUAUGGACCCAAAGUCUGAAAUUUAUAUAUAUAUAUAAUUAUAAUUAUAAUUUUAUAUUAUUAUAUAUCUCUCAAUGCGAAUGGUAAAAUAUAAACUGAAAUGGCAGCCGUCUUGUCUUGAGUCUUCCUCCUUUGAAUGGGUUAGAACUGAUAAUAUUUGGCUCUUUUGAAAGGGUUUGAAAGUUUUCAGGCAUAUAAUCAAUACUUGAAUUGUGUAGAAGUAUUAAUUAUGAAGAAACUUGAAUUUGUGUGCUUUGUAUCAGGUGUAUAGUGUCUUCCAUGUUCAAUGAGAUUAGUAAAUUUCUAUAUAAACAUAGUAACAUCUAAGAGUUGUGGUUGUCGUUUCUGAUUAUAAUAGGAUGUUAGGUAAUGGAAGUACGAACAGAAAGCGUUAUUAAAUACAACUAAGGGUUGUGGUUGUGGUUGUGAUCGUUUUUUUUUAUUAUACUAGGACGUUAGGUAAGAACAUGAGUAAAAGAAUAACGUUCUUAUCGACCAUCGGGUUUCCAAUGCUUGAUUAUUCAAAUCUAAUUCAACUAAGAGUAGCAAUUGUGUGGACAACAUGAUAGCUUUUUUAUUCUGUGGUAUUAUUAUAAGAAGUUAGGUAAGUGUAGAAGUAGUAGAAUUGAAUGGUUUUUGAGUCAAAUGUUGGAAGCCUUUGUUUGAAAGGUUUUUUUUAAAUUAAUUUAUUUUGACGUCAACGAAAUUAAGAAACUAUUAUUUUGUAUGAUUGAGAAUUGGACAAAUAUUAUUCUCGAACUAUAUACUAAAUUUAUUGAAUGCUUAAAUUAAAUCUUAAUGUUAUAAAUAGGAUUUUGGUCAAAUUUGGCCAACGUGGAUUUGUAACUAAUUUAUUGGUUUGUUUAAAGAUAUAUUAUUCUAACCAUUCACGACUCUUUAUCAAAGAUGAAUUCAUCAAAUAAUAAUUUCGAUUAACAGAAUUAUAAUGAAAUUUAGAUCAUAUAAAUUAUAAUAUAGUUAACUAUAAGGGAAAUUGUAAAUUAAAUAUUAGUAAGAAAAAAAAUUGAAUUCAGUUCUUAAUUUUCAACACGAAUUUUCCUUCCUUUUCUUUUCAUCCUCUCCUUCCCUGCCUCUUCUCUCCUGCAAUUUUUUAAAAUAUAAACUAGUACAAAUAUUUUUUAAAACACUCCUAAUUUUAAAGGUGAUUGCAAAAAUAGCAAAAAAAAAAAAAAAAAUUAUGAUAAUAAAACUUAUGUCACUACAUUUUUUAAUUGUAAAAUUAACAAAUUUAAGAGUACAUACCCGUUUUGAUAUAUUUGAUAUAUUUAGUAUGUAGGUUAUUUUUAAUCAUCAGAUCCGAUUUUCCCUUAAAUUGAAGAUAUUUUUAUGAAAGCAUAAGUAGUAUUUGUUGGGUUUUUAUUAAACUAAAAGAAAUUAAUUUUAACUUUUAACCAUUUUUUCUAAAAGAGAGAAGGAAGAGUUGAAAGACACGUAGGCACUCGUACUCCUUGGCUUCAUCCUUCGGGCAUAUGCUUUUACAAAAAAGGUGGGGAUAAAAUAAAACAAUAAUAACAAAAUUAAUGCUUUUUGACGAAAUUAAAAAGCAGUAGAGAAAAAUAUGUCUACUCCUUCACGGAAUUGACUGUACCUUCAAUUUUCACAUUCACAAUUUCUUAAUAAAUAUCCAAAAAAAAAAAAAAAUUGAAAUCAUUUUUAAAAGUACAGAAAUAAAUUUUACUAUAUAGUUUCAAUUUUUCUACUAUGUUGCCUGGAGGAUUAUUGAUAUGAUACGUGUUAUAUCUUGAAAUUUUUUUAAUUAAAAUUUUAGGCUUCCAAUUAAUACUGUUGCAAGUUGAAUGAUGUAAUUGCAACUAUUAUGAGUCUAGUUUAUGUCAUUUUUUCAAAGCUUUUGAAAAUUGUACAUGCAAUCAAUCAUAAAGUAAUUCUAACUAUGAGUCCAAAUUAAUUUACUUGUCAAACUUUAUUUUUAAUAAGUAAAAUUAUAAGUGUCAGGCUAUUAUUAAUUAAAUAUAUAGUAACGUUUUAAAGGGUUACAAAUAUAAUGAAAUUCUAACGAGUUUGUUGUAUGAUUUGCGUCUCAAAACUUUUUCUUUUCCCCUCUUUUUAUGGGGUUCGUCAGUUUCCCCCAUCUGCUGCUUCUUCUUCUGCUUCUUCACUGUUCCCAACGGAACUUUAAUGGAAUCUAUCAUCUCCCUCUUUCAGCUUCAAUUUCAUUACACAUUUUUACCUGUCCCCCAUUCAAACAGGAAAACGACACAGACCCCAUUACCACUUUUGUCCUCUCCUCCCCUAAUUUUCUAAAUUCACUCAACAGAAUCCAAAGCUAAAAUUUCAUUCGUAUUCUUUAAGGUAACAGAUUAAACAGAGGAUUUUGGGAGACGCAAAUGAAUCUAAUGUAAUGUAAAUGAACGAUUUCUUGUAAUUUUGUAGCAAUGGUUGUGUUGAUUUCACCUUCUCCAAGCGUAUAUUAGUAGAGAAAAUCCCAACGGUGCUCCAAUUUGAUCGCUAUCUUCACUGUUAGCCCACUCCAUAACUGAGGAACUGGCUCCGGCGGAUGAUCCGACCGACGACGUCGACGUUGAAAAGGAUAUUGAUGAUGAGGAUAAGCUAUUUCUCAUCCUUCUCCACUCUAAUUCGUUCAAUCCCAGGUUCCAGUUCUGCUGUUGAUUGCUGCUCUGUUCUUCGUUUUCCUCUUCGAAUCUGAACAUAAACACUGCAUUUCCUCUGCUUUCUUUCUCCAAUUCGAAAACCCAAUUGUAUACAUCCCAAUAUACAUCCAUUGGAACUCCAGCGACUUCGAUUCUUUCAUUCCCUCUAAACUUCCAUUUCAGCCGCUUGAUUUCUAGAACCCUUUUUCCGUCAACACUAAACGACAGUCCCAAAUCGUCGUCGUUGUAGUUGGAGAAACCGCAAUCGAUUUGGAUUUCUCGGAUUUGACCAGCGAAUUUCGCUUUCGUGGUGUAGACUUUGUGGGCGGUUACAUGUUCCCUUUUGAGAAUUAGGGUUUGGAGAACUUGGGGUGGUUUCGCCGCUCUGAUCUUCUUGGAGGCUUCUUUUACCAUAUCGCCGACGAGAAGCGUCAUUUCUCCGUCCACAACGACGGCGAUGAAAAAUCCAGAACAGGGUUCAGGCGAGGAGGAGGAGAAACGGGCUCGGCGAAGAUCCCAGAAGACAUGGAUACUGUCAGAAAGCUUCUCAGAGCCAUGUUUCUUCCAUGGAAUUAAAGGUCUGAUAAGAAGGCGAAAAGAGAUUGAAGAAGAAGAAGAAGAAAAAGAAGAAGAAGAAGGAUUUUGAGGUGAAUCAAAGGGAUGAGGGUUUUGGAGAAAGUGGAGAAGAAGAGAAUGGGAUAAGAGAGAUUGAGACCAAGAAAGGGAAAAAAGGGCGAAAUUGGUGUGGUAAAUGCAGGUGGUGAGAUUGGGGCAGCCGGAAAUGGAAAGCGAAGACCGACGGCGGCGGAGGCGGGCGGAGGAUGGGCGGAAACAGGAAGAGAAACCGGGCGUCAUUGGAGGGGAAAUUUGAGAAGUGAAAUUUACAAAGAGAUGAAUUCCCCCGUCGCUGCCGUUGCUUUUUAAACUUUCUUAUUAUACGUUUUCUUUAUUUACAACUUAUUAUUAUUUAUAUUCUUUUAAAAUUAUGGAGUAGUUUUAUUUUAUUUUAUUUAUUUAUUAUGAUUUUGACCUUCUUUUCCUUCCAAUUUAAAAUGUCAAUUUCAAUCGAAUUGUCGUACUUUUAAUUGAAUAAAAAUCUCCAUAAAAAUAAUAUUGAUAGUUUAACUCAACUAACAAUGUAUGUACUUGAAUAUUUAAUACAUCUUAUUUGAAGUCAUGAUCAGAGGUCUAACCCUACUUCGUUAAAAUAUAACACUUCAAAAUUAAUAUUAAAAUACAAAUUUUGAUUAUCGAUGGUCGUAAUAUGUUAACUUAAAAGUUUCAUUUGUAUUUUUUUUUUUUUGUUUGUUGAGCGGUGUUGGUUUGACGUGUGACAUGAGAGAUUUGAUAAUUUAACCAAAUGAUAUAAUAUAAUAUCUUUUAAGUAACUAAUGGUUGAAGUUCAUUGGUUUAGUUGACCCUCUUUGUUAUAUGUGUGGACAUAUAUAUACACAUAAUUCUAUCUUAAAUUGUAAAGUUUAUAAAUGAAAUUAUUUAACCCAUGUAAAAAAAUUGCUAGGUAACUUUUGAUUAAUUUGAAAUAUGGGUAGACAAAAUUUAUUUGAUUGGCUCAAUAUUAUGAAAGGGAAAUGGAUGGAAAUUUAAAGUUACAAAAGAAGAGAAGAAAGUCAAGAAAAAAGAAAGCAUAGAAUAUAAUAGAAAUUGGGAGUCGUACUUUAGAACUUUAUUCCUAUUGGAAAAAGGCCAAAGGAAACCAACAAGAAACGUGUUAGAAUGGUCGUUUCAUGUGUAUAUACUUUUACCGUUAAUUAUAGAAAAAAAAUUGCAUCAAAUGAUAAAAACAUUUAUAAAAAUAAGUACUUGACAUAAAAAAAAAAAAAUUCAUAUUACGAGUAUGUCACAAAUAUUAAUAUUGAACUAUGUUAUCAUAAAUAUUUUUUGCUAUUUUUGCAAAAAUCUCACUGGGUAAUGUUUUUUUCUUUAAUAGAAAAAGAUUUAAUAUAACAAAGAAUUUGGAAUUAUUUAUAAUCUAAACCAAAAUUAUUAAAUUCUAUAUAGUUGAUUGAGUUUUUUUCUUCGUGUGUAUUUUAUAAAUAGUUUCAUCUUUUUCUUUCAUAUUUACGAUAAUUUAUCUAAUAAUUAAGUAUAUAAUCAACAUUUAUUUUUUAAAAAAAUACAACUAUAGUAAAAUCUACUAAUAAUAAACUUCUAUCACUUAUAGAUUCUUAUCGUUUGUCACAUAUCAAUAAUUUGCAUCAUGAUUUAUUAAUGAUAGACUUCGGCAAAUUUUACUAUUUUUAUAAAUUUUUUGAUAUAUUAUAGUAUACGCUAAUAUUUUAAAUCUCGACAAAUAAUUGAUUCAUAUAUAUUUAACUAUCUUCAAAGAAGUUGAACGUUUGGUUCAUUUUUUAUUUAUUUUUGUUGACGUUGAAUUUUAAAAUUAUGUAUAUAACAAAAUAAAUGAAAGGUCCAUAUCGCCCUCUAAAACUAUAUUAAUCCUCAAUUUUAUUAUUAAUUGAAUUUAGUCUUAGCUUAAACAAAUCAUUGUCAUGUCACACCACCCAACUAUAAGUCAAAAUUUAUAAAAUAAAAUUGAUACAACAUGUCUGGUUGAAACAUUAUACUAAUAGUACUGACUAUAAUAUUAAACUAAACAUAUUGUUUAAUGUUCAACAUUUAUUAAAGUAUUGUUUAAUGUUCACUAUUUAUUAAAGUAUUGUUUAACAUCGAUCUUAAUUUUUAUAUAUCUAGAACGAUAUGAAGACGGUUAUUCACAAAAAGUAAUAAACAAUAUCGAUAUACGACAAUUUUUUUAAAAAAAAGUAAGAGAUUCGACGACACUUGAUUUUGACACAUGCUAUGAUUGUGUAAAUAUGUUAUGUGGUAAUAAAUGGUUGAAGAGCUUUAUGGCUACCAAGAGGGGAAGAAAAUUCAAAGUAGGUAUUAAUAUAAAGUCACAUUGACUUAAUUAUAGGAAGCAAGAAUUAUUGAUGUUAUUAAACUUUGGGUCACUUAUAGAUACAUUCAAUAGGACACAUUUAGUUCCAACGUUUUUUAACCAGAGUUGACUUCAACCAAAAAAAAAUUGUAUUUGAUUUUUCAAUUAUAAAAUUUAUAUUUUUUUAGUUUUUCUUCUACUCAAUAAAAAAAAAUCUCUUGAGUAAAUUAAUUUAUGAAUAGGUAGUCACCUGAUAACUUCUUAAUUAGUUAGUGAGACUAUUUAUAGUUGAUGGUUAAUAUCUUUAUUGUUAGGAGGAUAAUAAUUGAUUUAGGAGAUCGAGUAUUGUUAAAAUAAUAGAAACCAUAAUUUUUAAUUUUUUAAAAAAUCUUACAUAUUGAAUAAUUUAAAAUAUGGAUAUAGCGUGUUUCGUUUUUGCACGUUGAAUUGAUUAAUGCGAUAAUCUAUAAAAUAAUUUAAAUCAACUCAAAUUUAUUAUUAUUUUAAAAAUUAUUUUUCAUUUAUUUAUGAUGCCCUAUAUGCCUACAUUUAUUUUUUAUUUUAUUUUAUGUUUAUAAUUUUUUGAAAGUUUUGUUUUCCAAUAACUCUUGAAAGAAAAUACUUUUCAUUGGAAGCAUCUUAAAAUUAGAAAUAUCAUAGUCUUGAAUUUGAAUUGAAAGAUCAACAAAAAUAAAAUGAAAGUGUACGUGGGCUGGGCCGAUUGUGUUAAUGGGCCUUUCAUUAUAUCCAUGUAAUUACAUAUAUACCUACGGAGGAAUGUAAAAAUGAUAUAUAACAAUUUGAAAAAUAGUAAAUUCUCAAAAUAAUUUGAUUUUUAGCCAAACUUUGGAAGUAUAUGUUUUUUUUGACAAAUUUUCAACUGAUUUUAUCAUUUCAUAGACAGAAGCUCAUUUUUCUCGAAUACAGUCUAUUUGUACAGAAUAAAAACAAUGAAAAAUAGUGUAUUUACAUGUAUUGAGUUUUAUAAAAAUAUUAAAUAAAUAUUUAUUUUCUCUAAAUUUUGAGAUUUGUAGACUUCAAAUAAAAUAAUUAACAAUUUGUUUUUAUUAAUAUAUAUAUAUAUAAUAAUAAUAAUAAUAAUAACAUUAAUAAUAAUAGUUAUUUAAUUCACACUCUUUUUACUUCCAUAAAAUGAUUGAUAGUAUAAUUCAUUCAUUGUACGUUUCAUAAACUUUGGUUAAUUCUUAGUAUCAUUUUAUUAUAUCAUACAAGUACAUAAUUCUUCAUAUAAUGAUUGAUAAUAUAAUUUAUUCAUGGUACGUUUCUUAAGGUUUGGUUAAUUCUUAAUAACAUUUUAUUAUACCGUACAGAUACACAACUUUUCAUAUUUAUCCUUCAUUGUUUUCGAAUUAUAUAUACAGUAAUAAGUAUUUAUUUUAUCACUUCAUUCUAAAAGUUUAGUAGAAAAAUCUCCAAAAUUUGAAUUUAAAAUUGUAUCAUUCCCUAAAAUUAUGUAUUUUAUAUAAUAACAAUUUCAUAUUAACAUUAUGUCAUCUGUAUAAUUAUGCAUGUAACAAUUAUUCCAUAAACGGAUAACGAAGGAAUUAUAUAUGUUCACACGAGAUUUCGAAGAAAUGUAAUUCAUGAAAUUGAACUUUAAUAUAUUGAUGAAUAUUGUGAAUACAGUAUAUAGUAUUUACUCAUUUAAUGUUUUAUCUCGAAUACAAGUUAAAACUUAGAACUUAUUGAUAUUUGGUCUUGAAGAUGUUAUAGUUGCAAGUAAAUUUGAACUUCGAACUUUUGGAAUCCAAUGAAAGUUUAAUUUUCAAAGUCUUCAAUCUUUCAGAAGAUGUUGAUCUUAAGGUUGCACGUUUUGAGAACUUGUAAAUGUUUGAAUCUUCAAUUUUCCAAGAGCUUCAAUUCUUUCUUAAACCAAAGAUCUCUCGUUAAAUGAGUGACAAAUGUAUCUAUUUAUAAAGAAAUUUAAUGGGCUUUAGGUGGUUUGAGUCCACUUGCUUGGUGGGCUUGGGCUUGAGUAUAUUUGCUUGUUGGGCUUAGAGUUGGGCCCAUUUGCUUGUUGGGCUUGGGUUUGGACUUGAGCUCUAUUUGAUUAUUGGGUUUGAGCUUUGGACCCAUUUGCCAGUUGAACUUGGGCUUAAGUCCAUUAUCCUUGUUUGGCUCAAUUUUUUAUAUCUAGUGCCUGAAUUGGGUCGGGUAUGAGAAAUCUUAAUUGUCAAAACCUAACCAAAUCAUGAUUAUCACAAUGUUUGCGGUGACGACGUGGCCAAAUUUUAUUGGCAAAAUUUCCUCAACAAUAUUAUCAAUCAGUUUAUGGAUAGCAAAAAGAUUGUGAAUUAAAUAGCUAUUAGUAUAUAUAUAUAUUAAUAAAAAGAAUAUGUUAAUUGUUUGAUUUGAAACCUACAAAUCCGACAAUUUUGUAUAAAUUGGAGGCAAAUCUAGGAGAUGUCGAUGAAAUGAGAUCAAUCCGAAAAAUAAAUAAAUAUUAUAUAUAUAUAUUUGAAUGGUAUGCAAAUACACUGCAUUCAAGAUUUUGGGUUAUAUUCCAUUAUUUUAACUUGCACAAAUAUAUUAUAUCUAAUGAAAAGGAAUUUUCGUCUAUGAAGGUGUAAAAUCGGCUGAAAACGGGUAAAAAAAUGUAUACUUUAAGCAGUUUUGCUAUAAAUCAGAAUAUUUUGUGUAUUUGCUAUUUUUCAAAUUGUUAUCUAUUAUUUUGUCAUUAUCACGAUUUUAUUUAAAAUAACAUAUUGCAAAUAUAGUAAAAUAUGUUAAAGUAUAUUAAGGAUAGAAAUUCAUCACUAAUAGAUCAUGUUGCAAAUAUUGAUCUAUUACAAAGAGUUGAAGUUUGAUCUCAUUCUCAUAAUUGUGGUACUAAACGAAAAUAAUCGAACAUAUAUAUAAGUUAGAGCGAAUUUAGACAAUUGAAAGUGUUACUUUUCAAAAACUACAUCGAAUUACUAAUUCUAAGUUUUCUUUUUAAGUGCUUUUAUAUUUAGUAGAAAUUUUCUAACAAAAACACUUUUCAUCCUCUAAAAUCACAUGUGAAGUCAUGUUGAACGAACACAAUUUAAAUUAUUGUUUUUUCAUAGUUACUUAUAGAAAAGUGAUUUUGUUUAGAAAACAGUCCUAUGAGAUAUUUUAAACACACCGCUUUUCUCUCAACAUGAUUUUUCUAGAUUCUUGUAUAUAUAGAUCAUUGAAAAAUCUUGACAACAAAACUUUAAAAUUUUGUAUUUCUCAACGUAGUUGUUAGAUUUAAACGAAUGAAAAAUGCGAUAAUAUCAAUUAAAACACAAACAGAAAAAAACAACAACUAUACAAUAAAGGAUGAAACAAGUGGGAACAUGGCAACUCUUCCGACGCAAAUAAACAAAAAGAAAAAAAAAAGGACUCACAAGACGAUGAGUGAUCAAAAUUUAUUGAGAGGCAGUAAACAAUCCAACCAAGAACGUGAGGGUGCAACGUGCAAUAUAAGAUAAUUAGAUAGAUAUAACUUGAACCUUUUAUAACUAGCUCAUCAAAUAUAAAUUAGAAUAUACAAUCAAAGAAAAAAAUUCAAAUAGUUAUCGAACACGCGUAUAAUAAUAACUAGAAAUGAUUAUUAGCUGAUUAAUGCAAGGAAAAAAAGUGUCAUCUUUAUGUUGAUAUUAGAAUUCUAAAUACUAAUGAUUGUAAACUCAUGAUUUAUCCAACCAUUGCUAAGGAAUGCAUACAUAUAUAUAGUGGGAAGUGAAAAUUAAAAAGAACACACACAUAUAUAUAACAUGAAAUUUUAUAUAGUUGUGACCUUGGGAGGGAACAUAAUGAAUUAUAUAUAAUCAUUAACAUUCAUUCAACUUUGUUGCUCCCUAGCCCACACAAUAACCCAACAUAUAUUUUCUCAAUCAUGAGCUCCACUUUUUUAUUUAGAAUUUGAACUAUUUUUAAAAUUAUUUUUGAUCAUAUCCAAAGAAAAAAAAAGGAGAGGUUAAUAAGAAAAAUGAAUAGAAUUAAGUUAUAUUUGAUGAAAAUUAUAUGUGAAAACUUUUUUCAAUUAUAUUAUACAUUAAGAAAUACUAUAAAAUAUCACAUUAUUUCUUUCUCAUCUCAUAUGUUUCACGGAUAACUUUUUAGUUUUGAUGAUUGCAUUACGUCUAUUGACAAAUCAUACACAUUUGAAGCCACUUAGUCUAUCGAAAAUAUCUAGGUGCAACUCGUAUGCAUAUCAAACUAAGUUCUUCUAUCAUAACUGAACAUCUUUGUCACGUCUUUCUUCUUAUUCGAGCGUUGUUCUUUUAUCUAAUUGGUUAUAAGCACGACUUAAAUCAAAAAUCAAAAUCAAUACUAUAUUUAUUUUUUAAAUAAAAUUGUAUUGAAGAAAAUAUCAAUCUCAACUCAUACUUCUGCCUCCAAUUUCCAAUUUCCAUCGUUCUCUCUCGAUUUCCUUCACUUUUCAAGUCCCACCACCUAGUUAUGAGUUUGGAGAAUAGCGGGUCAACACUAAUGGUGAUCUCCAGUUCGAGUUUGAGAAACGGGAAGCUACGAAGAUACAUAUUUCUAUUAAUCCUAAUUUCGUUGUAGGUUAAUUACUAAGUUGUUUAGUUAUAUUUAGAGUAAAGUAGACGUAGAUCAUUUAUAUUCUACUGCGUGCGUGUCUCUUAUUCCAUCCUAUGGUAUCAUGCAACUCUAAUUACUCGUCAACAAAAUAUAAAACAUUUUUAAUUAGAAAUACAAAGAAAAAUUAGUUUAAUUCCAUAGUUUAAUAUUAUGAAAAUAACAUUAACUAGACGAUUUUUGCAAUUUUACUCGAAUGCUUCAACAUGCAUUCAACAUUUGAUCAUGAAGUUUUGAAUCAUUCAUGUAGACAUUUUGUGACAAAAUUGUUGGAUAAUAGCUUCGAUGGUGGAGAAAUGGAUUAGAGACCUUUAAUUUACAUUUUAUAAAUCUCAGUUGGAUCACAAACAAAACUCCAUGGAUCCAUAGUAACGAAGCUCCUCAAUCAUUUGCUCAAUAUGAUCAUCUUCCAACAAUUUCAGUUCCCCAAAUUCACUCUCUAUUUUCACACUUCGCACCAUCCAAUCCGCCGCACACGGCACUUCUUCCACCGCCGGUAUAAUCUCCUCCACCACCGAACUCGUCGACGCCGGCGCCGGAAACGCCGCGGUAAUGUCGCUUUUAAACUCCGCUGAACCUUGGUUACUAAUCUCCAAAGAAGCCAUAUAACACCUAUGCAAUUUCGCAGUCAAAUUAGACGAUAAAAUCCUGGAAUUUGAUGACUGAAUUGCACUUGGACUGUAUGGAAAAUUCGUUCUUGCUUUUGGGCCACACAUUAACCUUGCAGCUUCAUCAUAAGCUCUCGCUGCAUCCUCCGCUGUUUCAAAUGUCCCCAGCCAAAUUCUUGUUUUCCUGUAAAAAAAACAAAAAAACAAAACAAAACACAGAGUCGAUUUUGAGUUCAAAGAAAUUAAAGGCACUGAAGAAGAUUAAUGAGAAGUGCAAAAACAGGAGAGACCCACAAUAAAGGAUGACGAAUUUCGGAAACCCAAGAACCCCAAUGCCUUUGUCUUACACCACGGUAGCGCUUUUGAGGCCUGGCCAUGGCAUAACUCGGUUGUAUUUCCUCCUCCCAGAAGGUGUUUGUGAAAAUGCGUGAGAGAAAAACAUAGCAUACAAUGGGUGAUUUAUAUUUGGUAAUUGCUGACAAAAACGGCAAUCGCGGAGCCAUUUUUGUGAAGCCUUUCUGGCAACCAAUUUGAUCUCUAGUGGGGUCUCACAUAUGUGUGAAUUAUUAUUAUUAUUAUUUCUUCUUUUGGUCUUUGUUCAUAGUUUGAAAUUUUAUUUCAUAUCUACUAGUUGUUUUAUAAUCAUUGUUAGAUGUAUAGAAUUAAUAAUGGGUAGAUAGGAAUUCAAGUUAAUAAUCUCUUUAGAGAAAGAUAGGUUCGAUGUUUAAAAACGGUCCAUCAAUAGUAAACGAACAACUUCAUCGAAUAAUUUUUAAAAGAGUAAUAACACGUUAGCAUGUAUUAUAAGUUGUAUCUUAAACAUAAUUAUAGACAAGUUAGGUUAAACAAUGCAACAUCACAUUCACUUGAAUGUUUUUCAUUCUCCAAUUAUCCAAUAAGAAUAGAUAGGAAGAAGAAAAGAUGCAUUUGACAGAGAGAAGUUUGAAAUUGACCCAAAAAAAUGUGAAAAUUCAGUUCACAUGUCUUUGAAUUUGUAAUAAAAUAUAUAUGUAUUUUUAUUUUUCGCCCAUUUGAGUUUAUAUAAAGAGAAAAAAUAUUAAAACUAUUUACAAAAUAUAAUAAAAAUAUUUAAAUAGACGACAUAGUGUUUGAUGAAUUUUACUAUAUUUUUUAAAAUGUGUUCCUUUUUUCAUUCAUAUAAAUCAUUAAGAUAAGAAUUCAAUCAUCCAAAUCUUUUAUUUAUCUAAUCAAUCGUGUAUCAAUAUUCACACAUAUUUACAUAUUUUUUUUAUUGAAACGUUUGUUGAUGAUUUUAAACGUGUCCAUGUUUUAAUUGUUGUAUAACGUAAGUAUUGUCUUCUAUGGCAUGUUGAGCUCAUUAGUUCAAUCUUUUUGUUUUUUUAUGUAAAAGCUUCUAACCUAUUUUGGAUUCAUUAGGCUGUUAUUGUAACUGCACUUUCGGACCCUUUUGAAACGUUCUUACCAUAUUAGCUCAAUUCAUCUACAUUAUGCAUGUUAAGUCUUUCUCUUUUUCCUUUUUAAAUUAGUGAAUCUAUAUUUAUGGGGAGCGUAACAUAUCACUUAUAAAUUUAACCACUUGAUGCAAAGUUUUUUUUUUCUUUAAUAUUAAUAUAUUACCUAUUGUGUGUUUUUUUUUUUUUGGUUUAAAUAAUUUGGGAAUUGGAUGAUUUUGAAUAACAUUCAAUGAACGUAUGAUUUAUUUUGUAAAAUAGAAAAGUUUGACAUUAAAAUACCACUUGAGGGUAAAAUGGGUUUUUUAAUUCCUUACCCUUUCGGAGUAUAUAGAGUUUUGGAUGACGUGGCAAAGUAGUGAUGAGUCAUUUUUAAAUAAAUAAAUCUUUGUCAUUAUAAUUACAAAAUAAUUUAGUUGAUAAGAAAUUCAGGGUCAAAUAUAUUGCCAAAAGUUUUCCUUUUUCAAGAGAUUCACAACUUGCAUCAAAUUUUAGAAUCCAAUUAUUGAUCAUGAAAUCAUUUUUUCUAUGUAAUUUGAUUCAAAACAAAAAUGUUUUUUUUUUUUUACUUGUUUAUAUAUCAAUUAUUAGUUAGUAACAUUCAUAACUUUGGUGGAACUUUGUUAAAAAGAAAAAAUUAAAUGAAGGAAAAAAAAGUGUUAAAUAUUUUAAACAAAUUUGAUCGACGAGUGUCUGUUGCUAUCUAUUCAUUCAUACAUUGAAAUUUUUGUUAUAUUUAUAAAUAUUUUUAGUAAUUUUGUCACUAUAAAUAAUUUCUUUAAUUUAAAUUUUAAAAACAUGCCUUAAAUUAAUCAUACAAUUUAUGAUAAUUAUUCAUUACUAGUGGUUGAAAAAAAAAACGCCGGUAAAAAUAACAAAAGAAAAUUAUGAUAAUAAAGUUCAUGUCACUCAAUUUUAUAAAUUGUGAAAAUAACAAAUUAAAAAAUUGAUAACCUUUGAUUGCCUUUUGAUAAUCCUUCGAUAGUCGUUUAAUGGUCGUUUAACACUGCUAAUUACUUGUCAUAUUUGCAAUACGUAAAAAAAAAAGGUGUGGUGGACUUUUUUUUUUCUAAAUGUUUUAUCAUAUGAUACAAUUUCUUAAAUAAAAUAAUAAUAAAAAAAAUCCACUCUCACACGUCCAAAUCAAAAUUGAAUUCAAAAUAUAUUUUUUCUUAGAUAUAUAUUUAAAAAAGAUGAUAUGAAAUAUUGAUUUUGUGAUUUUUCUUUGGCAAAAUAUUAAUUAUGAUUUCAUGAUGUAGAAAGAUGUGGUUGCUUGUUUCCUAAUGUCACAUGCAAAACGAAGAACCUUGCAUUUUCAUUCAUACUCAAAGAACAUAUUAGAAAUUGGUCGAUUAUUUAAACCCAAGUUGAUAUGUUGCCCUAUCAAACACCACAAAAAUAUUGUAAUCAUUCCCAUUAAAACCAAAAUUAAAUACAUUCAAAAUAAAUUAAAAACAUUAAAAUUGUACCGAUCAAAAUUAUAAGAUCGUUAAUAUUAGAAAAACUAGUUUGAAAACCUUGAAACGAAAUGAAUUUAAUUACAUUAUAAGCUUAUUCUAUUACAAAUCUUACGAAUCUUAAAUAAUAUGAUUUUAGGUUUAAAUUUAGAAUUAAUACAAUAGUAAAUUUUAAAGUUUUAAUUUAUUCAAACUCUAGUUACGUAAUUUAUUAGUUGGUUGAGACCUAAUUAUUGUUGAAUUAAGGUAAAAAAAAAUAUCUCUUUACCAAAUAUUUUACAUAUCAUUGAUUUGAAAUUUUAGUUAAUGAUUCAACUCCUCGCUUUUGACCGAAACAUAACUUUGUGAAGAAAAUAAUAAAUGGGCCGGGGCUUACCGUUUAGUUGGGCCGAAUUCUCGGCCUAUUUACUGAUCGUAAAAAACGGGCUGGGCUUGCCCGCGGGCAAAUAUCGAUUACCCUUCUCAAGGGAGGGUAUAAAGGUUCUUCGCUCCUGAUAGGGUUUUUGUUUAUCUCGCCGUCGAUCGCCGGAACCCGAAGAUGGUACGUAUCGUUAUUCGACUCUGAACUUUUUCUCUACGUAAAUCUGGUGCUAUUCGUUGUUCUCUAAUUGAUGAUUGUUGAACUUCUGCGAGUUUGUAAUUCGAUUUUUCUCUUCUAUUCCAAUACACAGCCGUCUCACAAGACUUUUAGAAUCAAGAAGAAGCUCGCGAAGAAGAUGAGGCAGAAUAGGCCGAUCCCGCACUGGAUCCGCCUAAGAACCGACAACACGAUCAGGUAUUAAGCCUAAAUGAUAUUUGAAUCUGCAUAUUUUUAUUUGAAUCUCUCCCUCUCGUAUUCAUUUUGACGUUGUAAUUUGUUCGAUCGUGUUAUAGAUACAACGCAAAGCGCAGGCACUGGCGUCGCACCAAGCUAGGGUUCUGAGGUGCUUUCGAUUCCUAACUUCAAUGUUCAUUUAGCUUGAUUUUGUUAAGUUUCAGAACUUGAACUUUCUUAAGGAUCUACAUUUGUAUUUCCGCAACUGAAAUUUAGUUUAUCGGAAACUUUUGUUUAAUCAUCGUUACACUCAAGAUUGAAGUGCUUUGGAAUAGAGUGAAUUUUCCAUCAACUUUUAUGUCUUUAGAGUAGCAUUUUUGGCGAACCUUUACGGCAUUUACUUCUUCAUUUCUACGACAUUUAUCAAAGUUGGUGAUUCUUGACAAAAUUCCAUUUAAAUUUACAUAUCACAAUUCUCAUCUUUUUAGGAAUAGAUAUAAUCAUAUUUUGAUUUAGCUUUAUAUAUAUUUAAUCAGUGAAAUCUGUUCAUAAAAGUGUGUAGCCAAAGUAUACUUGAACAUUCACAAUUAACCUUCACAUACAUUGGAAGAUUAUCAAGAAAUUCCAAUUAGCUUCUCCUAGAACUUAGAAAAGACUUUAAAUAUACAUUCAUAUGAUAAUCAUCCUAUACACCUACAACCUUUGCUACUUCUGAAAGAAAGACUUUAUGAGAUACCCUUCUAUAGAGUACUCAUAUUUCUAUAUAUUCUCUAGGUUCUAUAUUUCUAUCAUUGAAUUCUUAGUACUUUCAUCUGUAGUUGAUCUAAACAGACUAGUCUUUACGUAACGCCAAAGAACAAGGUUCUACAUGUGUGUCCGUGAGUUCUGAGUACUUCCAUCUAUAGUUGAUCUAAACAGACCAGUCUUCAUUACAAAAGUGGGUAGAGGUAUAGAACUUGGUGGUGGUGAGAUACCAAAGGUAGAGGUUCCGGCGUAGAAAAUUCGCUCUUUUGUAUUACAGAGUGAACUUGUCACUUGAAACUUAACCACCUUGGCCUUGUUUAGGCUUUGUUUUUGUUUGUUUGGAGGUCUGCAAGGUAUGGCGUUCUUAGAACCAUCUUGAGGACAACGAAGAACGUGGAUAGAUGAAUCCUUUGAGUUAAUUUCCAUGGUGUGGAGUGUAAAGCAAAUAAUGAAUGCUUCAAUAGAAAGGAAGAGAAUAAUUUGUUUCAUUAAAGAAGAAUUAGUCUCUUGGCUUUAUAGGGGGAUAUGAGAAUUGGAUUUGGAUUGUUGAAGGCGGUUUUAUUUAAAAUAUAAAUUAUAAGUUAUUUAUAGAUAAAUCGAUUUGGUAUUUCUAAUAGGAAAAAGAAAUUUAUAUUUGGAAUUUUUAAUAGGAAAAUAUGUAUGUGUAAUAGGUUUUUUAAUGAUUUGAUUUGCUAUAAAAAUUAAUUUCGUAUUUUAAACCGCAUGCAUUGUGAAAAUUAAUAGGUUUAAUUAAUCGCUAAAUUUUGAAGUUGUUUUUUGGUAUUUGAAUUUUCGUAUGUGUCGAAUAAGUAUUUAAAUAUUCAAAUAUGUUGAUUUGGAUAGCCAUUUUUUUUAAUUUCUUAAUUUUUAAUGAAAUUUUUUAUAAAGUUAUUACAAAAAUAUAUUUAUGGUUUAGUUUUGAAUGGUUUAGGGUUAUUUUUUUGAAUAAAACUUUAACGAUUUUAUCCAAGUGAUAGUAUUUUUAAAUCAUUUUGAAACUAAGUUUAGGAAUAUUUUUUACACAAAUCAGUGUUUAGAGGUAAUUUUUUAAAAUUUAGCCAAAACUAAGCUCUUGAACAUAUUAAAUCAAAAUCUUAAGGUAUUAUUUUUGCGUUGUAAGGGUCUCUCUCCCUGUAGUUAAAUGAUAAGAAUAUAAUUCGAAUUCCAAUUUCUAAUCCUAAAAUUCUCCACUUCGAAAAGUCUUCCCUUUUCGAAUUUCAUUAAACUCAAGAUUGGGUGGCGAUGAGUCCAAUGAUUUGAUGAAUCUUGAUAGGUUGGAGAGAUACUUACAAAUUUAGUUAUUAGAUUUAAAAUAAUAAAGUAUAUAGUAAUCUUUUAAAAAUUUAUAAAUAUAACAAAAUUUAUUAAAUAGUGAUCUAUUAUCGAUAGAUUAUGUUAGAUUAUGUUGCAAAUAUUAGUAGUUAGGUGUGAAUUUUUAAAAUAUUAUUAUAUUUUUAAUUAUUAUUUUUAAAAUAUUUAGCAAUUUCAAUUUUCCUUGUUUUGAAAUUAGCAUAUAUUCUAUGCUACCACGCUAUGCUUGUGUGUGCUUCAUUAUCUUUCUCACGGACUCCAAUUUGUGUUGUACUUUGAUGGUUAAAUUUGGAAGGUGCGUUAGAUUUAGUGCAAACUCACCAUGUUUAAGUAUUUUUUUUUGGUAAACACGUUGAUGGUUGAAUGUGAUGUACGGUUUAUUUUAUUUUAUUUUGCUUAGUUUAAAAUCAACAAGUGGACUUGAAUAAAAUUAUUUUCAACAAAAGCAAAGUAAAGAAGAAACCAAGAAGGGGAGAAUUGAAAUUAAAAAAGUAGAGAGAAACAGAUACAUGUAUAUUUAUUUAAUUUACAUUGACAAUUCCAUUUGAAAGGGAGAAAAAGAAUGAUCAUUGUGGUGGUGGGUUUAAUCUUAGGGUACCUCCAAGCUCUAUGGGAACAAGGGCAAUUAGAGAGUGUAGAACAUCUUUUAUUAAAGGUCUGUAGCUUGCUUCUCCUUGUACACACAAUACAGCCAUUGCAGCAACCUAAAUCAUAAAACGUUAAUUUCAUACUAAGUUUAGGGAUUAAAUUCAAAGUUUUUAAAACCACGGAAUCCAAAAAAGAAAGAAACGAACCUGAUACAAGUGUUUGAGAUCCAUAGUAUUUCUAAUAACAGGAUCUACUAUGUUUGGCAACUUCGAUCUAUCUGUCAGUUGAGGCAUUGCCUGGCAUUGCCCAUUCCCAAUAUAUCCCAUCAUUUUACUAUAUCAUUCAUAUUCAUCUAUAUAUAUAUAUGUGUGUAUAUAUAUAUAUAUAUAUAUAUAUAUAUAUAUCAUUCAUAUAGAGAGAUUAAACAUUAAAUUUUAUAAAAAAGUUUAAGGAAAAUGGUUGAUUGCAAAAAACCAUCACAUUUACCUUUGAACUAUCACAAUAAUGGUAGAAAUUGGACUCUAGAACUUGUACAAUUGACUACUUUUAAAAACUGCUAUAAAAUUUGAAGGUUUAAUAUUCUUAUUCAAAACUCAACUUCAUAAUUUGAUUAGUGAAAAAAAUGUAAAUAAAUAAGUAAAAACUUUACCCACGUGACGAUAGAGUGGGAUUGUGGUGUUGGCCGUUUCUCCACCGGCCUUCUUCCUAGCAGAAGCUCUAGUACCACAAUUCCAUAAGCAUACACAUCACUUUUCUCUGUUAAUUUUCCUGUUAACAAAACAUCCAUUCUACAUCAUCACCACACAAAACAUAUACCAUAGUUGGAUUAGAUUGUGUUAUUCAAGUCAUGGAUGAGUUAUUCAAGUCAUGGAUUCUUUUUAACACCUUAGUUAAAGUUCUGACUAUAAUUAAUGAGAUAAAAAAAUAAAUAGAAUAAAACAAUCCCAACCAUCACCUAUGAGUAGAUGAACUAUAGUAAAUGUUUCUAGUCGUGCAUUUAUGAAACAGAUGGCCUUCAAUUGUAGCACACGCCCCCACAAGAUAAAUCAUUUACGUAUCAGCAUUCAAUUUCAUAAAAUAUCCUACGAGUCAUUAUUAAUCACACGUCCUUCAAUCGAAAAAUUAUUAAAUGAUACCAUUAAUUAUGCUACAGCGGUCUCUUUUAGGAGUGUUUAGUUUUUGAGCUAAUCAAAGAACUAAAUCAAGCAUAAAGAAUCUAAAUCAAUGUCCAAUAAAGAACAAAAUGAAUGGACUGACUUUAUCUAGAUCGAUUAUUAUUGGUUUGGUUUUCGGUUUUUAACAUCUUUUUUUCUUUCUUAUUUUUCACUUUGCUUUGAAUGGGUCUUUGUUGCUAACUUUAAAUUAAAUUUUGGUCUAUUUCUUGCCCUAUAAAUUGUAAUUUGACACAAGUUUAUCUUUUUGGUACUUUUCUAAAUAAAAACCGUGUACAUAACAUAAAGAAUUUUAGACUUUUAUUCUAAUUAAACCAUUGGAUUAGUUUGGUUUUUCAUUUUUUUUUAUCACUCUUAGUCUCGUCUAAUAAGUUGUUUUUAGUAGAUGUUGAGUGUCCUUAUCAUAGUAUAGGAAUUCAAUUUCUUAGAUUGAACAAGAAUAUGAAAAUAUGAAACUAAACAAAUUCUUAAAGAAAACUAAAUGUGUAGUCUAAGAUGUAUAGAAUACUAUAAGAACCAAUAUUGAACGAAGUAUGUUCAAUCCUAAUUAUAAUAGAAUUUAUGUGGGAGUAAUAAAGUAAAGUGAAUGUGGGUUACCAUGUAAUAGAUACUCUGGAGCUACAUAUCCCAAGGUCCCAGAAAGCUUAAUUUUGUUAUUGUUUUGGGUUCCAUCAGUGAUUGCAAUCCCAAAGUCAGCCAACUGAAUUGCAUUCAACAACCACAACAAAACUUUUGUUUAGGCUAAAUUCUACAGACUACUCUAAAACCUUUGUUUUUUCCCCUCAAAACUAUCAUUUAACUUUUAAUAAGUCUUCCAAAACUAUUACUGAAGUAAAAAAUUUAAACUUCAAAUGAAUGUUGUGGUGGCCGGCCAUUAUGGGUCAUGAGCACGCUGUCCAAGAAUCUAAUUUUCUAUCCAAAAUUUUAUAGGGUUUGUAUAACUUAAAUGGGUGGGGCUGACAGGUAAAGCGAGAUCCAAAAAUUAAUGAUGGUGUUUAUGACUAUUUCUAGUCUACAGUUAAUUAUAAUAAUACUCAUGAUUCGAAGGUUUCUUAAAGAAUUCACAGUUCAAGAAUAGUAUUGAAAUAUUUAUAUGACAGUUGAAUGGGUAAUUCUAAAGAACAGAAACAGGAAGUGAGAGAAGUAUACCUUAGCGUUGAAGUUGGCAUCAAGAAGGAUGUUGGAAGUCUUCAAAUCUCUAUGAAUAACUGCAGGGUGGCAAUGCUCGUGAAGGUAUUCUAAUCCUCUGCGAGUUCAUUAGCUUUCCAUUAUUCUAUUUAAAUGCAUAAAAAUAUUGAAUGCUUAUUUAAAGAAAAAACAAGUAAAUUUCCUGCAAAGCUUUUAAAAAGGCAAACAAGUAAUAUAAAUCAGAGCGUCCCAAUUAUUUGAAAACAAGGUUUUCUUUUUUCCAUUUUGAAAACCGGUUUUUCAAACGAAGAAAACCGAGAUUUUAUUUAUUUAAAGGGACAUCUUAUGUUUGAUUGGAUUUCUUUUACUUUUCUUAUUUCUAAAAGUUAAGCUAUUGAUAUUAAUAAUAAAGCAUCUGAAAAUAAAAAUUUUAAAACUUAAGAGCUAAAUGAAAACCCCAACUUAAAGUUAAAACUAAAAAAGUAAUUUAUUCCAAUAAUUCCAUCGGAUUUCAUUUAUUUUAAAAUAUCUUUUUAUAUAUAAAAAUGUCAUUUGGAAAACAAGCUAACAAUAGUAUAACAUUGAAGAACUGCAUAUUAAUAAAUCAAGACAGAGAUCUGUUAUUAGAUAAGUGACGUUUUCAAGAAUUGCAUGUCAAAUACAAAAUCAAAGAAGUUAAUUUUUUUUCAAAGAAAAUCUAAUAAUAUCAAUAUAGACCCUUAAGAUUUUUAAACUUAUCAAUUUAAAUUUUCUAUUUAUGUUUUACUUGUACUUUAAUAAAAGUUAAAUAAAAUUAAUAAUAUAAUUAUUAAUUUAAGAUUUAAAUGGAUACAACUCUCAAAUCCAUGAUUUGAAUUUGCCUAUAAUUUUAAAAUGAUGAUUAGAGGCUCUUAAAAAACAAGUCAAGUUUUAUAACUUUUUUUUGUCACAGAACUAUGAAAAGUGCAGAUGAUUAUUUUAUUUAUCAAAGGGGAAGAGAAUAAAAAGAAAGCAAGAGACAUGCCUUGCAACAUCGAGAGCAAUCUUCAUACGCAUGUGCCAAUUUAAGGCAGAACCACGAGAGGGCCCUGCAUCAUCAUUUUCAACUUACAACAAUAAAAUAUGCAUCACAUGGACAUAGCAACUCUUGUUUUAAUCUGGUAAAAAUAAAUAAAUAAAUGAUUUGGUUUAUUUAGUCCUAAUAUUUUAUCUUUUCUUCUGUUGAUGCUAAAAUUGAGAUUAAAGUACUUAAUAUCUCUUCGUUGUUUGAAAGUAAGAAAAGAAAAGAAUUACCAUGGAGUUGAGUUUCUAGAGAUCCAUUCUCCAUGAGCUCAUAAACAAUCAACUUUGAAUCUCCCUCACUGCUACAUCCCAAUUGGCAAAUAAUAUUCGGAUGAUGAAUUCCGCUCAAUAUAUUCACUUCAUUCUGCAUUAGAAGUCAAAGCAAAUAUUCCAUUUCAAGAAAAAACAAACAAACAAAUAAUAAAUAAUAAUAACAAUCAUCAUCAAUAUCGUUAAAUACUUUUCAAACGUGUCUAACAUAUGAUUGAAUUGCUAUCGAAUUGGUGUCCAUAUCCAUUAGCUAUCUCUUUUGUUUUCAAUAUGUCAAAUUUUGAAGUUUUAAAAAUUUUAUGUCAUAGAAAUUUAAAUUUUAUAUUAUGAACCGGUAUACUUUUGAUUUUGUAUAUGUAAAUUAUAAGAAAACAAACCUAUACUUUUAAAAUUACACCAGUAUCAAGCUUUUGUUGACAUUGAAAUCUUAUAAAAUUUCGAAUAGAAACGAGACUGAAAAUGAUGCAUGCAGUGUUCAAAUUUUCUUUUAGGUGGUUGCCACCCCAUUUGACACUCAAUUCUCAUCCGAAGUUUGAAAGAAUUUCUACCCUAACAAUGUUUUUGAACCAUUAUGCAAUCAAACUAUAUGAAUAUUUUGUAAUCAAAAGAACAGCGUUUGGAAGACAUAUUUUAUAAUGAAACGGCAAAGAAAAAGGAAUCACCUCAAAUUCUGUGUCAGCUUGAAAGCCACUGCAAUCAAGCUUCUUCACAGCCACAACCAAAUUAUCAUCCAACAAAGCCUUGUAAACUCUCCCAAAUCCACCUUCGCCCAAUACAUUACUCUCCCCAAAAUUCCCAGUAGCUUUCUCCAAUACUUUGAAAUCAAUCACUGAUACACAUCCCUUCUUCCCAGUCACAAAUGGAGCUAAUCCAAUCCCUUUCUCGGCAUCUUAUGAUCCACACAAUAACACACUUCCUUUCAGAAAUUUCUAAAUAACUCCAUUUCAACGGAUGAUCUUAACACAGGUAUAUUUCAGAUUCUAGGCUUACCUUUCCGUUUGCUUUUACCAGCAUUUCUCCUCUGCCGGUGAAUCCACAACCAGAGCAAUGAAAACAAAGCAGCGAUAAGCACGGCAGAACAAAAUCCAGCCACAGCCAGUACUCCUAUUCUCGUCCGAGCUUCCAUCUAACGAUUACGCUGUUGAUGACGUUCUUCACCUCGAAAUUUAAAUGGAGAAGUUAAUGUGCUAUUCGGAAAAAAGAAAUAACGUAUUAAUCAGAGAAAUUUCAGUUUAGAGGGAUUAUGGAUUUGAGAAUGGGAUGUUUCUUUAUGCGGAAGAUAAAAUACAAGAUUGCAAUGUGUAAUUAAUGUACCUACCGAGUGAAUGAGCAGCGGUUGAAGAAGAAAUGGGAGAGAGUGAUGGAGAUAAAAUGGGGGACCGAUGGCUGUAUAACACCAACCAAAAUGGGGCAUCGCCAUUGAUUAGUGCUCUAUUCUUCUUCUUCCUCUUCUUGGCUAGGGUUCAGAAGAAGCUUGAAAAUUGGAGAAAAAUCUGAUGAGCUUCUAAGAUGCGGGAAAUGGUUUUGGUAAAAGGAGUGAGUGUUUGUUUAGCUCUUCAUGUUUCCUAAUUGAAAAAACCCGCUAAUAACAUAUUUAUAUCUAAUCAUAACCUAAGCUUAAUGUUAAUGAAUAAUUGAUAUUAGUUUUAAAUAUAUGCAUAAAAUUGUUCGAAAAAACAUGUAAAACAUAUUAGAGUCGUGGGCUAGUAACAACUAUGAACUAUGUCACGAGAUCAUAGUUCUUGAAUAUGCACCAACUCCAUUAUGAGAUAAAUCUUUCAUAUUAUUCUCGAGUUGAAUUGGUCUUGCCUCCCAUAGACUCGUUAGAGAUAUAAGGAUAACUCCCAACUCAUUGAAUGCUAAGGUGUUAUGCACUGUUGUGUUCAUCAAGUCUUAGACCAGUGACAAGCUCUCCAGCUUACUUUAGUCAAUUUGCUUAACUCAAGAGUAGGCAUGCACCUCUAGCCAAUAUUCAGUUUGGUCGCUAUCUCAAAUGCCCCAUUUUGGAUUAACCAACCCAUUCAUGCCAUGAUCUUUGAUCCAUAAUAACUAACUAAAUAACCAAAAUGAAAUUCCUGAAUUUACUUUCAAUGGUGGGUGUGUCAAUCCAUCACAUACAUGUAAUUUUUUUACUAAAAUAUAAAAGUAGACAUUUAACCAUUCAAAAUUGAACAAAAAUGAAAUGUUAACUCAAAUAUAUGUAAUAAUUUAGGUCUAAUUUGAUUUUUCUAUUUUCCUAAACAUAACUUAGAGCCUUAGACAAUAAUAGUUGUCAGCCAUCAAUUCCUUUAUUGGAGCAAACGUGGGCCUCAACUUCUUUUUUGUUUCUAGCCCAACCUUUUCCCAUGGGCUCCAUUGGGCCGUAGUUCAUUUGCAUGUAAUUUUACCAACAAAAAUAUACAAAAAGUCAAACUUUCAAAAGCUUAUUUAUUUAAAUACUAAUUAUAGUUUAUACCAUUGAUUUCAGAAUGGAUUUUCUUUUAGAAUAGUAAAAAAACAAAAAAAAUGUACGCUUCAUUUUAUCAUGAAACGUAAAUAUUUUGUCAAUUAUACAAAUUUUUUAGUAAAGAUGAUAUAUAUAUAUAUAUAUAUAUAUAUAUAUUUAAUAUAGGUGAUACAUGUCGUGAAAUAAUGUUAUAAAGAUUAUAAAAUUAUCAAAAGACAAAGGUUAUGAAAAUCACGAAAUUCAAAAUAUUGUAAAGAUUAUAAAAACAAUACUACAAAUUAACGAUAAAAUUUAAGAUUUUCAAAAGAAAAAUGGAGAGUUUGAUCAAUGUAGAGGAUAAAGGGGAAUAGAAAAAUUAAUACUCAAAAAUAAAAUGCAAAAGAACAAAUAAUAACCAAAUAAAUUCUCAUGCUGUUAUAUGAAUUGCAAUAUUCUAAAAUAACUAAUCAUUAAAUGACCAAAGCAUAUCUGAAUGAAAAAAGAAAAAGAAAGGCUACCAUGUUAGCUGUUUAGUUUUGUUCUAAUUUAGUUCAUAAGUUUUAAAACGAUUUAACUUUAUCUCUAAAACUUAUGUUACUUUUGAUAAGAAUUACAAAAUAAAAGUUUCUUUUUUAUAUGGUGAAAAAGUAGGUAAAUAUUUUUACAUUUGUUAUCUCGUUUUUUUUAACUAAAUUCUCAAUUUGUAUGAAUCAAAAAUCAUAUCAAUUAUCGUUAUGUUAGGUUUACUUUCUAAGUUAAGCAAUAAUUAAUAUACAUUUCAUUACUUGGUUUGAAAUAAUUUAUAAUUACUCUACCUUUUCAAAAAAUUUCUUAUAUGGAAUUGUAAAUUUUAAAUUUUAACCUAUUUUUAGGGUAACAAAUCACUUAAAUUUUUAUCCUUUUUUUCUUAUGGGAAUGGUUAGAAGGAAAGUGGGAAAAUAAAUUCCAAUCUUGAAAUUCGAAUGAUCCACCAAAAUUUGUGGCAGUUUCCUUCGAAUUUUUCGGAAAUUUUCCAUUCUUCCUUUCUCUCCAAGAAAUCACAAUGGUCAAGUUUAGGAGGAAAUCAACUUUGGUUGUUUACAAAAAUACAACAUUCAUUUUUUUUUGCAUAAUUUUAGAUUCAUCCAUUUCUUUUUUAAUCUCUCGUAAUCAAAAUUGACUUCGAAAGUUUGCGAAUCAAGAUGGGUCUAAUUUCUAAAAACCACGUAGAAUAGCGAGAAGACAACUGUGUAUCAAUAGAUGACAAUCAAGUUUCACUCAAUCUAACACCGUGUAACCACAUAUUAUGCAUCAUAGUGCGGUCGGCUCGAUGUCAUACUAAUGUGAAGACUUAAGUAAAUUUUUAUAGAGCAAGAUCGAACUAAUAGAAAUAUAUUGGAGGUCGAGUAUGACAAGCAAACACAUACAAGCACCAACAAAUUCUAAAAGCAAACUUGUAUUUGGAUAUAUAUUUUUUUUUCUAACUUUAUUUGACAACCAAUGAAGAUUUUGUCAAAGUCACCUUAUAAAAUUAGUGUCAAACUCAACCUAAUUAAAUUUUGAAUUGGUGGAUAUAUACCCAAGUUGGAAUCCAUAUCACUUUGAGUUAUUAUAUCAUAUUACACUAACAUCUUUUCCAUCCCUAAUAAGAUUUUUAACUUUCGAUCUCUUACACGUUCUUAACAUUUAACUGACGAUUUAUUCAUUUGAUAUAUAUUCAACAUUUUACAAAACUCACAUGCAACACCAUACACGUAAUUCAAUUACAUCUAUAUAUUAAAAAAGUUAUCUACCAUUAACACUACUGUUGAAUAAGAAAUUUUGAGACCAAUCACAAGUUGUAACAUCAUUUAUUAAGUUAAUGAUGAAAAGUACAAAUAAUUAAAUUUGAGACUAAUUAAAAUUGACACAUGCUCCAAAUUAAAGAGUUAAAAUAAAUAAAUUGGUCAUUCUAAUAAUGCCACAUGUUUUCAUAUUAAUAGUUGGAUUAAGUUAAUCAUUUUAGUUCAAUUAAAUAUUAUUUAUUUGGACUAAGUUCAAUUAAGCCAAAAAAUAAGCUUAAUUGAGCCCAAAGACUAAAUAUAACCUAAGUCUAUAUGGUUGAGCCCAUGGGUCUGGUCCAUGGACCAACCAGGUUCAAACCCAUAAAGCCCACCAGUGAACUCUAUAAAUAGAGGAAUUCUCCUCAUUUGUAGGGGUUGGAAAAUUUUGACUCUAGAAGAUCGAGAGAGAAUUCUUCAAAGAGCUAGAAGACUCCCUAACUCCGAAGUCGACCAUCCUCGAAGAUUGAAGCUUCUUUAAAGAUACAAGCUUUCUUCCAAGGCUCAAACUUCAAAAAACAUCACGUGUCAAAAAACAUCACGUGUUUCGCUUCCUCCAAAUCAAGCUGAAGCAUCCAGUUGAGAGAGAAUCAGAGGAUCAAAUUCUAGAGAUUGAACCGCAUCGCAUCAAAUCAACAAAAAUACAAAAAGUUCAAGUCCACGAAUUAAAUUUCUCCGGAAAUCUCGUACGAACAACUACUAACAACUUUAAAUCUUAUAUAAGAUUAAAAAAAUAUCUUGCUACAGUAAAUUGGAUCUAAGAACUAUAAAAACCGCUUUUAAAAGUUUCAUUUUAAAAUAUUAUAUUUACUAUAUGAUAUUCAUCAUUUUGUUAGUUGCUCUAGUAUUUACUAUUCAUUUAUCAAACUAAAAUAGUUAAGACAUCAAACACAUACUAUUAUAAGUUAAACUAAAUUAAUAUACAUAUCGAACACAAACGAUUUUAAUCAAAUUAUAAUAACCUACCGAAGAUAAUACUCACGGUCCAAUAUACACACUUAAAAGUUUACGGAUUAAACAUAUAAUUUUAAAAUAAUAAUAAUUAAAAGUAAAAAAAAAAUGAAGAAGUACUUUAUAGUUGAGUCAAUGAAGACUAAAAAUGGUUGCAAGAAUGAUAGAAAUGGGACAGAGAAGUCAAGGUGAUAUGAGUGAUGAUGAUUCCUUUCUCUAAAAUCCAACAAAGCAUUUUAGCAUCUUCUUUUCUUUUCUUUUCUUUAUUUUAUGCAUAUUUCUUUUUUAAUUUGUACUUUCUUAUUUCUUUUUUGGGGACCCCUUUUAUUGUAAUUGUCUUUAUUUGGAUGUGGAAUUUUCUAUACUACAUCUUAUCAAUUGGCAUUUAUAUAUACAUACACAUAUACAUAUAUACAUAUAAUAUUUUUAGAAUAAUUAUAAAAAAUAGUAAAUUUGACAAAAUAUUUACAAUAUAUAAUAAAAUUUUUAAAUUCUAUAAAUAAUAUACAUUGAUAACCACACUUCUAUGAGUGACAUUGAUAGCAAGUGAUAGAAGCCUAUCAGUUUCUAUUAUUGAUAAAAUCCAAAAUUUUGAUAUAACUUGUAAAUAUUUUAAUUUAUUUUGUUAUUUUUAAAAAUACAUAUUAUUUUUAUGUGAGAGAUUUAUUUAUUGUUGUAAUUUUGUCAAGUUGUAUCGUAAUUUGACCUAAUUUUAGCAAUAUCGCACAUAUGUUCUUGUAAAUAGUUGAAUAUAUAUAUAAUUAUUAUAACUACGUUGAAAAUAUUUACAAAAUAUAAUAAAAUUUUGGAUUAUAUAAGUGACACUUUUAUAUUUUGUUUUCCUGAAAAGAAACAUUUAAAUUUGAAUUUUUAAAUUAAGAAUAAAAACUGGACGUGUUUUAAAAGUUCGAGGUUAAAAUGGUAAUAUUUACGUCAAUUUAAAUUUAAAUUUGAUUAAAUUGAAUUAUAAGACGGAUGUUAAUAUUAACAAUUAUGUAUUUGAAUUGACUUUUCAAGUAUUUAGCUUUUAAAAUAAAUCACUUUUGAAAGAAACAAAAUUGAAAUAUUUGACGGUUACUCAAAGUUUGAAAUUCUUCGCACCAAGGUGGUCGUGGAGGUUGCUUUUAAUCGGAGUCCAAAAUUGAUUGUUAGAGUUGGUUAUGGCAAAGGUGGUUGUCGAAGAUAUUUGUCGGAGUUUGUCAUCGGAUGUGGUUACUAGAUGAACGUUAAAAACUUAAGAAAAAGAGAGACUUGAGGUAAGUUUUCACCAAUAUGUAAAUCCAAUGGACCAAACAAUGAGUUGAUAAUACUAUACUAACUCAACUCGUCUCGUAUUAGUGUGUCAAACACCUCGUGAAGUUUUAGCAUUAAAAUAAUUUAAAACAAAAUUUUCUCCAAAAUGGAUCCCAACAAAUCUCUAAUUUUUUUUUAUUGAAAGUUGACUUUUAUCCCAUGAGUGAGAAUGAUUUAUUUUAAGACCAUACAUUAAUCUAGUUCAUCUUUUGAGGCCAAAAGAAAGAAAGCAAUGACCUUAGUUAUUCUUUAUAAUAAAAUAUCCCAUUUUUAGUUUUGUAAAGUAAAAGUUUUUUAAAAUGUAUUUAUUCACUAAAAGACAAUACAUUUUUUAUAAUAAACCCUUUACCAUCAAUAAAAAAAAUGACUACAAGUAAAAUUGAUUGUUACCGAUAUAACUAAUAGAUUCAAAAUAAUUAACUAUAUAUAGCAAAACCGGUCAAAGUCUUUCACUUAUAGAUUAUGUUGCAAAUAUUGAUCUAUGACUAAUAAUCUAUAGGAGUAUAACGGAUAGAUUUGGCUAUAUUUACAAUUUUUUUAAAAAUGUUAUUGUUAUUUUUAAAAAUGGUAUCUAAUUAAAAAAAGAUAAAAAAAAUGAGCACACAAUUUGUUUUUUUAUUUUAGCGGCAACUCUAAAAAAAAUUCAAAGAAAAAUGGUUAUUUAUUAACUCGACCCCCUUUAAAAUUACUAUCAUUUUGUGAAUUUUAUUUUUAAAUUACAAAUAUGACCGUCUAUUUUAAUAGAAUUUCAUGGUCGAUUUUUUUUUAAAGAUUUUACUAUAUUUUCCUUUUUAAAUAAAAUUCUCACUAUGUAUAUAGUAUAAUAUUUUGAUUGAAAUUGAUAUAUUCACGAUCUUUCCAUAUUUUAUUAAAAUCAAUCAUAAUAUUUAGUUAUAUAUAUAUUAACAACACUUCUUUUUAAAAAAAUCUAUCGAUAAUAUAAUCAUCAGACAGACAACGGCAUUCGAGUGUGCCCAAAUGGUUUAGUGGUUUAGCGUUAAGAACAUCUCUCUUUGAAGAAGAUGAAUUUGACUUUCCCUAGAGGUGAACUCCUAGGAAAGAGAAAGAAAAAGAAAGUUGAUGAUAGAUUAUGGAUAAAUUUAGAAUUGAUUUUGAUGAAGUAAAUGGAUAUAUGUAAACAAAAUCAAAGAAAGAAAGAAUUUAAUUGCGUUAAAAAUGGUAUUAUCUAAAUUAAAUUCAGCAAUCAAUUGGAUUGAAUUAAAGAAUACGAUUUUUUAGGGAAGAAAAUAUUGGGAUGUUAGUUGCUGGGAAUAUUGAUAUCCUCAUAAAUGUAACGGUCCGAUGCUCGUGACAAGCGAAAUUGUAUACAAUAAUGGACAGCCAAAUACUUUACGGAAUAUCAAUACAAUGUUUUUAUUUAUGUACUCCUAAAUAAUGAUAGUAAAUUAAUUAAACCAUUAAUAUCUUUUUAUUAAAUUAUUUAUAAAUAUAAUAAAAUAACAUCAUCUAUUUUAUAGCGUGAGUAUUAAAAGUGGCAUUUGUAAAAAUAGCAGAAAAAAAAUUAUAAUAAUAAAUUACAUGUUUCUAUAUUUUUAAAUUGCAAAAGUAGCAAAUUUAAAAACGUUUUUUUUGGCUACUUUUUAAUUAAAAACUAUUAUAAAUAUAUAUAUAUAUAUAUAAUAUAUAUAUAUAUAUAUAUAUAUAUAUAUAUAUAUAUAUAUAUAUAUAUAUAUAUAUAUAUAUAUAAUCAUACUCUCCUUAACUUUAUAUUAUUUUGCUUUUUAUUAAAUUGUCCACGUCUAAAAAUAUAUUUUAUGUUUUCUAUUUAAAUGCCAUAGAGUUAAUAUCAAUUUGUUUUUUUUUCUUUUAUAUUUAAUAUAAGAUGUGUUUAAUUUCAAUCUAUAUGUUAAAAGUGUAUCAUGAUCCACUAAAUAAUAAUAAUAACAUUUAUAUGUGAUGAAGUAAUAUGAGAAUGUGCUUUCAAAAUUUAUAAGGAAAAUGUUUGUAAGUAAUUUUUUUGAAAAACUAAUAAUAAAUAAACAUAAAUUAAAUUUGACAUUAAAAAGUUUAGAGACUAAAAUACGUCACAAACGACCAAAUUUAUAUUAAAAUAAAACAAAUAACUAAAACAAAUUUUUAUCUCGUAGAUAAACUUCAGUUAUUGUUGAAAAUUUAUUAAAUGAAGUGAAUUAUAAUAUGAAUAGAUAAAGUGGAUACAAAUCGCGGGAUAAAAUUGCCACAAAUUAAAGUUGAUAAAGACAUCUCUACAACCUUUGCCCACUCUAAUAAUCAUAUGUGAAUUUCAGCAUUUAAAAAUCAUUUGAAAUAUUUUUUUUUCCUCUUUAGCUAUACAUAUACAUUACAUGGACCAAAAAAUAUUCAAAUAAUUAUACUUACAGAAGACAUUAGCAAAAUCUCAUUAAAUUUUAUAGUUCACUGUAUUAUUCAAUGGUUUGAUUUUCUAAAUGUUUAUUAACAUUUUUUUUCACUUUUAAACAAGUAUUUAAAUAUCUAAAAAGUACGUCAAAGUCCCAUUUAGUAGUUAGAAUAAUUUUUAUUGAAAUUGAUUCAACAACAAUAAUAAUUUUCAUGCAAUAAAAUACAAUAAUUAAAUGUAUUUUCAAAAUUUAAAAUAUAAAUGAAAAUAAAUAAUAAUAAUAAUAAAAUAGUAGUAAGUGAGAACGCUGUAAAUAAGAGAGAAAAUGUAAUUAUUUAUAAAAUAUAGGGGUAAGUAAUUUGAUUAAUUUUGCUAAAUUUUAUAAUUAAUUUCGACGUUUUGCUAUUGUUGAGAGUAAAGAGAGUUGAGUGAAUUUUACUAUAUCUCAUAUUAUUAGUUUAACGUUAUAUUAUUGAAAAUGUCCCUUAUAAUAUCUAAAAUAUUGAUAUAUUUUAUAAAUAUUUUGAUUAAUUUAUUGUAUUCAAAAUGCUUCAAAUAUUUAGUAUUUAAAACUAUUACAAGGUAAACAAAAUAUAUAUGAACUUCCAUAAAAAUAACAAAAAGAAGUUAUGAUAAUAGAACACAUGUCACAACAUUUUAUAAAUUUGCAAAAGUGACAAAUUUAAAAGAGCCGUUUGAUAUCACUAAAUUUGUCAUAUUUGCAAUAUAUAAGAAAAUUAAUGCUAUGAAUAUUUUUUUAUAAAUAUUUUAGUCAUUUAUAUAAUUUUUUAAAUAUAUAAUAAUAAUGUUUGUUCCAUUGGAAAAUUAACACAUUGACUUAGGGAAUGGCGGAGAGUGCAAAAGUGGAAAUAUUUGACAAUUACGUUGGGAAGAAUUGGAAAUAAAUUAAUUAGGAAGAAUUUUGGGGAAGAAUUGAAAUUAGUUGUUUGUUCGGUACUUUUGCCCAAUUUUUAGGCUGAUUCCUAAAAGGGAACUGCUGAUUGGCCAAUUAACUUCCGAGUAACCAAGCUGACAUGCGUUUCCUUCUACCAUAAACGUGGCACUUUUCUAUUGGACAACUUUGAUGAUAUGUACAACUACGAUGUACGUUUGUUUAGUCGAAGUUUUGAGUAAAUAUCAAUCCAUCUGAGAAAUAUAAAUACACAAAAAGGUUUGUUUAAAAAAUAUUAAAAUUAAUAGUUUUUUUUUAAUUUUAAUAAAAACAAAAUGUUUUUUAGAAAUAAAAUAGGAAAGCUAGGACAAAUUAUGUUAGUUUUAUAAUUUAAAUAAACCAAAUAAAACUAAAUCAUAUUUUUUAGUUUUGAAAAGGGUGUGAGCAUACAAAAACAAGUCCAAAUCUUAGACAUCAUAUAGUCCAAAGUGUUUAUUUAUUAAUAUAAAACACAUUUUAAACUUUGAUUGUUGUGAUAUAGUAUAUGUCUUUUUUAAUCUAUUGAAAUCAUAAAACGAAAAAAAAUAUUUAAAUUAGUAAAUAAAUAUUGUAUAAUUACUUGUUUAUUAUUUAUAUUAUAUUUACAUCGGUGAUCUUAUAUACCUUUGUUUUUGUAUUUAUGUUUUUUUCGAUGUAUGAUGAAAAUAAGACUUUACCACAAAGUCGAAUCCAAGUAAAUAAAAAGUAAUGCAACUAGGGUUGAUCAUCGGUUGAUCGAAGUCAGUUUAGUAAAUGUUCAAACUGAUCUCGACAUCCAUGAAUAACAUCGAUGAGUAAGGGUCGAUUACGUCAAUUUAGUUUAGCACUCAUAAUUACUUCUUGAAAAUUCUCAAAUUAAGACUUUUCAAAACCAACCCUACUGUUUUCAGUUUGACGGACCUCAGAUGGGUUGGUCGACUCGAUUUUUCAAUAUUUCGCUCACUCUUAAAUACAAUGAUUAAAACCAACACUUUCUUUAAACAUUUUAAAUUGUACACUAAUUCAUUUAAUUUGGUAGCAAUUCAACUUUAUACUUGCAAAAUUGGAACAACAGUCCAACAAGAAAAAAAAUGAAGUAGAGAAAAUUGAACCAAAAACAUAUCGCAACUAACAUCAAAAUUAAGGCAUUGCAUUUUCUAACCUCAAAAACAUUAUCGGACAAAUUUCGGUUAAAAAAAAUCAACAUAAAAUUCAAUUAUAAUACUAAAAUAAAAAAAUCGAACAUGGUUUAAUUUUUUUUAAAAAUUAUAUAUAUAUAUAUAUAUAUAUAUAUAUAUAUAUAUAUAUAUAUAUAUAUAUAUUUUGAAAAAAAUGGUAUUUAGGCAACUACUCAAAAUAAUUAUUAAAUAUAUUUAAAACAAAUUUUAUUAAAUUGAAUUUUAAAAAACAUUUUAUGAAUCCAAAGAUCUUAAAAUUAAAAUUAUAAAUAUAAUGGAGAAUUAAAAAAUGACAUUGGUAAUUUAGUCACUUUUUAAUUGAGUAAAAUGAAAACUGGACCCUAACCGAAAACCCGUGUAGUUAAACACAAAUGAGAGUUGAGAAGAGGAAGGAGGAAAAAGCGGUGAAUGAAAUGGGAAAUUAGGGUCCGUCCGGAUUUAAACCCGAAAACAAGAAUGGAAGCUGUCGCUUUUACGUCUAACGGACCCACAUAUCCAAGAGCUAAUUAAAUUUUUAAAAAGUGAUGAAAAAUGAAAUGAAAUUAAAGAAAGGGAAAAAAAAAGAGUGAGAGUGGAAGGCCCACGCCGAAGCUGACAAAGAAGUGGAACAAAGAAGGGAAACCUGAACAACCACCACAUAGCAAAGCCAAACCCCACUCCCUCUCUCUCUCCUUCCCUAUUCCCUCUUCCCUCUCUCUCUUUCCUUUUUUUUCUCUAUCUAAUCUUUUUUCCCCCAAUAUUUAUACCCUUUCUUUACUCUCUCCGCCACCCUCUUUCCCUUUUCUCUUCUUCUUUCUUUUUUUUUUCUUCCCUCAUUUCCUCAUCAUGCUGAACCACGACCAAUGGCUUUCAGCGGCCAUGGCGGACGAAACCCUUGUUGCUGACUUAUUGUUGAGGUUGAAGCAGUCUCAGGCUGUUUUACCUUCCAAAUCUCCUCUUCCGAUGUCUGUUCCGUUUACCUGGGGUAUUAAGCAACCAAGGUCCAGGAUGUCUACAGCUACGGCUACGGCUACGGUGCCUGUUAGAUGUGGUGAUGUUGUAUUGAAGAGGAAUAAUAAGGAUGUUGAUUCAACUAGAUGUAGUCCUACCACGCCGCUUUCAUGGAGUGGUGGAGCUUCUCCUUCUGCAACGCUUGAUGGUUUUGAGGAGUCCAGUCGUCCCGCUACGCUCUCUCAGGCUGCAUCCAGAUUUAAGGUUCUUGAGGUUUUUUUUUUUUUUUUGUUUGUUUAUUAUCUUCUCAUUCUCUGUUGUGAUUUAUGCCGUCUGUUUUGGAUUUUUGUAGUUUCGUCUCUUUUCUCGCGUCUGUGUGCUUUGAGUUCCCGAUCUUUCUGAUUUUUUUUUUUGUUUUUUUGGAUAUUAUUUUUUACGAGUUCUCUCGAUUCUUGACGACGGCGUUCUUAAUUAUGGUUUUUUUUAUCGGCGGUGGUGUCUCGUCGGCUGCGGAUUUUAAGCCGCUGGUGGCGGCGUGGAUUCUCAGAUGAAACAUUCUUAUCUCGGAGAAGCUUUAGAUAUUUUGUAUCGUCACCGUUUUUUUCUUUUUUCAUUUGCUUUUUCAAGAAUCUGAUUCUGUUUCGAGAAAUCUCUUCUGAUUUUCUUCUUCUCAUUUUGUUCGUCAGUUAGUCGAAAAGAACUUCCUCUCUCAGAACUCACACACCUGCAAAUCUCUCAAUUCCACAAUCGCCGUACUUCACCUAACAGUUUCCAAUUCUCUCCAUCAAUGGCGGACAACCCUCACAAAUCACCGUCGAGAAAACCGCUCUUUAAUUCCAUUAAUCCACAAAUAAACUCCUAGAUUUUCCUAAAAUUUCACUUCUCGGGUCAGCGAAAGGACGCGUGUUGAAAAAUACUUAGCGUUUUCUUCUCGCCUCUUUUCGAGCUCCGUCUGUCGACUCGAAAUCCAUUAUUUCUUCGAAAUUGACCAAAACACCCUUCGAAUCCCUCGCUAGAUUCCAAACAUUUCCAAAUCGUACAUCGAGUCGCUGUUUCCUCACGCACGCGAUUUUGCCAAUAUAAACUCUCUUCCAUCGCCGACGGUCCGUCUACCCAAGGACCAUUCACCAUAGUAAGGGCCUCGAAACUUCCCUACAUCCAAUCGUCCUUUCCUUUUCCUCUCUUUUUUGACCCUACUACCACUCGACGCGUAGAAGAUUCAUCACCAAACCGCGAGGCUAUUCUUGUAAUUUCCCCCACAUUCCGAACCGGUCUGCUCGAACCGGCGGCCAGAUUCGACCGUCGACGAAGCUACUAAAUGAGGUCCCAAAUCGGAUCAGGUAAGAGAUGAAACGCUCCCAAGAGAAUAGAUAGGUGUGCGUUAGGUUUGAUGCAGACUUGGUUGUUUGGGGAGGGAGCAAUUAUCAGGUGUGGCGAUGGUACACCGUUUGUUCCUGUGUUGGCUUUCUGAAAUAUAUAUAUAUAUAUAUUAAUAAUAAAAUGGAAUCUUCCCAAUUGUUCAUGAUUGAUGGAUAGGAGUAGAAUAACAAAAAAAUAUACGAUAACGAAUUUGAAUUUGGAUCGUGAGUAUGGUUGGGGGAAAAGAUAUAAUUAUACAUAGAAUUGUUUUAUAAGUUGUUGAGGUGAGAAAAGGAAAAGGAUGAUCCACGUGACCAAGUCACGCGAGGUGGGAAAGCAAGACAUGAGAUGGUACGGGGUGUGGUCGCAAUCUUAAAGUGACCACGUGGAGUUCAUGAUGUGGCGUGAGAUUCUGGUAAAUGUGUAUUUGGGUCACAUUUGUUUCCCAAAUAAUACUUCCAUUCAUUCCGGUUCUGGACAAUACUUAUUUUGUUUGUUGUCUAAUAAUAAUUUAUCUUAAUAAGGGUAAGAUAAGAUGGAUGCAUAUUCCCCAUCUCUUCUUAGUGGGAGGAGAGAGAAGAGGUAAUUGCUGUUGUUUCCGUUUCAAAUUUUGUGCCACUUUGCUUUUUUUCCUUUCUUGUUCAUAUGUCUAUAUGUUUGCAAUUUUGAUUCUUAUUAAUGGGUUUGAUAAUUGGAGUUGAUAAUGAUGAUCCUCAUCAAUAUGUUUGGAGUUGAAUUUAAAGCCUGUGUUAUUUGUUUUGCAAUACUGAUUCGAAUUAAUGGGCUUGAAAAUGGGGUUGAUUUAAACUUUUUUGUGAUAAUGAUUCUUAUCAAUAUGUUUUGGGGCUGGUUAUACUUUUUUUGUUAGUUGUUUUGUUGGUGAUAUUGGUUCUUCUUCUUAUUGAUAGACUUUAUGUUAGUGAUUUUUAUAAUAUGUUUGGUGUAUGUUUUUCAGGGUGCUGCUGGAAAUGAGUCGGCGGCUGGUAAUACUACAAAGAGGUUAAGACGAAAGAAGGUAAUUUCUUGUAGGGAAAAUCAAUUUUGGAUUUGUUGGGGUCUGGCCGUAUAAGUCAAGCAUUUGUUUAUUGCUGACUUUAAUUGAGUUGUUGGCUUGCAUUGUUCUUGAUGAAUGAAUUGUUCAACAACCAACUGUAUAUCUAACUUAUUUCUUUUUAUGCUCUUAUUUGAUGACGUAUUCUCUUUGUUUGUUUUCUAGACAUUUGCUGAACUUAAGGAAGAGGAAAGCAUCCUUUUGAAGGAGAAAAUUCAUCUCAAAAUGGUAUGAAUAUGAUCUUCUUUUGUUAUAGGAGUGGAUAUGUAUAUGCUAUAUAUUAUUUUGUUUAUAAAUUAUAAUUGGGAUAAAGAACUUUAAAUUUAUAAUUUAUUUUGUAUUUUCUUGAUGUUUUGUUCUAUAUAGACAAAUUAGGGGCUGUUGCCUUUUUCUUUCUUGUUGGCACUGGCACCAUCUUUUGUUUUUGAGGACCUAACUUACUUUUUGAACAGGAACUGGCCACUUUAAGGGCAAACUUAGAAGAACAAAGAGCCAAGAAUGAGAGUCUGAAGAAAAUGAAGGUAAUUUCUACCUCUCUCUCUCUCUUUUUUUAAUCAACAUGUCUGCUGCUUUCUUUUUCCAUGAACAUUUGAGUUAUACUGUCUUUUUGUCAUUGUAAAGUUAUGAAAAGAUUGAUAGAAAAAAAAAGUGUUCGAAAGAUGUUGACAUUUCACAACCAAUAUUCUCUUUCUUUAUCAAACAAAUCACUUGAUUUUCCUACCAAGGCUCUUCUGAGAACAAUAAAUCUCACUUCAUGCAGGUAGAUCUCAACUUCAAAUACACAGAGAAAUUCAUUACAAACUCCAAUAUGAUGAUGACGACGACGACGAUGAUGCCAGAAGAAUCUUCAUCCACACUAACCCAUCAAAGGGAAAGCUCUUCACCCACAUUGCCAUUCACAACAUCAGGAUCAGGUUCUUCCGAGGCUCAAUCGCAAAAGAACUUGAAAUCAACCGAAGAAGAUUGUGUCUUUCUCUUGCCAGAUUUAAAUAUGAUACCCUCAGAAGAUUAACUAAGAUCAAAAUACAUUGACUCUCUCUCUCUCUCUCGUUCUUGUUUUUCGUUCUUGCUAAUAUGAUGACAUGGACAGGCACUGAUUGUGAAGCCAUGAGAGCUCCAAUGGCUUUACAAUUUGUUGAUGGCAAAAAAAGUUUGCCGUCUUGUAGAAGAACAUUCAAUUCAGUCUGUUAGCAUUUGUUAAUUCCUGUGUUUCUUACCAUAUUUUUUUAAGGAUGUAACUCUGUGGGUUAAACAAAUUGUUGAAUCCCUCUAGAAGAAUGGUGUAGGGUUGAUUCAUUCGUUGUAGCGUUUAUUAUAUAGGUACAUAGUUACUUAAUUUGAUUGUCAUGACUUUGUUGUUAUAAAAGUUGUUAUUUUUUUACCAUUUUUACUCUUUUUGUGCUUUCUUACUCAUUAUGUUCACUCACAAGUGCUUUGAUGCAAAGCAUUAGCACGACUUGGUUUGAAUUAGUGUGUUAAAUCAAUGAUAAAGUUUUAGUUCUAACAAUGAGAGAGACCCACUCAUGAGAAAGUGUGUUUGAUGUAUUGAUGAGGCACUAUACGAUGAACAGAAUAUAGUUUAAAUAUUAGGCACUAUUCGAUUUUGAUUUUUUCAAAAUGUUGAUUGUGGUCAUUGUUUUGUUGUAAAGAUUAUUUUCAUCUCUAUUUCCAAAAUUGACAAUUUCACAAGUAACGAAGACUUGCAAUUUUUUGAAUACACUUCGAAAUUUAAUUUAAUGAGUUUGAUGCAAAAUUUUCAAUUGAAAAGAAAGAUGAAGUGAUUGAAAUGAUCUCAUUCAAAGGUCAUUGAAAGUACACAAGGAAGUAAAAUGAGGUUAAAAAUCCAAGAAUUGAAUAAAUCAAAGUUGCUAAUGCGAGUUGACUUAGCGAUAUUGGGCAUGCAUUGCAAGUGGGACGGGUGAGUAAUGCGUAAGAACCUGCCCUUGGGAGGGGAACAACAGCUGGAAACAGCUGCUAAUACCUCGUACGCUGAGGAGCAAAAGGAGGAAUCCGCCCGAGGAGGGGCUCGCGUCUGAUUAGCUAGUUGGUGAGGCAAUAGCUUACCAAGGCGAUGAUGAGUAGCUGGUCCGAGAGGAUGAUCAGCCACACUGGGACUGACUUAGCGAUAUUGGGCAUGCAUUUUUUGUCGUACUAAAAAAUAAUUCAAGGUUUUUUAUUUGUUGGUUGUAAUAAAAAAACCAAUAUCUAAAAUUAUCAUUGUUUGCAUAAAAUUUCCAAGAAAAAGUAUGUGAUUCGAUCUAAUACAAUCUUUUGAUUCUCUCUUGAUUGAAAAAUAUGUAGAAGAAUGCUUACACUUGAUAUACGAAAACCGUUCUUAAAGUUGGAAGUUUAGAAUAAUAUUUGUAUCUCUAAAGAACCUAAAAGGAGCUUGAGGUUGAAGGAAUGAAUCAAGUCUUACAAAAUUACGUGUCGAUUUGUACUUGAUCCAAAAUUUCUCAUUCAGCUGUAAUUGUCCUAGGCUGAGUUUCUCAUAAAGUCAAUUCAAGAAAGAGUAGGUUGAGCAAAUAUAAAUGAAACAGCAACACGUUUCAGAACUGGGAAACCGACUUUCCAAAUGACACUAUCCAUUGUUCCAUUGUUUUCCUUUUGACUCAUUACAUGAAAUCAUCUUAUGUAUACAUAAGACUUUUGGCACUUCCAUUUUUUCACUGGAAGCAUGAAUCAUGUAGUGUAGAAGAAAUGGAGACUUUUGGUCACCAUUUCUCUCACCAAUCUCCACCAAUUUCUAAGAUUCAUCUCAACUUCUCUUCGACAAGAUCGAUGCAACGAUAUAAUACAAGCUCUACUGGGUUUAAGGCACACUCUAUGUCCACCGUAAUCUGAUCAUAAUCGGCCUUGUUCUCCGACAUUAUCCCCGUCACUAACGUCCGAAGAGGGAGAAGCCAUUCGUUAUAGGAUUUCUGCAAAUUGCUCUUCAGCAAAACCCCAGUAUAGUUUGUGUUUCCUGUUCCGUGGAUUUUGAUUAUGAUUCACAAUCAUCAAUAAUAAUUAAACAUUAAGAGUCCAUAUGUUCAAGCAGAUUCUGUUUGGCUAGCCCUUUCUAGGCCUUAGGAAGUGACAAAUUCUAAAUUAUCUAAUGUCAAUACCAAAAGGCACUAAUAUUUAACAUUCACCAGCGAUUUACCUGUUGCCUCGGUUAUCAGCACGUACCGGUAUAGAUUGAGGGCCGAAAGAACCUGUAGUAAUACAUAAAAAGUUUUUAACUGAAUAAUAUAGAACCAAGAUGAAGAAAGCCAAAAACUUCAUUUGUAAUUUCUAGCCCAGAUCUCAAAUACAUGACACCCUUCUACAAGCUCCCUUUUCUUGUCUAUUGGUUCAUGACAGACACGAUGUAAAGCAUAUAUGUACUUUCCAUCUAUUAUUUUGCAUUUUAAAGACCCAUGACUGCAAUUAUACGUAAGCAUAGGCAUCAGUAUCCAUUAAAACUCAGUUUUAAGAAUUGCAUCAAUAAUAGAGACGUCAAUAUGGGUGUACUUAGAUGGGAAGAAUCGAUGAACAAGGGUGAAACUAGUAAAAAUGAUAACAAAUCACAGGAGAUAUGGUUUUAGAAAGUGAAAUGAAGAAAGUUUUGUUAUAUAGUUGUUUAAAUACCGCAUCACUCUGCUCUGGAAGCACUGGAGGCCCCCCUUUCGAAGGCCUCAAAAUGAGCUCCACCAAUUCUAGGAUACUUGCAGUCCAAAAUGAUGGUUCUGGACGUGCUUUGGUAUCAACUUGCAAACUGCCAGCUGCUCUUUUCUGGCAAAGCUCCGCAUGCAUUUCUCCUUUGACAAGAUCUAAAAGAAGUCCAACCUAUUUUAAUGUUUUAACCAUAAGAUCAGAGAUGUUAUAACCUGGAUGAUCAAUAAUAUUUAACUGAAAAGGCAGGCUAGAUUGGGUUUACCAUAGAGGGAGAGUCACUAUUCACAAUUAGAGCUCUAAACAUGUCGAACCUUUGAGAAUAAGGAAUAUCAGCAAGCAACUGGUUAUGGUAGUUAGACAUAAAUAAGUUGAUAUUCUCAUAGAAAAAUUGAACCGUGUAAAAAAAAAUUAAAUUAUUGAACUUAAGAAACUCACCUUUUUAAAUAAAUCAAACCCAUUCCUCCGUAGUGUUGCAUCUGGUGCAUACAUGAUAAUUAUCUGAACAGCCUGAAAUGUAACUUGACCAACAAAGAAGAGUUUAGACAAUCUUCACCACCCUAAUCUAUACAUAGUAAUAAAAGAUAAUAAAAAUAAAAGUUGAGUGCUCAAUAUGGGAUCUGAAGAACAUGAUAUACUACCUGCAAAGCAGCAAAUAAACUAGGCAUGUACGAUAUGUAGUCACUUUCUUUGUCAUCAAAACUUUCAGAUCCAUUAAUGCAGAGCAAGAAAUCAAUGGCAUGUUUCUUUAGUUUCCAAGAUAGAGCGGGAAAAGAGAGUAUAUGCCUGAACAUGCCUAUAGCUUUCCAUCUUUCAGUUUGUUUGGACGUCAGUUCAUCUUUAAGAACAUUCAGUUUUUCAUCUGCAGCCUGAACAACCUCUUCAGAAAUAAAUCCCCAAAGAACUGCAUGUAUAAAGCAAUAGAAAAAAGAUUGGGAAACAAAAAAGAAGCCAACGAUUUAGAACCUGACAUUUAAGCGUGCAAGGACUCCUUUGAAAUUAAUGAACACAAACCUGAAAGACAUGCACCGUGCUUGAUGUAGGAAAAACAGGCCGUAUAAUCAUCUUCAUCCUCUAAGUACAAAAAAUGAACAAGGAAUGAUAAAUGGAUUUGUUAAAAAAUACAAACUUGCUAGGAAAAGUAGCAUGGCUUACCUCCAAUAAUGUUUUUAGAAAUUUUGUCGAUAUCAAAUCCAGUGAUAAGACCAGCGUAUGACAACCCACAGAAGGGGAGAAAGGAUGACAACUUCGAGAUGAAAGGAAGACAGCUUGAAACUUCAUGACUCAUGCUGACUGAAAAGAGAGCCUGCAUUUCAAUCAUGCAUUUGACAUUUGAGAGACUAACCCAAUCAGCACCCCCAACUCUGAACACAAGGAGAAUUAUAAGAGAAGGUGGGGAAGAGAAGCCAGACGUGACUUGAUGAACAAACUCGGCAAAUUUUCAUUUGAAUGGACAAAAUACCAUGAUUUGCAAUACAUAGAGUCCAAGAAGAGAUUGGAGCUUCUCCUGUACUUUGCCAUCCUGUAUCAUAAAUUAGAAAACAAGAAUAAUUGAUGGGAAAAUCAUUGGAUGAAAGAACCAUAGCACAUCAAAACACCACUUACCACCAACUUUACACAAACUGACUGGAUGGAACUGGCAAUGUCCAUAGCUCUGGCAUAUAAAGUAUCACAGUUCACAUCCCCUUCACUUGUUUCAAAAUCCACGGCUUUAAGUGCAUUGAGAACAACAGGAACUGCUACUUUUAUUUGCUCAAAAUGACGCCUCUGAAUGGAACGAAUCACUGGAAAUCAAUUUGUCUUAGAAGAUGCUACUUAAAAAUAUAUUAAAAAGUUUGAAGAGAAGAUAAAUGUAUCUUAAAUUAAAAGGUAUCAUGAGCAAGCCCUAUGGACAAAUAAUGCCUCACUUUAAUACUACACCAAAAGUGUGGUAAGGUGGAGGAUAACUUUUAUUUAGUGUUACAUCAUGUAAACCAAAUUCAAGGAUCCUAAUGCCACUGUUCUCCCACAAUAGAUGAUAACCCAAAGAUGGUGUUGACCAUACUACAGGAGGGAUAGUAAGGGAGCUGGACAAGGGAACACUCGCCAGUGUGAUGUAGGAAUGUUGUUAGUAAGUUUGUUGAUCUGUUAGUAGUAUUAUAGUUGUCUGUGUUCUGGCUAUUCUUUUUCAAGCUUGUAUUUUGAAUAAACAGUAGUUCUGGGGUUGUGAGAGAUGAUGAGCCCUUUCAAAAUUGCUGGUUUUAUUGUGUUUGGGUUAUAUUUUCCAUUAUCGUUCUCAUUGGCAACUAAAAGAAUCGUGAGGAAGAAUGCUUAGCUUACAGCUAGCAAUCCAAUCACCCUGCCCAGAAAGAUACUUAAUGUGUAGUUAUUACCUUUAGAGAGCCCACUUAGAAAAGGGGCAGCACAAUUGGUUGCAUUGGUCGUCUGCAAAUCUAAUGCCUGAAGCAAUUGCAAUAAUUGUUAAAUCAAGAACUAUAAUAUGCAACCAUUUUAAGCAAAAACGAGUUUGAAAUGAACAUUAUCUCCUCCAAAGAAGCCUAUUAAAAAUAUCUACGAGCUGCAACUUACAGCCAUUACAUGGAGUUAUUCAGAAUUAAAAGUGCAGUUCACUUAUAAAGCACAAUGCCCCAAAUGCUUUCACUUGAAUGCCUUGUGUUAGAGGUAAACAAUUUAUUGUUUUGCAUCAACCUGCUAACUUGAGCAAGGUUUAGAUACAAGAGUGAAAAUUCUUUUCUAUUUUAUUUUAAUUAUUAGUAUUCACCUGUGAGUCUGUAAUUGUCUUGCAAAAUCUCACUGAACAAUUGCUCGAAUUUACUACUAGUGGAAGAUACAAUAGUAAUCUAAUUAUAUAGAUCAUUAUUUUAAAACAAAGUAACCGUUUUGGAAGAGCCGUACGCAGGUGGAAACAAGAAAACCCUACAGUUAUAGACGUCCACUGGUGAACUAAAAAGUUGAAUGCCAAAACAUUUUGUAACAGCAAAGAAACCACCCAGUUAUCACUAUGAAGAAUUUAAUACUGAUGUACCUCACAAAGAACCGACAGCAUAUCCCGUGGACUGCACAGAGUAACGAACCUAUCAAUAAUACUAUCGACAAUCUCCAGACAUCCACCUACCCUUAUAAACUUGGAAACUGCCUUUGGAAGAUCAAAUGAAAGAGUGUCAAUAGUACCCUGCAACGUUUGUGGGCAGUGGUGUCAGCUGGGAAAACAACUAAAGUGUAGCAAAACCCAUAAAGAUCAAAUGGCAGAUAUAUCGAUAUGAGCUUAAAAUAUAUGUAUAUAUAGGUAUGGAACCUGGUCUAAUGAAGGAGAAGAUAUAAAUUGAUAGAUCUCAUUGAGGACUUCAGAGGCAUCACUCUCUGUAUCUCCAUUGUCCAAUUCUGUUUCAGCAGCCUCUGAAAUACAAUCAAGGUAAUUCACCAGCUCAGACACCAAGGCUUCGGAUUGAUGGGUGUCUUCAUUUUCAGUCGACUUUAAAAGACAAACAGAUUGUUAAAAUCCAGCCAUUAUCAAAACUACUGAACGCAAAACAAGAUUAGUCAUGGACUCGUUCACCAUGUUUCAUUUGAAGAAAAUAAAUUAAUAGCACAUAAUCCUUGCCCCUGAAAACAUUUACAUCAUUCUUAUCUAUAAAAGUCACCAUCGCAUUAAACGAAAGAACUUGCAGCCAGGUAAGCCAACUACCUAAAAAUGACAGUUUUAUAAGCAUACACGUUCAACAACGAACCGAAAAAAUCCGGUCCCUGGUGUCACAUAGUUAAAUGGAGCAGCCAACAAUCCGGAGGGGGGAUGAAAUUUGAGCAGAAAAGUUCUUGGAGUGGAACUUCUAGGUCUUACCUUGGAGCAAGCCGCAAGUAAUUCACGGAGCCGAAGCACUGAAGGACGAUCAUCGGAAGGCACGGUGAGUUGAAGUUUAGACAAACAGUGAUGAUCGUCGGCCUUCUCCAUUGAAAUGGCUUUCCACCGCUGUAAGUGUGACCUUGAGAUCACUGCACAGAGUUCUGAUAACUAUACUGCUUCUUCCCUGUCGCCCACCGGCGGUUCAAAGUUUCGGUCCGCCCGUGUCUCUUCUCCGGCGGGGCGGAGUUUCGGUCGACUUGAUGGGCUAAUAGGUAAUCUCUUCCGGACGGAUCUUCCCGGUUCGAAUAUAUAGAUAUAUAUGUGCGCACGCAACUAAACGAAAUUUACAACAACAAAACAAAAAUUGUAAGAUUGAAAGCUUUUUUCUAUUUUUUAUAUUUUUCUAUGAAUAAAUUAAUUUGUAGGUAAACUGUGGAGUAAACAUAUAAACAAAAUCGAAAAUUUUAAAAAACGAGUACGACCGUCUUUCAUUUUGAGGAAUAUGUAAGAUUAUUUAUUUAUUUAACAUUUUUAGUUUGUGUCUUGAUUAUGAUCGUGUUCGUCGUUAUUUUGUUACUUUAAUACUUUCGAGUUCUAUCUAUAGAUAUCAGUGUUUCAAUUCAAUAUAAAACUAUCAUUGAAAUCGUGUGUGUUAUGCACAUGCUCACGUUUCUGGAAAAUUGUCUUCAACAUUAAGAGAACAUAACAAUUGAAUAUAUAUUUUGGUAGUGAUUUGCGUAAAAUGUGGGAUCUUACACAAAAGAAUGUGUGCAUGUAUGAAUUUCGAAAUGUAAAUUGGAUUUUAAGUUUUGAAAUUGUUAAAACCCCUGAAUUGUUGUACAAAUUGAGAAGUUCAGUUAAAGACUUAUUAAGCGUGGACAAAUUAAUUUUUAAACAUUUGAAAAUACAUUACCGAUAUGGUUAUUUGAACCUCUAUCAAUGACAAAAAUUAUUCGUUUUUAAACUAGCAUUUUGUUUAUGACAAAACCAAGUAGACUACGAUAUUUAAUAUGUCGAGCAGUGAAUUUCUUUUAAAUUCAAAGCAUAGAACCAUGGUUUCGAAAGUUUUUCACCUAAAGAAAUUUCAAACCAACAAAACGUCAAUGAUCCAAACAUAACAAUAAUACUAUAUGAAACAAUAUUUGAACUAAGAGCGUGUGCGGUUAAUUGAAAAACAAUGAAGAUUUUCACUUAAACCUAAUUGACACGAUCUUUUUCGUUUAAGAAGUUGAAGAUUAGAUAACCGUGGUUGUAUAAAAAAAAAAGUGAAAAUGAAUUUUUGGUGUGAUACGUUUGGAACUUGAGAUUGACAUUAUAGGUAAAAACAGAGGAGGGAGAGACAAUGGAAGAGGGAGAGUAUUCCACAUCAUAAGAAAAAAAUAAAUGUAAUAAUAUAUUCGUACGUGUAAAUUAGUUUUUAGACCCUUUAAAAUUUUAGAGAAUGAAUAAAUAUCAAACUAUUUACCCUAAGCAUAUAGUAGUAGAAAUAUAAUGAAUUUUGAGUGAACAAUAAUGUACACUUGGAGAGGAUAAUUACAUAACUUGGGAAGGGGCAGCAUAACGCCGAAUCCAAACAGACCUCUCCACUGUCCUCGAAGCUCAACCAACGAUCACACCAAAAUCUCGAUCGGCUUCUUCCCUUCCGUUCCAGUUUCGUCGAAGAUCCCACAAUGGAGCCCGAUGUGAGCAUCGAAACCAGCUCCAUGAUCAGAGUGGCGGUGCUUCCGAUCGGUUCAGUUCCGCCGACUCUAUUGCGGGACUACUUGUCCAUGCUUCUCCGCCAUCAAUUGAUUCCACUUUCCGCCAUAAGUUCUUUCUACACCGAGCAUCAGAAAUCCCCAUUCUCUCAUCAACCUUGGGACUCUGGUAGUCUUCGUUUCAAGUUUAUUCUCGGUGGAGAUCCGCCUAACCCUUGGGAAGACUUCCAGUCCAACCGCAAGAUCCUUGCUGUUAUUGGUAUCUGUCACUGUCCUUCUUCUCCUGAUCUUGAUUCUGUUAUUGACCAGUUUAAUGCCUCCUGUAAGAGUUACCCUUCCGCGCUUGUUGAACGAUGUUUCGCCUUUUGUCCCGAUGAUUCUCAGGCAGGGAGUUACUUUCUGCUGUUUCUUAACUUCGAUUUAUCCAUGUUCAUCUGAAAAAAGAAUGUAUAUCUAUGAUAUUCAUAGAGUUAUUUAUGAUUAAUUAAACGUUUUGAGGAUCUAAUUCUCUGUUGGAAUUUCCUGCAGCUUGAAGAAGGCUGCAAAAAAGGAGGGAAUUUGAGGUUGUUUCCUCCAGCUGACCGGCAAACUCAGGAAUUUCAUUUGAACACAAUGAUGCAAGAUAUUGCAGCUUCUUUGUUGAUGGAAUUUGAGAAAUGGGUCCUUCAAGCAGAGUCUGCUGGAACUAUUUUGAAAACGCCUUUAGAUUCUCAAGCAAGUCUCAGCUCAGAGGAGGUUUAUGUUUAGGUGUCCUAAUUAAUUGAUUUCUUUUUCAUGUUACAAUUGUUGCUGGAGAAGCUAUUUCUUAUCUUGAUACGACUCUCAUCUUCACUUUCAAUUAGCAUUGUAGGUACAUGUGAAAGGAUGUUCUAAAUGCUGCAACUUAAUCAUGUUUAUUUAAUGAAAUUGCAGGUUAUUAAAGCCAAAAAGAGAAGGCUUGGUCGUGCUCAGAAGACAAUUGGUGACUAUUGUUUGCUGGCAGGAUCUCCAGUUGAUGCUAAUGCUCACUAUUCUACUGCAAUCGAUCUUGCUAGGUUAACUGGGGACUAUUUUUGGUACGCGGGGGCUUUGGAGGGAAGUGUCUGCGCCUUACUGGUACCUUCCUCUCACUAGCAUUUCUUUCCUUGUUUUUUCUCCAAGAUGACGCAACAUUAUUUUCGUUUCUAAAAUAAUUAGCUUCCAGAAAUAGAAUGCAGGGAAUUCAAUGUAUGAGGAAAUUUCAUUAGUGAUUUCCGGUUUUGCCCACAUAGUUUUAGCAGCUAUUUUCUAUGAUCGAAGUACAAACAUGACUUCCAAGUUUGAGGCGGUUUAGAAUAUGUGUACCUAUGAGCUUUUUUUUUCCUCUGAUCUCUUUGAUGGAUGUUUUAUUUUACCGGAGUGUAGGAGGGUGGAGUGCUACCUAUGGCCAUCUUUCUUAUGAGUUUAGAAGUCACUUCAAUGACAGUUAGGAUCACUAGUUUGUAAUUAGUUGAUUACACGCUGAAGGAUAAUCCAUCUAUUGGACUUCAAAGAUUCUUACAGGAACUCCAUGUCAAAGGCAUAGUGCAUGAAUCUAUCGUAUUAUGGAUCGUUUCAAAAUUGGGAUAUUAUCAUGGGAUUCACUUCAUUGUUGAUGUCAAGUGUUAUUAUGGCAUUUGUUUUGCCAAUUGACCGAAUUUGGCAGAACUUAAUUCAGUCAAAUUGACCGCCACGGAGAAGGAUGGUAGGAGUAAUCCCAUAAAUGCUCUAAUUGUUGAUAGGCCUCCCCUUGUAUUUUACUUGUGGCCAGAGGUGAAGAGGCUGGUAGUUGAGAAAUAUGUAGAAAUACCAACCCAUGUCAAAAUACAAGAGAGACGGCUUAAAUUUUGUUGAUUUGAGAGCAAGAGGUUUUCUUAAUACCCCCAUCUACUGGACUUAUUUUGAGUCAACAUAGAAUGUGUUUGACAGAAAAUUUGUUUAAGUUUCUAACCGUCAUACAUGUAGGUAGUGAAGUCCCUUAUUUUGUCAUUCGUUUCAAGAGUAAAUUAGUUUAAAUGAUGUGUGAGUUUUUAAACCCUGUUGGUAGUCAUGGGAUGCUUCUAAAAGUUUGGCGUGCCUGUGUUUUUAUGACAUCUUUUUGUGACAAUGGUUUACUUUAUACAUGUGAUUUCAGAUUGAUCGAAUGGGUCAAAAGGAUUCAGUUCUGGAGGAAGAAGUCAGAUACAGAUACAGUAGUGUUAUUUUGCAUUACAGGAAGUCAUUUAUACAAGAUAACACCCAAAGGUAGUUUUGGGUUUUCUUUUUAAUAAAUAGAAAAAUAUAUUUUGGCAAUCAAUUAAGGAUUGAAGUACUAAAUUGGGUAUUGUUAAAAACAUUCUCUGCUCGAAUAAUUUAUUCAGACAGUUUUAAGCAAUUGGGCUAAAUAUUGACGUAUCUAGUUUUUAAGAACUACAGAAAAAUUCAAUUUCCCACAAUUGAGAUUGCCUAAUGGCAUUAGGGCCUGUGCAGAAAUCAAUGGUUUUUGAGAGAAUUAAAUUUUAGCAUGGUAGGCACCUAUGAUUUUUGUGUUUCUUUGUGAAAAUCUUUUUUGGUUCUUGUUCUGGUUCAAAAUUCACUUUUUGCAAUUCAAUUAACAUAUACGAAUAUUUUUAUGUGCUGUUCAUUUUACUAAUCUCUGACUUUUCCUUUCAUAUAUGCCCUUUAACAUUCUUUGAUUUUUUUCCCUCUUCAUCAGGGUUUCACCACUAAGUUUUGAACUUGAGGCUACUUUGAAGUUGGCUCGAUUUCUUUGCAGGUAUAUUUUAUGAUUUGUGCACUUGAAUACUGAACAAUAUACCGUGUAUAGCUGACAUCAUGGUUGACCUGAAGGAAAAGAAACAAGAUAAAAUGUUAUCUGAUUACAAAUAAUACUUUGGCCUCAGUUUAUUUGUGUGAAUCUGUGUGUGUGGAUCUCUUCCAGAACACGCAUUUCCGUAUGUUUUGAAAGUUAGUUGCCCACUAAAAUAAAAUUACAGUAAAAAUUAUUAGUUCGCAUUUUAACAUAGAAUUAGCUUUUUUCAGUGAUAACUACUUGCAUACUAGUUCAUAUCUUUUACUUUACUUAUGCAAUAAAUAACUUUAUCUACUCUUUCGAGGGGUUUGAUUUACAGGAGUGAGUUGGCUAAAGAGGUUGCAGAGUUAUUAACCAAUGCAGCAGAUGGUGCUAAAUCUUUGAUUGAUGCCAGUGAUAGAUUAAUAUUAUAUGUUGAAAUAGCUCGUUUAUUUGGUUCUCUUGGUUACCAGCGGAAAGCUGCUUUCUUUUCAAGGCAGGUUGCUCAGUUAUAUUUGCAACAGGAAAAUAGACAUGCUGCUGUUAGCGCCUUGCAAGUCUUGGCCCUGACAACAAAAGCUUAUCGUGUACAAAGUAGAUCAUCUGAAACGGACCAUUCUUUCUCCCUUGUGAGUAUUACAAGAGUUAUGUAACAACGAUCUAAUUUGUUUUUCCAUUUUUUGUUCUUUUUGUUUUUGAUAAGGACAUUUCAUUGAUAAAUGAAAUAGGAGAAAUCCCCACACCUAUAGGACAGUGAUCUAGUUUGGUAACUCCUUGGGCUUUUGUGGGGAGGCUUUUGCCUUGUGUUCAACUUUUUUAGUGGAAGUUUCUCUCAUGUUUUAGAAGGUAAAAAGAGAAAAGGGACGUGUUGCUGUGUGUAUUUGUCUGUAUUUUUCUAUCUUCUCAAUAAUGCUAUGAAUUUAGUACAAACACAAUCUGAUUGUUUGACUCACGACGCAUAUAAACCCUACCUUUUGCUUUGAUGGCUGAUUGUGAUGUAGGUUUGUUUCUAGCUGCUGCAAGUCCUGUCUCUUAAUGCUGCAAUCAAAUUGUUCUCUGAAAUUCUCAUUUCCAACUUCAAACUCUAGGAAGUUUUUUUUUUUUGUCAAUUUAAUUUACCAUGUAUAUGGUCUUAUUAUUCUCAAUCUUCAAUUCGAUUGUCAUUCACUUGUUGCUCAUCUUAUACUAAAAAUACUUUAGCAGGUCUAGUCAGUUCCUCUUGUUUGAAGUCCAGCGUCAGUUUUCAUAUUGGUUUAAUUAAUCUUUCUAGUUUCUUUUUUCUUCUAUAUCUUGAUUUAAAUGUUUUGUUCCUAACUGACUUGUUUAACUACAUUUUUCUUCUUUUCUAUGCUUAAAGAAUAAGGUAGGCCUGAGUAAUUCUGAUUCUGGAAAAAUGCACCAUCAGUCAUUAGUAUCUUUAUUUGAGUCUCAAUGGAGUACUUUGCAAAUGGUUGUACUAAGGGAGAUUCUACUGUCUGCUGUCCGUGCUGGAGAUCCUCUUGCUGCAUGGAGUGCUGCAGCACGGCUACUCAGAUCUUAUUAUCCUUUAAUAACACCAGCAGGACAAAAUGGCCUAGCAAGUGCCCUUUCGAAUUCAGCGGAUAGGUUACCAUCAGGCGUUCGCUGUGUCGAUCCUGCCUUACCUUUCAUAAGGUGAUUAGCCAUUUUAAUACUUAUACGGUAGGAGGAAUAACCAUCUAAUCUGUUAUAUCUCAGAUUAACCAUUGUGAUAAUCACACAGACACAUACACAAAGUUUGAUAAGUUACCAUCAAAUAUGAGUGCUUAUCUGAAAACGUUUAUACCACCUGAACGGCCACCUAAACUGUACUCAAUUAUGCACAACCUUGAAUUUAUUGUGAGUUAAUUAAUGAUUAACUGGUUGUUCUAGGUUGCAUUCCUUCCCUCACCAUCCUUCACAAUUAGACAUUGUAAAACGCAAUCCAGAUAAGGAAGACUGGUGGGCAGGAUCUGCCCCUUCUGGACCUUUCAUUUAUACUCCAUUCAGCAAAGGAGACGCGUCAAAUAAUAACAAGCAGGAAAUGGUUUGGGUUGUUGGCGAACCAGUGCAGGUCCUGGUGGAAUUAGCUAACCCAUGCGGCUUUGAGUUGAAGGUCGAUAGUAUAUACCUCUCCGUGCAUUCGGGAAAUUUUGAUGCUUUUCCGGUUUCUGUGAAUCUUCCUUCCAAUUCAUCGAAGGUGGUUACUUUAUCUGGUAUUCCAACUUCAGUGGGGCCAGUGAGAAUUCCCGGGUGCAUAGUACAUUGCUUUGGUGCAAUAACUGAACACCUUUUCAAGGAUGUUGACAAUCUACUCAAUGGAGUAGCUCAAGGACUUGUUCUUUCUGACCCAUUCCGGAGCUGUGGGUCCAUGAAGUUGAGGAAUGUAUUGGUUCCAAAUAUAUCUGUGAUAUCACCAUUGCCGUUGCUAGUUUCACACGUUGUUGGUGGUAAUGGUGCCAUUAUUCUGUAUGAAGGUGAAAUUCGUGAUGUAUGGAUACAUCUGGCUAAUGCAGGUACAAUUCCAGUUGAGCAGGCACACAUAUCAUUAUCUGGAAAACACCAAGAUUCCGUUAUUUCAAUUGCUUUCGAAACUUUAAAAUCUGCUCUUCCUUUGAAGCCUGGUGCUGAAGUGAUCAUACCUGUGACCUUAAAAGCUUGGCAGCUUGGGGUGGUUGAUUCGGAUAUGGUUAGUGGCAAGAAUGCAUCUGCAAGCAUGUUAAGGCAUUCCAAGGAUGGCAGCAGCCCUACUUUCUUAAUACAUUAUGCAGGUAUUUGCUUCUGAUAGUUCUUUCUUUCCUUUAUUAAUCACAACUCAUAUUUCAUAAAAUUGUACUAUUCGGAUAUUAACUUGUACUUUGUUGACCACGUCACCCAUGCCUUCCUUGUACUUUUUGUGCAUUUAAUCCAGGUGAACCAUCUACAUUAUACUCCUCUGCAUAUUUUAUAUCCAUGGUUUACGCGUGCCCUUGUCUGUCGUUAAUUCCUUUAGUCAAGUUCAUUAUCAAGUUAAAUUCUAUGCAUUGCAUGACACUCAUUCUCAUGAAUAUCAGUUCAAACAUUGGUUGUUUACCUGUUCUUCUGUUGUGUGAGAAAUGAGAAUGAACCGUCAAAAUGGUUUAACGACACCCAAUGAUCCAUUUCUUAGAAGAUUUCCUGUUUAUGUUGAUGGUAUAUAAUAAUUAUUUUGCUUUCUAGGGCCUGUGGCGAAUCCUGGAGAUCACCCCAAUGAUUCUGCUAUACCCCCUGGUCGACGCCUGGUUAUUCCGCUGCAAAUCUGUGUUUUACAGGGAUUGUCUUUCGUGAAAGCUCGAUUGCUUUCAAUGGAAAUUCCAGCACAUGUGGGUGAAAACCUUCCUAAACUAGCUGAAAUUGAUAAUAACUCUACAGAGCAACCUGUUGAUACUAAAAGCAAGAUUGACAGAUUGGUGAAGAUUGAUCCAUUCCGGGGAAGUUGGGGUCUUCGGUUUCUUGAACUCGAGUUGUCUAAUCCAACCGACGUAUUGUUUGAAAUUAGUGUUUCUGUCCAGGUUGAAAAUUCAUGCCAUGGGGAAAACACAUCUGGUGAUCAAAACGUUACUGAAUAUAGUUAUCAUAAAACAAGAAUAGACAGAGAUUUCUCUGCAAGAGUGCUAAUACCCUUAGAACACUUCAAAUUGCCUGUUCUUGAUGGUUCAUUCUUUGGGAAAGAUAUUAGAACAGACGGAGUGGCCAAUGCCAGAAAUUUAAGCUUCUCAGAAAAGAAUACAAAAGCUGAACUAAAUGCUUCGAUCAAGAAUCUAACAUCUAGAAUAAAGGUCAAGUGGCAAUCGGGACGUAAUAGCUUUGGAGAACUAAACAUCAAGGAUGCUAUACUCGCAGCCUUGCAGUCGUCAAUGAUGGAUGUAUUAUUGCCAGAUCCAUUAACUUUUGGGUUCAGGACAGUUACCAAUAGUUUGGAUAGGAAAGAAUCUUAUCAGAAUCUUCACACCGUAUCUUCCCAGAGCUCUUUGGAAGCACAUGAAAUGACUCCUUUAGAAGUUAUCGUUCGUAACAACACCAAGGAAAUGAUCAAAAUGAGUCUUAACAUAACAUGCAGAGACGUAGCUGGUGAGAGUUGCGUUGAGGGUGCAAAAUCAACUGUCUUAUGGAAUGGUAAGUUACUUCUCUUAAAUCACCAAUAAAUCUAUUUACGUUGUUACUCUAUAUCUUCAUUCAUAAUGAAUUGCAUUUAGAUUUUAUUAAAUUGUAUUUAGCCUAUUUUCUUUGAACAAAAGCUUCUGCUACUUGCUCCAUUGAGUCUAAUAAUGUAAAACUUCCUUCUCUAUGUCUCUCCCUCUCUCUUUUUGACCUUUCAUUGUUACUUUUCUUGUAGGUGUAUUAAGUGGGAUCACCCUGGAAGUGCCUCCGCUUGAAGAAACUGCACAUUCUUUCUCAUUGUAUUUCCUUAUUCCUGGCGAGUAUACAUUGUCCGCUGCCGCUAUUAUCGAUGAUGCUACCGACAUACUCCGAGCUCGUGCGAGAACAAGUUCACCCGAUGAACCAAUUUUCUGCUGUGGACCUCCAUACCACCUUUGCGUUAAUGGUACAGUGUGAGUUCAUUCUUCUUUCAUCUGUAUCAACUGUUUAUGUCGUUAUAGUGGUUUUUCGAGGGAAUUAUUUAUCUCCCAAAGUUCAGGAGCCAAGCUUUUAUUCGGUAAGGCACGAGUAAAUCGUCAAAUCUUUUUCCAUUCUUCUGUUUGUAACCUUUGUGUCUUGCAAAAAGAGGGGGAAAAGACCCUGUCCAAUCUUCUUGAGUUGUUGGAUGGGGUUGUGAUUAGUUACACACUUUCUUUGCACAUGAAUUUCUCGAUCUCCAAAAAGAAACUGAGUUGCCAUUCUGCUUUAAUAUUGUUCAAUUUCACACCUUUUGAUUUCUUUUGAUGUACAAAUUGUUGUUGAUUUCUAUCCUUUCAUGGUCCGUUUGGAUUGACUUAAGAAAAAAUUGUUUUUUCAAUAAAUUCAUUUUUGCUUAAACUGAGAGGAAAUCAUUUAAUAUACACUUAAAAAAAUGGUUUUAAGUAAUUUUAAAAAAUGACUUAUUUUUUAAAUUAAACACAAAUGUAAUCCAAACACACUAUUAAUAGAAUAGAAAUAGAAAUGAUUUUGUAACUAGUAAAGAUAAAUUUAUUAUUAUUUUUUUAGGAAAACUAACAUUAUUGUUACAAAUUUUCUUGCAAUGGAUGUCAACCACUUGAAAUGGGAUUUUGUUUAUUGUCUCUCAAAUUUGUCAAGUAAUGAUCACUACUGUAUUACACCCAAUAGUUCACCUUGUCCUACCGUCACAAGGAACAAUAUUAAUAGAACAAAAUUGGAAAAUUGCGACCAAACCUCUUCCAAAAUCUAAUAUUUUUCAAAGCAAAUGUCAAAUCAUACCUCAAAUGGUGAGCCAUAAGUUUAUAAUCAUAGUUGAUUUUUUAGCAUAUCUGAUCUUCUCAAAGAUCGUUACAAGCCCUUUUUGUCAAUGUUUUUGUAGAUAUCAAAAACCUUGAUAGAUCAGUACAACAAUGAAUUCGAGAAUUCAAGAUGUACUCAUCUUCAAGCUUUUGCUGUUCGUUGGAAAAUAAAUUUUAUAUUUCAAGAGGUAAGUCAAGGGUAUUCUCCACUCGUCUCAUUUUUCAAAACCAAAGGAAGAUCUCUCAUUUAAUAGAUAAAAACAUCAAUUAUCAUUUAUAAAAUUCGAUCUUCAAUCUCACAUUCAGUUAACAACAGAAUAGGAACGCCAUAAACUAAGCAAACCAUUGGAUAUGAACUUAAAAAAAAGGAUUAUUAUUCUUUUUACUUGUUUUAUACUCUCUUUACAUGCAUGUCAAGAUUGACAUAAAGUACAUUGAAGUGAAGUGAAGAGGAAUUAUUCCAACUAUCAAUUCAUGACUUAAAAAAAUUAUCUGUGUAUUGAAAUUAUCAUCAUCAUUUUUAUUAUUCUUUUUUAAAAAAACUUUAAAUCAAAUUAAUGAAAUAUUCUUCACAUUUUUUAUAUUAAUCUUUUAUUUUUCUUUUGAUGUAUCUCUCUCUCUCUCUAUUCUCCAAAAUAGAAUUAUGACAUUUUAUCAUCCUAAGGAAGGUAUGCACUUUUUCUUUGAUAGGGAUACUCCAUAACCUUUUAACUCCAAAAGAUGUUGAUUCCAAUGGAUGAUCAUUAUUUGAGUGAAUCUUUGUAUUCUAUUCUUGCAAAUUGCGCUCUUUCAUUUCUCGAGUGGUUCUUUUUUUUUUCUUUUUGUUACUUUAAAAGAUGCAUCCUUAUUGUUUUCUUCUUUUUCUUUUCUACCCUCAAAAGAAAUUUUCUUUUUCUUUUUUAAGAUAAACCGUAGGUUAAUUAGUUAUGGUGAUCUCGAGUUCAAGUUGAUUAAGAAAGUGGAUCGUUAAAAAGAAGAAAAAAAUGUCUUGAAAAUUUAAAAGUUUUUGUUCAUGUAGUACGUUUAGUCAAAAAUAUUAUUAAAAAUCAUAAAAUUGGAUUUUUUUUCUAUUCAUUAUUACGAUAAGUUUGUGAGUAAUUUUGUAAUAUUAUAAAGUACUUUUGGUGGUGUAGAAGUUAUUAAGAGACUAGAGACAUAUUCUAAAGUGAUUUUAAACUUGACUAACUUUAUGUCACGUCCCGUCCUAACUUUUCAUGCGGUACGCAGUGUAACCCUAAGCAAUUUUAAGCGUCUUUAAACAAAACGCCAAAAUGCUCACUUAGUUGCUUAAUCGCUUGAUAAAUUCAAACUUAAACUGAAAUUCAAACUCUAGACGAUGUAAAAUAAGUUACCCCUACAUGAUAAGAUACGCCAAAAUGCUCAAGAUAUGCAACUGCGUGCGGAACGGGGUGUGACACUUUACACCUUUGGUAAACUGUACCAUUCUUCUUUAAUCUCAACUCAACACACUAGUUUUCUCAAACUAGCACAAAAGAUAGUAAAGUUAAAGUUUGGCAUGCAUGACUUUAGAUACGAUUGAGUCCUUUUAGCCCAUCAAAAGCAUUUCUCAAUGCUUACACGAUGUUUUGAUGUACAGUUCAAAAGUACUUUCAAUUACUUUUUACUUUUUUUUUUCUUCCAAACUAUACCUCAAUUAAAAAUGCUACUUUCAAAAGGUCAUAUCAAACUCCAAAUUUUUUAAAAAAUAGUAAUAAAGUUGAAGAUUAAAUUGUCACAAUAUUGUAAGAAUAAUAAUUAAAUAUAUACCAACUUUUUAAAAAAUAUAGCAAAUGUAGCAAAGUUUGUAGGUUAUAAACCAAUACCUCCAAUAUGAUUUAUCAAAUAGAUUUUGUUAUAUUUGUAAUUAUUUUUUUUGUAAAGUAGUUAUAUAGGUUAAUAUUUUGAAUCUAAUCGUUAUAUUUUUUUCAAAAUUUAUUAAUGAUAGAUUAUAUCUCUAAUAUAUAUUAAAGUUUGUUUGAUAUUUUGAUAUAUCUACGAUAUUUUUAUAUUUAAAAAAAUUAGGAAUAGUUGUAAAUAUAACACUUAGAUUUAAAAAAUAAUUAAUUAUACAACAACAUUUUUAAAAGAUUACAAAAUUCAUCAAAUUCUAUCAAUGAUACGAGUGUUUGACUGAUAAACUAUAUUAUAAAUGUUUGUUUAUUACUAAUAUAACUGGGACAAAUUUUAGUAUAUUUGUAAGUUUUAAAAAUAUUGCUAUAUCAUUUUUAUUCAUUGCAAUUACUCAAAUUUAGGAGGGAAGGGAGGAAGAGUAAUGGGCUUUGGUUUUUAAUUGGGCCGGAAAACACAAAAGGAAGAGGCCUUUUUAUUCGAAAGGAAUCGUUGGUUAGUUCAUGUUGAAAAAAAUCAAAAUUUCCCUCGAAAAAUCAAUCAGAUUCCAUUGAUAUUUUUCUCUCCAUGGCUCUGCAGAUCUGCUCUGCCAAGGUACGCUCGCCAGAUGCUCCAAAUAUUAUUUCUUCUAAAAGUUUUGACAUUCUUUUAAUUUUCUGAAUUGGACGAAUUGAGUGAUGAGCAAUGCAAGCAUUUUCCUUAUAAUUAUCCAAAACCUGGGAAUAAAUAAACUGCUUUAUGUUUAUCCAUCAAUAAUUGACCUCUUGAUGUUGCCAUAUUUCAUCUCUACUCAUAUUUCCUACUUUAGAUAUGAUAGUUGGUUUUUUUUUUUUUCAAAUCCUUCUUGUUUGUUUCCCUGUUCAUUGGACGAUUGUACUUUGAGAGUCAUGUCGGUGGAUUGAUUUUUCUCUUUUGGGGGCCCUUUUUAGGGUAUGGAAAUAAUCAACAGAGAUAAGAAGGCAUUUGGGAAUUAGGUUCUUAAAAUUGCGACAUAUGAAAACGAUUCUUUGUUAUUCCGACCAAUAAUUUAAUUUGGUCUACUGUUUUUCAAUUCCUUUGGGUUCACCAAUUUGAUACUAAGACAUCACUUAAUGUAGACAGCAUGUGAGUAUGAUAAAAAGAAAGUACCUAGGUUUUUAUUUAUUUAUUUCUUGCCUUUUUUUUCUUUCUUUUUUGUCUCCUAAUAUUCUUCUCUACUUAAUACUGUAUUUGGCUUGAAGUCAAGUGGGUAUUUCUUGAAAAACAAAGAAGAGGGUUAGAGUUAUAAUGGGUGGUGGUGGGGUAGUAGCAGUAGAAGUAGUUGGAAAGGUUUGGGACAUGGUCGCUCUCUGAUUACAGAGUCAGGAAUGGAAAGAAUGGAAACAAUUCACUGUUUUGAAAAUGAAAUGGGAAUGAAAUUGGACUGAAAUUGUAGGAAAAUGUAAGGCUCCAACCACAUCUGUGACAAUGAUUGUAGAUACCCACCUUCUUCUUUUUCUUUUUCCUUUCUCGAAUUUAACGAGUGAUGAUUUGGACUUUUGAUCUCUUAGUUAGUUGCAUUUCAUUAAGUUUAAGUUCAAAAGUUGCAAUAUUACUCUAUAACUUUUCGUAAAUAUUUCCAAACUCUCAUUGAGUGAGAUCCUUAAGCAUAUUAGAUGGAAAUUAAGACCUAUUAUCACACCAUUCUAGGUUACUACCACACCAUUCUUUGUCCCAACUUUUGUCUAAAAUUCUAAAGGAUGUCUAUUCCAAUGUUAAUUUUGAAACCUUCUGUAAAAGGUCAAGUGUAAUUAUACAACUUGAAACUUAAAAUGUUUUUAAGUAUCUAAAAAAUACAUUGUUUUGUGUAUCUCAUCUUUUCUGAUCUUACAAAUUACUUGAAGAUUAUAAAAAGAGUAUGGAACAAAUAAGAGUAAGAUAUGAGGUUCAAACAAGUUUAUUUCCUCUGUUUAGAACAUGCUUUAGGCAUUCUACUUUGACGAUGCAAUGAUGUGGUCCUUAUCCUCUUUUGAUAUUUGGUUUCUACAGUAGAUGCACACGGGGUUCUCUGUAUAAUGAUGUGAAGUCCUUUCACAAUCAACACUUUUUUUUUAACCUCAUCAAUAUUUUAAUGGUCUAUUUUAUUUUCUUUUGUUAUUGAGGAUUUAAGAACUAUGAAUAUAAAUAAAUUGGUGUUAUUUUUCUGCCCUUUGGUUACGUUAGAUCAUUCCCAUCCAAGAAUUCCUUAUUCAUCUCACCUUGUUCACAACUCCCAAAACAUUUGUACACUGAAUCUUUGCAAAGUUAUAAAAACACUUUGGACCAAUAUUCUCCGUUUGCCUUAAAUUAUUGAACAGUUCUGUCCCAUAGUGAAUUGAGUUUAUGGCCUUGGAGGCUGCUAACCCAAACUUCAUAGAAUGAUGCCAACAUCCUUCUUAGUUCUUUUUCUAUGUCUAGUGCAAUCUAUGUCAUGCAAAGGGGAAAUAUGCUUCUUCUUGUAGUGUUUGUCUUUAUAAAAUUCUUAAUUUCAAAUGUUAAGAUGGUCCCACCAAUAAUAAGGGGGAAUUUUUUUUAAUUACUAUUACUAUUGUUAUUUUAUUAUUAUUUUUUUUAUUUUUUUUUGGGGGGGGGGGGGAGCAGAAUGGUUUGACACCGCAUAAGAAUAGCAAUGAAAACACAACAUCAAGGCCAUGUUUGUUCAUAGCAUACGUCCUUUAUUGCCCUUUUUUCCUCAUCUAUCUUAUCACCUACAUUAAAUGGUGGGGCAGCUGGAAAGAAUGGACUACUUUUUACCCAUUUUGGCCCUUUUUUCCUCUGUCUCUUUUUUUUUUUAACUGUUCUUCCAGCUUUAGAUCUGCCACUGAGGGUCUUUGUUCAACAGUUUUUAGCGACAUCCAAAUGAGGAUCUGUUUUGUGUAUCAUCUUGUUUUCUCCAUGUCAAGCUAGACGUCUGUCUGUCCUUGUCUCUCUCUAUUUGAAGACCUACAGUAUCAACAAUUGUGAUGAAACGACUUUUAUUAUAGGCAUUACCAUUAUUCAAGGAAAAUUUAUUUGCAUUUGCACUAGUAGUAUGAAACACACUUUUCCUUGUUCUGGAAAUCACAUUUCUCUUAUGACAAAACAUUUUAUUGAAGAAAAAUGAUCAGUCUAAGACUUCCUAGCUCUUACUUUUUAACUACCAAAUUGGAAAAAGAAGAGUAGGCAAGCAUGGUUAUAAUUACAAAUGAUGCUUUGCCACAAGGAUCAUUCUCUAGUUUUUAUUUUGUUUUCCAGCUAAUCCCAUGCUCCUUCUUUUGGUUCAGCAAAGACUUUGGUUGCUAACUUCCAAAGUAAAAUAGAAAAGUAGUUCAUCUUGUUUUAGAGUCUUCUAGCUAAAAAUAUCUAAUAAUUUGACUAACAAUAGAUGAAACUACUGUUGAAGUUCCUCAGAGACAUCAUUUUUCCUCUCCUAAGUUUGAUUUAUUUAUUUCUGAAUAUAUGUGGUGUAGAAUCAUAAAGAGUGAUAGAUAAGUGGGUUGUGUGGUCCAUUGCAAAAAUGGUGCCUUUUGUGCAAGUGAUGUAGUGGUCCAUGGAGCAAAAGCCUAAUUUGGAGCGCAAAGGGAACAUAUGUGUGGAAGACAUGGAAGGAUGAAUGGAUGUGGGCUAUAAAGACAAACUCAUCAAAGAAAAACCCAAAACACAACAGUACAGUUCAUGCAGAAGACCAAUUGAUAUGACUUCCUUUACUCUCCCAUCUUUUCAAUCAAUCUUCUUAACCCCUCCUUUCUCUUUUCCCACCAUUCUUCAUCAUCAUCCUAAUCAUCUUGUCAUUUACCUUAUAAAAACUCUCCCUAAACUCUCCCUCUUCCUUUACUUUCUUUUUUUAAAAAAAAAAAAAAUCUAAAUUCUUUCAUGUGUAACUUUUAAAAACAACUACUAUUGAAAUCAAAAUUCUUUAGCUUUUUUAUUCAAUGGAAAAUGAAAAUUUGGAUUGUCAUCCAUUCUAGGCGACAACCAUCUCCUUCUAGUUCUCGAGAAUAGUAGUUUUGAAACGUGUAUAAAAAGGCAAGUGUUUUUGUUUAUCAUGUAGACUAGAUUUUUCACAGCACACAAAGGCUUGUAAUUAAAUAUUGUACUCUACUGAGGCUUUUCUCCUUUAGGUGUGUGUAGGGAAUGAGAUAGGGAAGUAUAGGGUUUUGUAGCCUUUUGAUUUAAAUUUCUAAUCCAUACCAUGAGACAAGUGCCGGCUCAAAAGCAAAUAUAUAAACAGUCCUACACCGAAAAGGGUACCUUCUUCCUUUCUAUUCUAUACAUAAACGUUAUGUCAAAUAUGGAUAAGGGCCACAGGUUUUUCUUUGUGGGGGCACUCUCAUUCCCACUAGUCAACACCAUUUUCACGCGCAAUUCCAACCCAAACCUAUGACACAAAAACACUUACCCUCCCUCCAAUUCAUUCAUUCCAUCCAUCUAUUUUUUUCCAUUGCCAUAUCCUUUUAUCCAAAAACUUCUACCACCAUGUUUCUUUUCUUCUAGUUUUGAUUGAUAGACAUACGUUCAAUCUAUGUAUAUUUUAAUAUUUUACAAUAAAGUUUCAUUUUUCAUCUUUUGAUAUAUGUCAGUUCGAAUGACACCAAUUAUUCUUCACACUCUUUAAACUAGAGAUGAAACAAAGUUCAAUCUAUGGUUGUCACUCAUCUAGAUUUAAAUUUCUUGUAAAUUUUAUUUACAUUUCCUGUUUCAAAAGACAUCAGUUAUUCUUCAUGCUCUUUGAACUAGAGAAGAAAUGGUAAAAUAGAAGGCUUUGGAUGGAAUAAUAUUUCAAUCCAUUGAAUAUAUAUUGUAUAAUAAUCUUACAAGUCCACACACUAGUUAUUCAUAUGUAUAUGUGUUGUAACAAACAUAGAUCUACAUUUGUGAGGGUGAGGGCCACGAAGAAAGGAGAAAAGCUUGGGAGAGCUUUGGUUUGGUCAAAGUUGAAAAGAAAGGAUUAUCAAUAAUAAUGCAAUGGUUGAAUAUUGAUGAGAUGUGAAUUCAAAGAAGUGUGCUUUGAAGCAUUGGUGAGAGCCCCUUGGCGAUAUCUUUUCUAAAAAGGUCUCUUCCAUAUGAAAUGCUACCCCACUUCUUGUCCUUGCAAAAUUAUGACACUUAAGAAAAACCAAAUCUAUACGUUCUUCUUUCAUAUUUAUCCAUGCUUGUGUGACUCUUAUAGUUACCAUAUUUUCCUCUCCAUUUUCUUUUUUCUAUUACUUCCAAUUUUGAGUCAUUUAAUUUCUAUCAAGUUUGAAAACAUAGUUAAAUGAUCUUUGACCAAAGCUAUAUCUACUUGUUAUGAGUGACAUCUUUGGUUAUUAUUCAUAGAUUACCCAUAGUUUAUAUCACCAAUAGUGUACUUAAAAGUUACACACCAACUAUCGCGAAUAUACCAUUAUUAAUGGACUAAGCAAUAAAGACAAUUCAAUCAUCGCACCAACUUUUGUGGAAUUAUAGUUGGAGUCGUAAAAAAAUUGUACAUCCCAACAAAACUCAUUUCAUGUGCCAUACGAUAAUGAUUUUUCUUUUCCUUUUUGUACAAGUGGGUUGACGAGGAUAGAUUUAUGCUUCCGAUAAGGGGUGCCCCCAUGUUCAAAAAACAAACCAAAGUUGUCCACUCAAAAAAAAUCCCUUCUAAUCUCUUGUAUAUAUCACAUAAUAUUCGCAUGCAAUUCAAACAGUAAUCCUAAUAAAUUCGAGAGUAGUUCUUUGAGAGUGAUUUGAAGGAACCGUAUAAAAUUCUAUUAAACUUGAAAAGUAUAGAAUAGGGUUAAAAGGGUGAUGAUGGAAAGAGGCAUAUAAAUUGCAUUAGAUCAUAACCCCUAAAAUCCAAGAUAGUUUUGUAGAUUAGGGUUUGUUGUUUGGUGAGACAAUGAAAAGUAUACCCCUAAAUAGUUUGUUUCUUUCUUUUAGAAAAAUAGUUCAUAGUUUUAGUUAUGUUGGUACGUGUGAAGCGUGUGGGGGCCAAUAGUGGCGUGGGAGGGACAAUAGGUGGAAGAGAUUGAUUGGUAGAGCGUUUAGAGAGAGAGACUUAGAUUUUUUUCUUUCUUUCUUAUGUAUAAUUUUACCAAAGCCAAAAGGGUGGCGGAUGCCCCACGAAACCCUUUCCUUCCUCUUUUUUCUUUCUUCUUCUUUCUCCUUUUUUUUUUUUUUCUUAUUUAGUGUUCUAUUUUCACACGUCAUUCUCUCCCCUUAAAUUUAAAAAAACAAAAAACAAAAAAAUUAGCUACUACUUUUAUUGGAUAUUUAUUUGUUUUCUUAUUUUGGUUUCAUUAGUGUUUUUUUUUUUAAAAAUUGUAUAGUUAAAAGUUCAAAUUUUAUUGUAUUUUCAAAUAGUUAUCUUUAUCCAUAAUUGACUUGUAUCCACUCGAUUCUAAUUUUUUCCAUCACACUUGUUUUGCUUUGGAUUGUUGUAGAAGAAAUGAUUUUUUUUGUGAUUUAUCUUUUUUGAGUACAAAAAUAAAAAAAAAUUAAUAGCGCAUGUGUAGGGUUGGAGGAAUUUAAAUUCUUUGUGAGGUAUAUAUUUAAAUUAGUUCCUUUAAUUUAUAUUCAUUUUGUCAUUAUAAUAUCUGAUUUUUUUUUUUUUUGUCUUUUUGUCUUUUCUAAUAUUCUGUGAUUGUUAAUACGGUUCUUUUGCUUUAUUUUCUUCUCUCAUUUGUAAUGGUAUCUCUAGCUAUUAUGUUGUUUGUAGAAUUUGUGUUGUGAUUUUGCAAAAUUAGAUCUAAGUGGGUUUUGAAAGUAUAAUCCUAAAAAUCAAAAAAAUAAAAAUCUUAAAUUUUGAGACUAAACACAUACUUUAAAAUGUACUUGUACCGAUUGUGUCAGACUAUCAAAACAUAUGAAUCAAAAAUGUUUUUUUUCUAAUAAUAAUAAUAACAACUAACUAACUAAACCAAGAUGGAAUAUUAUAAUAUUUUGAAGGGUGAAACAUGAUAGACCGAAAAUCAAGUCGACCAAUCGAAUCAUAGUCAAUCGGACGAGUGGUUGGUGUCAAUUUGGAAAAACCAAAAUAAAACUUUUUUAUUGAAAUAUUUUAAAGAGUUAAACCAACUAACCUAUAAACUUUGGACCAUAGUGGGUUCCAUAACGAUUUUAAUGGAAAAAUCGACUUGUUGACUGACUCUUGCAUAAAAUAUGAAUAGUGAGAGUGUUGAGACUUAUACAGUAACUCAUUCUAUCUAUCCCCCUGAAGUGAGGAUUCAAAAACUGCUUUAAUAUACUUAUCUUUUUUGUUGGAUAAAAUAUAUAAUUAUAAUAAAAAAAAUGGAAGAGAGAAGGUCAGAGACUGACAGAUUGACAGAAGAAAAAAAAAAAGAGAAAGGAAAAGAAAAGAAUUAAUCUCCAAAACCAAAUCCCAAACCCAAUCCCGAAAAGAGUAUCAGAAACUCUUAAAAAAACAAUGUCCCAUCGCCCUCUUCUUCUUUUCUUCUAUUUUUCUUCAUUAAUUUUUUCAAAAUUCCCACUUCCAAAUCUGCUCUCCCUUCUGCCUUCUGCCUUCUGCCUUCUGCCUUCUGCCCCUCUCUUCUGCCUUCCUUUUUGUACUCUUCUUUCAUCCCUUCUACUUUUGAAAAAAAUAUUAUACUUAGCCAUCACACCUUCAAACCCUUCAUUCACUACAAUUUCACUUCUAAAAGUGUUUUAAAUUUGUGUUUUCAAACUUACCAUCAUUCCAAAUUUAUUCAAUUAGGUAAGUUUGAGGAUCGGAUUUUCAAAUUUGCAUAAGUUUUAAGACUUGAUUUUUAAUUUUGAAAGUUGAAGGGUACAUUUACAAUUUGCUCUAAAUUCUAAUAUCAUUUUUCUCUUUUAUUCUUUUGUCUUUUUUUUUUUAACUCUUUCUCUAGAGAAUAUGUACACAUAUUUACUAAUUUAUAUCAUCAAUUACAUUCCACUUUAAUAAAAUAUAUUACAAGUCUUACAAUUUUUUCAAAUACGACAAAAUGAAUAAAAUAGUUAUAAAUGAUAGACUUGUUAAUAUCUAAAGCAGUAAUAUUUUACAAUAUUUAAGAAUAUUUCAAUACACAGUUGCUCUAAUUAUAACAAUUAAUAUUUUCAACGUUAAUAAGCAUCUGUUUUAAUAGUAUUUAUUUGAUAUUGGAAGAAAUUUUCAACAAAAACUUUGAUCAAUAUUUAUAUUUAUAUUGUUAUUUUCUAAAAUUUAAUUGAUAUUUUUUAAAUGGUGAAAUGUUUUACACGAGUAUUUAAUUAUCGUUAUCCCAAUUGUACGUGGAGAUAUCUCAAAUUGACGUAUUUUAUAUGGCUAGAGAAAGUUCCACCCUUAUUGGCAUUAUAUAUAUAUAUAUAUAUAUAUAUUAAUUAGAGGAAUUUUCCAAAUUUCUAAUAGAAAAGACAUUAGAAAGAAAUGGUUUUGUAUAUUCAUAUUCCCCACCAUCUCAAAGACUUUGAAAAUUAUUAUAUUACAAUUAAAAUCCUUGCCGGCAAUAUUCCUCUAAACCCCGCGGAAAAUUCAACGUCAAUUUUAUUAAAUAAUCCUCAUUGAAAAUUUCAAACCCUACGGUUAAAAUAUGGGAGGGAAUCUAGAUGCCCUAUAAUAGUGUGAGGAAUCUUCGGUUAAAAGAAAAUUUUACCGCACAUUAAAUUCAACUGAUGCUAAGGACCACUUUGCAUCUCUCCCUCUCUCUCUCUCUAGGGUGCCCUGGGUUUGGCCCAACUCUACUACCUGAAUACAGUGGUAAAAGGAGAAAAAAAGGUUUACUUUUUCAGUCCUAGGUCUUGGAUUAUUUAGUCAUCCUCAUGACUUUCUUCUACAAAUUUACUAUUUUACUCUUCGGUUUAUUUUUUAUUUUGUUUUUAGGGUUUCGGUUUUUAUAUUUUCAUUUUUUUCUGACUUCUAAUAGGAGUUGGUUUUUUCCACUAAAACAAUUCAGAUGUUUGAGUUUGUUUAAGCCUUCAAAAUUUUUAAAAAUGUGUUGUCCAUGGCUCACCCUUCUGUGCUUAUCUUUAAUGUUUAGUAUUCAUUUGGUACUUAAAUUGAUAUAUAUUUGUCUUUUACUUUUGAGUUUUCAGCGAUGUUUAGUUUGAUAUUUGAUGUUAAAAAUAACUAUGAAUUAAAAUUUACAAUUAAUUUUAAUAAUGUUUUGGGAAAUUAGUGAAAAUGGAUUAGUUAUGAUUUAAAUUAAUUAAUAGAUAUUGAGAUUCAUAAUCAAAAUGGUGUGUAUUUAGUGGGGGGAAAUAUAGAGAAAGAAAGGUUAUCUCCCCCUUAAAAUAAAAUAAUAUAAAUAAAAAAUUAGUUGAAUUAGAGGUUUAAUAUUGAGUUUUGAUACCUAAAUAAUAGGUUUGUAAGCUUUGUCUAAUGAAUAGUUGUAUUGACUUUUCAUUUUUGAACAAUGCGUAGUUUGUAUGAUUAUAAUAUUAAAAGAAAAAAAAAACAAUAAUAUUUUCCUAACAAAUCGAAAAUUUAUUAUAAUAAUUUAUCUCACUCUUGAAUCUUAAAAAAUCUCCUAGUGUGUUAUCUCUAAAUUUUUAAUAAAUAUUAAAAUUAAUCAAAAAAAAUUCUUAUCGUUAACUUUUCCACACAAAACUCUACUAAUUUAAUCCGCAAAAUAUAUUAUAAUCUUAAACGUCAAAUAUAGCCAAAACAUCUAAAAAACACAAGCAAAAUUUUAGAUUCUUAGACUACUAUCAUCAAAUUGUUGAAUAUUUUGUAAAUAUUUUUUUCAUUUUUAAUAAUAUUUAUUUAUUUGGAUAUGUAUUUAAUAUAUAUAUAUAUAUAUAUAUAAAAAUAGAUGGAUGAUAAUUAAGUAAAAGAGAAUAAUUAUUAAGUAAAAGAAAAUAGCUUGAACUCGAAAAAAGAAAAAACAGACAAUAAUUAAAGAAAUAACGAAAGGAGGGAGAUGAUGUGGGUAAACGGAGUAGUAGGGGACCAAUGGCUUUCUCGCGGAGACCGGCAUUUAAACCAAAACAGUUUCACUAUUUUUUUCUUUUUUUCCUUUGCCAAAAUAAUAAUAAUAAUAUUAUUAUUAUUAUUUAGAAGGGGGCUAGUUAGUGGACCCCGCCUAUUGUUUGUGCCUCCAAUCUUCACGCAUGGGUCCCGCGGAAGCAGAGCGUCCCAUUGUGCGGACCACCCCGCGGGUUCGCAUUCAUUUCAGCCGGCGGCUGUCAGAUUAUUGAUCAAGGGGAAUUCCCCCUCUUUCGUGGUCCCCAGUUCUCCUUCCUCCACGUGUUCCCUUCCCAUUCGCUUAUUCCAAGCGUGCUUCCUCCCCGGUCCCCACUUUUGUGGUCCAAACGCCUUCCUCUCGACGCGUGUCGACCCGUCCUUGUCCCGCGAGUGGCGGAGAGAGAACCGACGUAAUCAAUGGUCCCCUACACUUUCUCCUUUUCUUUCCUUUCCUUUCCUUUCCUUUCCUUUCCUCUUCCUUUGCCACCGGCUCACCCGGUCACUACGUCAAACCCUCUUAACCGGUGGAAGGUAAAAAUUAGGUCAAUGGACAAUUAAUAAAUAAUAAUGUAUUCGUUAAUUUGUAAUUGGUUGAUUGGGUCACCCACGCAAGAGUGGAUGACGUGGAGGCCACGCUCCAAGACUUAGGGGGGGGACAUUAACGAACUUCCACUAACCUCCUCUCUUUUCUUUCUAUAUCACUAUCUACUUUUAUUAUACAAUGGGAAUUAUUAUUACUUUUAUUAAAGCUUUUUUUUCUUCUUCUUAUCAUUAUUAACUUAAUUUAAUCUUAAAUCAUUAUGUUUAACCCAUGAUUUCCCCAUAACAUAACAAUUUGGCUUUAAACCUUCUCCACGUGUUGUCUCCUCGUUUCCUUUCAUUAUAUAAUCAACUUCUAAUUAUAAACCUUUCCUUACUAAUUCCAAUACAAUAUUGUCUUUCCCCUUUUCUUUUGUUCCUUAUUUAUCCAAUUUUCUUUCAAAGAUAAUACAUGAGUAAAAAUCGGACUAUGUACUCGAUUCUCACUUGCAAAAUGUAUAUAAUGACCAAUUCCUAACGUCAUGCACGUAGGCGUCGGGGAUAUCCUAAAUUUUAAUAAUAAUUUCAACUUUUUCUUAUGUCAUCCACUUCCAUGUUGCUCGUAGCUGGAUGCAUCUCUAAUAUGUGCUUUCAUGACAUCGAGAAAAGUGGAAAUUCUCAUUUAAAUGAAACGUUUUCUUGACGUCUUAGUGCAUUGCGUUGGGGAAAUGUUUAGUUGUCUCGAUGUUUACAAGGCUACAUCGGUACAUAAGACCAUUGUCGACACAUGUUUUAUGGCGUCAAGGCAAGUUUUGUUUUUCAACGAUGUCUAUCCCUACGCUUUUUUGUGCGUCAGGAUAGCUCCGUUUUCUUUAGUGUAUAUAUUACAAGCUAGAGUUAUAUAUAUGUGUGUUAGUUAUCUCUUAAUUGUUAAAACAUUUGUGUGUUAGUUAUCUAUUGACUGUUUUGGCAAAAGUCACAUGAUCACGAUAACGUGGUUGAGGUAAUUCAAUUUUUUAGAAUUACAUAAAUUUAAAUGUUUACUUUUCACAAUUAUAAAAUAACGAAUAAUUUAAUAACAAUGACCACCACUUAAGAUCAAUUUGAACAAGUUGAAACAUUAUUUAUUAUCAUCAUAAGAGGCCAAAUGGUACGAUGUCUUACUUUACAGUUGUUGAGUAAAAAAAAUACGAUGAUUAAAUUUUUUUUUCUAGUACAACAAUCGAGUAACUCAAAUGGACAUUUAAAAAUAUAGUUUAUGUAAUUUAAUUUGAGUUGUAAACCCGUGGCAUAGAUCUGAUUAAAUAUCAUGUUGUAUUUUCCUUUGAAGAGACAAUUUUAAUAUGUAAAAUUGAGAGGAUGAUUUUGGAAGUUUUUGAUCUCUCAUUAAUGUGACUUCCAAAUAGACAACCACACAUAUAUAUAUACACCAAAUACACUGUCCAAAAAAAAAAAACAAAUAAUUAAAUAACUGCCAAUAUGUAUUAAUUUAAAACUAAAAUAUUAACCAAUAAAAGCUCUACAAAUAUAGCCUUUUUUCAUCAAAACAUUUGUUGUGUUUAUAAUGAUGCAACUUUUAGUUAAAUAAAGAAUAAGAAUGAGGUUUGAUUGGUGUGACAAGUUAAAAGGGGAGAUUAAUAGCUUGUAUUAAUGCAAAUUAAAUAAGUUUAAGACCAACCUAAACAAAGUAGGAAUAAAAGGUGGAUGCACCCAUUUGGAAAAAAUUAAAUAAAUAAAUCAAACCAAGAUUCCAAUGUACUUAAAAACUAUUAAUUAAUUUAUAUCCGUAGGUGGCUGUUGGGUAUCUUCAAAACACGUAGCACACACGAUUAUUUUACAAUUAUUAUUAAAUCAUACCCAAAAAUCUCCCCUUUCUUCAUCAACUUUUUCUUUAAUAACUUAAAAUUUGGAUUGAUUAAACUUAUUAAAUUUUGAGAUGAGAUUGUGAUCGCAUCAAUCUCAAAUAUUUGUAUACCUCUUAUACUUCUUUGUGUUUUGAUUUUACAAAAUGGACUACCAUCCUUAAAUAAUAUUUGAACUUAGAUACUUGCAGACCUUUAGAAGUUUAGUGUCUUCAGUCUAGGUAUUCGAUUGUUUUAUUUUAAAGUUAAUUCAUUUUUUUCAAUUAAGUUGAAGUAUUAUUCAAAUUUAAUUUAUUUUAAAGAGUAGUUCAAAUAUAAAUUAUGUUUUUAAAAAAUAUUAUCGAUAAAAAUUAAGAUAACUUUUGAGACAAAGAUUAUCUGUGACUAUAAUAAUCUUCGGUUCGAACUCUCAAAUUACUAUUUCUUUUACUAUUUGUACCGUUUUUACCGUAGACUUUUACACAUUAAAACAUAUUAUUAUAAUAUAUAACUAUAAUAACUCACUCAUGGAUUCAAACACUAACAUGAUUUUUUUCAAAUAAAUCGUAAUAAAAUAGCAGAAAACGAAAGUAAAGGUUUAAUAUUUAUUAUAAUUUUUUUAAAAAAGAUAUUUAAAUCAAUUCAUUAUUGAAAGUCUAUUGGAAUUAACCUAAGGAGAUAUUAUUUGUAAUUUUAAUUUUACAUUUGAUAUAAAAUAUUAAUUUCGAUGAACGACCAGAUGCUGCAGUGAGAAGCCGGAGAGGGUAUCGUAUUGUAUUCUUUGUUUUUUAAUUUAUUCAUUCAUUCAUUUGAUUUAAUUUCUUAAAAAAAUUAAAAAAAAAAGGUGACCGAAAGGAACAGUAAGUCACGCGCUUUUCUCCGUGGCCGUUCGGUUUCUCUUCCUCACGACUCACCUAAACAUAACGAUUUGUACGGCGGAAGAACGCCACAUAUACCACGCGCACCAACACGCCCCAUUUUCAUUCUCUCACGCGCUCGUUACUCUCUAUGAUCUUCUUCCCUUUGCAACGUUGACGACUUUACACCGUCCGAUUCCCUUCUAAUAAAACAUGAUUCUUAUUGGUCCACGUCAACAGAUUUGUUUUUUGUUUUGCUUAAACUAUUUUUAUUAUUAUUUUAUGGUUUUGUUUGAUUAUUACUUAUUUGUUAGUAUUUUCAAGUCAAUGGUUGUGAGUUGAUAAUCCCUAAGCUAAAGAUUUGAUAUUCCUCCUAAAUAUCACAAUUGUAUUUAGUAAGAAAAAUAGCAACACAAAAUGUUUAUAACAUAUAAUCAAAUUUUUAUUGAUAAAAGUUGAUGUGUUUCAUAGAAAUAUUUUAAUUUAUUUUACUAUUUUUAAAAAUAUUUUAAAUUUUUAUAAGUCACUUUACCUCAAUUAUAAUUGCUUAAAUUAAUAAAAAUAAAAAUUAUAUCCGAUGACAAAAAUAUUUUAAAAAAUAUUAUUUUUUGCAUAUUGUAAAUAUGAAAAAUAUGACAAGUAGUUAUGGACAUCAUACGACUAACAGUAUCGACUUUUUUUUUGUAAUUUAGAAAUUUGAGUGACAUAAAUUCUACUGUCAUAUAUAUAUUCAUUUGUUUGCUAUUUUUGUGAGUGUCUCAAUCAAAAAUUCUAAUUCCAUUUUCUUAACGCAAACAUUUUAAAAUGAUUUACAUAUAAUAAAUUUUGUUAGAAUUUUGAAUGGAAAAGGAAUUGAAAGGAUGUGGUUAUAAUUUGUCAUCAAAAUUUAGAACACAAUGUCAUCUUACUUCUUUUUACUACACUAUUUUGAACAUUUUUAUUUUUGGUUUAGUGUGUUCAUGAAAAAGCAAACAUAAUACUCCAAUUGGAAAGAAUAAUAAUACCUUACCAAUAAAUUUAAAAAAUUCAAAACAUUUUCUUGUAACUUAAAAUAUAAAUUAAAUUAUUCAUGUCAUAAAAUCCAUCAAAUUAUAGUUACUAAAAUUUAGAUUAGUACAAACAAACUAUGAUAUUAGUUGUGACGAUCUCAUUAAAUAAUAUAUAAUAUAUAUAUAGUUUGGAAGAAGAAAAAAAAGUGGAGGGUACCAUUUUUUUUGAUGUGCUAUAAUGUGUUAGAGUAGAAGAAGAAGAAGACUAGAAGUAGAGGUUGAUAAUCAUAAUUCAUAUCAUCUUCUUUCUUUCUCUCUCUCCUAUUCAAAACUUUCUGUUCCAAUCACCAUUGAAAAGCAUACGUACAAACCUUUCCCCCAUUUCUCUCUCUCUCUCCAUAUUAUUUGUUAUUACUGCAACAAAGAACUGUAAAUCUUCUCUUUCCUUUUAUUUCCACAGAUUUUUAUUGGUUUCUCGAAUUUGAUGAUCCCUUUUUGCUUACAGGAUCCACCGCCAUGGCUACAUAAUCACUGACCCAUUUCACAAAAUAAUUCCUUCUUCUUCCCUCCAUCUCCUUUUCUCCCAUGGCGUAUCACAAUCACCUCUCUCAAGACCUUCCUCUUCACUUCUCUGACCAUCACCACCAAAAUCAACCUCUGUCUGAUUCUUCUUCUCUCCGUAACAUUUUGCCGGACCAACUUCCCGCCGGCCACACCUCGCCGGACCCCAAGUCUCAACAACCCCAUCAUCACCACCAUCAUCAACACCCUCUUCAGACUGCCCCCAAUUGGCUCAACAACGCACUCCUGCGUAACCAAAACCCCCAUUCUCACUUCUCUACCGACACCGCCACCACCGCCGCUGCUGCUAAUACUAAUUUCCUCAACCUUCAUACAACUGCAUCUGAUUCUACCGUUUCUCACUCCUCUAACCAAUGGCUUUCCCGUCCGAUUCUUCACCGAAACCAUAGCGAUGUUAUAGAUGAUGUCGCCGCCGGUGAUGCUAUGAUCGGUGCUGCCACUGCUGCGCUGUCUCAUGAUUCUGGUGACUUGAAGAACGAUGCUAAUAGUGGUGAUGGAUUGAAUAAAAGUGAAGGUAUGGUGAUGGAACCUGGUGCGGGUGGAGAAGGGGUUUUGAAUUGGCAACAUGCUCGUUAUAAAGCUGAGAUUCUUGCUCAUCCUCUUUAUGAGCAGCUUCUCUCCGCUCAUGUUGCUUGUCUUCGUAUCGCGACCCCGGUCGAUCAAUUACCGAGGAUCGACGCUCAGCUCGCUCAGUCUCAGAAUGUCGUCGCCAAGUACUCCGCCUUGGGUCACUCGGCUCCGCCGUCCAUGGUUGGUGAUGAUAAAGAGCUCGAUCAAUUCAUGGUAUAUUCCCACACAUAAUCCUUCCAAUUUUCUUCCUCUUUUUACCAUAUUCACAAAUCUGCUCCUAUUGGGAAUUGCUAAAUUGAUGCUGAAACUUCAUUUGCUAUUGCUGUUUAUGUAUACGAAUGUCUUCCUUUUCAGCUAUAAUCCAUUGGGUUUCUCUCUUUGUCAGAAAUUGUUCCAUUUUUCUGGCUUGCUUCAAUUAAUUGGGAAAUGAAAUGUUUGUGUAUUCCUGGGUAAUUUGAGUUGGGUAUUGAGUAUUGGGUAAUGGGUAAAUUCUUUGGUUGUUAAAUUAAUGUUUUUAUGAUCAUUUUCACUAGUGGAUAGACAUUUUAUGUAUUUGCUUGCAACUUGGAGUACUGCCAUAAUUAGUAAGCCAGAUGUGGUGAUAAUAAAUAAACUGAAAUCUCCAUUUAAUUAUGUUACCUGGCUUUUUACAAUGUAUGGACAAAUUUUCAAGACAGUAACCAUAAAUUAUAUUUUUAUGUCGGUUGUCACUUGGUCAAUUCUUUUUUUUUUUCAGUUGUACUCUCCUGCUGCUUGGGUGGAGAAAAUUUAUGUUUUUGCAUUGCAGCUGAUAAAAGGCUGUCCUGCCUAGUUUAAGGACUCUCUUGGAAUGAUUCACUCAGCCAUAGAUUAAUUUUUUUUUUUUUUUGGUUCUAACAAUCUCUUCAUAUCUUGUAACAUAUAUAUAAUAUAUAUUGAUUUAUUGACAUUUAUUUGGACAUUUAAUUGAGUGACUGAUUAUCAGAACCAAGAUUUGGGACAAACUGUACUGUACACAUCAUGCCAACUUAAAUGAAUCUUAUUUAAAAAUUUGAAAAAUAUGUCUUCUUUUUCAUUUGUGAUGCUUUUUGUUUCUGUAGUAAAUUCCUAAAAGCAUUUAGAAAAUAGAUAAAGUCGCAUUAAAAGGAUUAUGAUUUGGGGCAAUCUGAUUAAUCUUUGUUGUUCUUUAACACUCUGCAUCCGUUUUUUCUCUCUUUCUAUCAAUUAGGAAUGGAAAUCUGUCUUAGUCCUUUAUAUACAUAUUCUCUUGUUGCAGACACAUUAUGUUCUUUUGCUUUGUUCAUUCAAAGAACAACUCCAACAACAUGUUCGAGUCCAUGCUAUGGAAGCAGUAAUGGCUUGCUGGGACAUUGAGCAGUCCCUACAAAGUUUAACAGGUAUUCUUGUUGUACCCUUUUGUGUUUUGCUAUUACUUGCUUCUAUGAGAUCCUUAUCUCUGGUUAGUCACUCUUCGAUGGAACUUUAGCUUUAUCCAUUUCUUAUCAAGGAACCAAUGGUUUCUUACUGGUCUUUUCAAAAUCCAAUUCAAGUUUCUGAAAACUUUAGAAAGUUCUUUUUUAGAAAUUGAGUAAAAAUUAGGCUAAAAUGCAAUCGAACCUCCUACAAGACCGUCGGAGAAUCAGUUGGAUGUCAAAUAUUUACUAAAAAAUUAUGAAAAACUACGGUUAAGACAUUGUGAAAAAAACGAGCCUGGUUUUCAAUUUCUUUCUAAUGUAAAGAGUGUCAUAUAUUAAGAACAACGUUAUAUUCUUUUUCCUAUAUCAGGAGUUUCACCUGGCGAAGGUACAGGAGCAACAAUGUCCGACGACGACGACGACCAGGUUGACAGUGAUGCAAAUGUGUUUGAUGGAAGUUUAGACGGUCCAGACACCAUGGGAUUUGGCCCUCUUAUUCCCACAGAGAGUGAGAGGUCCUUAAUGGAGAGGGUCAGGCAAGAACUGAAGCACGAAUUAAAAUCGGUAAUGGAUAUAAUAUUACAUUGAAUGUUUUGUUUCAUUAAUAUAUGUUCUGUUCCUGAAUCUCUCUCUCUUUUUCUUUUUCUUUUUUUUUUCUUUUUUUUUUUUUUUGUUGCCUACAGGGUUACAAGGAGAAAAUUGUUGAUAUAAGGGAAGAAAUUCUGAGAAAGAGAAGAGCUGGAAAACUCCCUGGUGACACCACCUCUGUCCUCAAACAAUGGUGGCAAUCACAUUCAAAGUGGCCUUAUCCUACGGUAAGUUGAGGGAUUUGGGCUUAAAAGCUAUGUCAAAUAACCUUAAGAAAAAAAGGUUAUGUCGAUCUAUCGUUAAGCUAAACUUACCUUGGCCUUGAAUAAAACAUUAACAUGGUUGAGAAUAAGAUGCUUGAAUCUAUAAAAAGAAAUCUACUCAUGUUAUUGAAUAGGGAAAAGUCCAGAUAGAUAAACGUUUUGUAUGCUUUUAAUUCAAUUCUUUACUUUUCUACUUUACUCAUCUUUCUCCCUGUCACAUCAUCUUUUAGUUAUAGCAUAAAUAAAACCUGUAAUGAUGAUUUAUGAGUUUGAAAAUGAAGUAUAAGAGCAGAAGAUGAUGCUUAGUUUGAGAAAACUUUUACAAUUUACUCUCCUCUAUAUUAUUCACGAACACUAGCAAUUGACUUGAAGUGCUUUACGAAAAAACUUUUAAGAAUUGCUUUAAUUAUGACCAAACUUCAAAGCUGGUCAAAACUUUAAUCUGUGUUUGGAUGUUUUGUUUUUGGUUACUUUAUCAGGAGGAAGACAAGGCAAGAUUAGUGCAAGAAACUGGUCUACAACUGAAACAGAUAAACAAUUGGUUCAUUAACCAAAGGAAGAGAAACUGGCACAGCAAUCCUUCAAGUUCUACAAACUUGAAAAGCAAACGCAAAAGGUAUAAUAUAAAUUCCUUAAAAUAAAAAUAUGUAUGUCUUUAAUUUCUCUUCUUUACGAUUUUAACUUAAAUGAAGAACUUGCACCAACCUUAAUUUGAAAGAAGUAAUGCAGGUGAAAACAGCAGCGACCGUUUCAAAUGACUUGUAAUUUCAACUUCAACAACCAACAAAAUCCCUGUUUUUCAACACUUUUUUGCUACAGCAAUAUAAACCCAACCCCCCAUACUAAUUAUUUGGAGGUUAUUCAUUUUAAGCCUUGCAAAACAAACAUAGUUAUCGCUUUGACCGAAGAAGUUAAGGAUGAAAUUAAGAGACGGUACGAUCGAGAACGGAGACGAAGAAAUAUGUGCAUGCUAUACGUGUCGUGGGGCGCAAGCGCGUAAAGAUCGAAAAGCUGCUGAUGAUCAACUAAAAGAUCAAUAUGAAGAAUGUCAAGGGUUUUUCUUUUUCUUCUAUGAUAUGGUGGUUAGAAGAAGUUGAUAUUUAGGAGUAUUUUAGUGGAAAUGAAUUGGAUACUCCACAUGGAAUGGAGUUAUGAUUUUUGUUUUAGCUUCUUCGUGUAUGUGAAUAAUUAAGAAAGGUGAUGGGUUAUAUGGGUGUACAGUUUUAAUAAUCUGUGCAUUGUUUCCUCACAGUACAAUACAUGUCAUUAAUAUAGCUCUUUUUUAAACAAAAAAAAUUAUAUACAUAUAUAUAUAUAUAUUAUACAAAAGUGGAGUAUUAUUAUAUAUACUUAUAUAUUGGUGAUAUCCUCUUUUUAAUUUUUUGGGUUUCUAUCUCUUUGAGUUUUCAUAUACUGUAAUAUAGAGAUUAUAACACAGUAAAUUGGGUGUGACAGAACAGAACUAUAUGGUUGCCUUAUCUAUAACCAUUAACCAACUAUGGAGUUUUUAAUUGGUAAAGUUUUCUUUUUCAUUUGCAACAUUUAAACUACGAUCACUAGAUCUUUCACACGCAUCGAUCUCAAUUGACAUGAAAAAUUACAAACUAAAGGAGAUAAUUAUUGUUUGAAAAAUUACAUUUUCGAUCAUCUAAGUUAACCGUUUUAUCAUAUGGUACGUCACUAUUGUUUGGUUAUUAUAAUUAUUAUAUUUAAAUUACAUUUAAAUGGUAAAAUAACGAAUAUGUUUAAAUUCAAACACUAACAUUUUCUGCACUAUAGUUAUCUUUAUGAAUAAUUUGAUUGAUAAUUAUUCUGUUUUAAUUAAUUUAAUUUAUAUUCAAACACUCAAUCUAACACUAGUCAUUUUGAUGAAUUUUUUUAGUGAAAACUAAUUCAUUAAUUUAAAAUUUAUAAAUAAUUUAUGUAAAUUAAUAGGUCUUUUUUUUCUUUUAAAAUAACAAAAUGGACGAUGAACUAUUGCAAGAACUUAGGACAUGGGGACAAGGAAGCUUGGCAAACAUUGCCUCCUAAAUGUAUAUAUGUAUUCAACAUAUAUCAAUAGUUGUCACUCGUUGAUUGCCUCCUAUGCAUAUCAACAAUGCAUGUAGUUUUUUUUCUCUUUAUUUACUUUCUCAUACCCCUCGUUCUCUCUUUCUCUUUCUUUUUUAUCUACUUCGACAUGCACGACUCCCUCUUCCGAAAUUCAUCAACCUACUAAACAAAAAAAUUAAAGUUUAGAGUUUAUGUUCAACUGUAUUAAUAACAAUGAUUAAGUUAAUAAUCCACUAUAUGAGCACUUUCUAAGUGUUUGUAAACUUUUUUGAACAAAUAUUGAUUAGUUGUAAAAGUUUGGAUUUUGUGAAUUUGGUGGAAAAAUGAAGAAACUAAUAGUUUGUACAUAUUUAUUAACAUUAUCAAAUUCAUCAAUUAAAGAGGUUUAAUUCAGUUAUAUGACUACUGCAUUGAUUAGUCCUCUUUUUCCAAAUCUUUUAGUUCAUCAUAACCAACAAUAAUCAGUACACAUAACAGUAAUUUAACUAAAUCUAAGGUUGAUUGAAAUUAAACGAAAUUAGAAGCAAACAUAAUCAGUAAAUUAGUAAUAACAAUAGAAGGAAUAUACAAUUAAUAAUUAAUUAGAGAGCUUUUUAGAUAUCUAUACAUUUAGCUCUACGAAUAACACCUUUAGCAAAUUGCAAAUUACAGUUAGAAUCAAUGGGUAGAGACUCCCUGAAGAUCCCCAACCCCAUGGUUUCAAAAUCGCAUGAGAUUUACGUGCGGUGGUGACGCCGGCAAUCUCGAAGUGAAAUCCCUAAUUGGGAACUCGUCGUCAUAUCGAAGUUGUUCGUCCUCGAAAUUAAGGGCAUAGCUGGAAGGGUCGUAUCGAAAAUCAGUGGAGUGAUGGUAGCGUCGGCGACUCGGCCAGCUGAUCCGAGCGACAAGACUCCGGCACAUUCCACGGAGCUCCGGGAGGUCAGAGGUCAUUGAUUUGAGAGCAGGAGAUGUUGGAGAAGAAGGGUUAUCGUGUAAUUCGGGAUCGUGAUCGGGGCGGAAACAAGAGAUUGGGGAUUUGAGCUUGUGGGUGAAGGAAAAUGGAUUGUAGUGGUUGAACAUGGUGACGAAGAUGGGAAGUUUUGUAAUGAAAAAUGGAUGAGAGGUGAGAGUUAAGCAGUGAUGAUGGAAAUGGGGGAGAGAAAUAGAAGAGAUAUUUAUAGAGAAUUAUUGGGAGAAAAAUAAGAAGAGGAGUGAAGAAGGGAAGGGGACAGAUAAGAGUGAGAGAGAGAGAGAGAGAAGAGAUAAUUGCGGCAGUUGGCUGUGGAAGGAGCGGGGAAAGCGUGGGAAAAGAGUAGCAUUGUUUUCAUUUUUAAUUUAACCCUUUUCUAAUAAAAGAUAAAUUAUUUUACAAACUAAUUUUAAAUAUAAUAAAAUAUGAUAGUUCCCGGACCAAGGUAAACUACUAUCUAUUUGAACGAAUUUAAUAUUUUUUCAUUUUUCAACUUUAUGCUUUUGUAAUAUAUUAAAAUAAUAUUUAUGUUAGUAUUUAGCCUAGCGGUCAAGUUAUCAUCCAAACUUUUUAGUUAAUGAUGUUUAGAAUAACUCGUAACUCAAUAUGUUGAGAAGUAAAACGAUUGCUAAUUAGUUAACAAGAAAAGAAAAUGACAUCAAUGUUCAUUAUUACUGUAGGUUAAUUUGACACGACACAUUACAAAGGUAAUACAAAAGCAUUGCUGGUUAACAUAAUUAGAAGUUUAAUUUUGAUUGAUUAAAAUUAUAAAAUAUAUGAAAUUUGGAAGAAUGUGUCAAUUGAUACAAUAUUUGAAUUACUAGUUAAAUUUUCAAAGUACUUUACCUUAUUUUAAUCCCACAUUUCAUUAAACCAUAGGCACAUUAUCUUUUCAAUUGAGAAUAUCAAUUAAGGGACAAUGGAUGCAGCCAAACACAGUUCCCAAUUCUUCAGCACAACCACAAGCUUUUUUCUUUGAAUAAUACAAAUACAAUGCAUCAAUGACCAAAAACCAAUUAAAUUUGGAAUUGAGAACUAUUCUUUGUUUCUCUGUACAGGAAAAAAAAAGCAUAGAUCCAUGUAAGUUUGAGAUAUGAUAAUUUAAACUUAAACUUAUAUCAACUUAAUUUUGAACAUUUAAAAGUAUAGUAAUUUAUGUCUCGUUUGGUUUGCACAAUUGGUUGUAUGAGAUUUUUAAUUUUAUCAAAUAUAUCGCAAUCUUUCGUAAACAAAAAUGGAUUAGAAUUUCAACGGAGAAUUCUUUCAUAAAUUAUCCAUGCAUUGAUUUCAUUUGCUCAUCAUGUUAUUUAAAAGAAGAUUGCCUACCUAUAAGAAUUGUUUCAUUAACAUCCAUUACAAUUCAAUAAUUGAUUCGCUCAUUACAAUUUAGAAGUUUAAUUGAAGUAAAGUUCUAACAAAAUUAAACGAAAGGUAAAUCAAUACAUUUAAGAAAGUUGAUAAUUAAAAUUAAUAGAAAAAACUAUCUUAUCGGUCCACAAGUUCUAAUAGAUAAGUGUUCUUUGACCAUCGAUUUUAAAAAUAGACAUUUUUAGUCACCAAAUUUACAACAAUAGACCCAUUUGGUUAUUUUGUUUUCAUCAUGUCCAUUUUUAUUCCAUGAAUUUUAAAAAAUAGGUUCAUAAGACUCAAACUAUUUUAUGUUUGAUUUUAAAAAAAUUAAUUACAUGAUAAUUAAAAAUUUAAAAAGUUACAGUUUCACACCUCAUAUGAAUUUUAGAAGCUAAUUUUUCUAAUUUAAUAUGUUAAAUAAUUAAAAUAAAAAUAUAAAGUUAUUUGAGGGGCUUUUAAACUUACUUUUAAAAUCUCAAUGACUAAAAAAUAGUACAUUUUGAAAAUUCAUAGAUUAAAUUAGUCUGUUCUUAUAAAACGCAAGCACCGAACUCACAUAUAACUUUUUCUAAUUAAAUUUAAUAAAGCUAAAUUUAUAUAUUUUUAUUAUAUAUAUAAAACACUUACAAAAAUGACAAAUAAAUUAUAAUAAUAAAGUGUAUAACACGAUUACUUGAUUAUUUGUGAAAAUGACAAAAACAAAGUCCAAACCGAACAUAUAAAAGCUUGAAUUUGAUUGAUUUUUUCAUAUAUGUACAAAAUACCUAAACUAAUUUGUUAUCGAGUACAAUUUUUCUAUAAAAAAAUAUAUAGAUACUUACAUUACUUUUGGAAUUGAAUGAGUGUAUGUGGCCUCCAGUGGUCACUUCCAUAGGGAUCUCUGCCACAGCCACCCGCCAUAGAAUCCAACGACUAUUUUCAAACUCUCCACCAAUUAGAAUAUGACACGACUUUCCUUUUCCUUUUUUCUUCUUUAAGUCUAUUUUAGUUGUUUAUUAAUUCUGUAGCGCACGUGACCAACACCACCUGCCGACCAUUUUGGUUCAUUCGCCACUUGACCACUUGAAGGUCCCUUCACCUUCAUCUCCGCAACUAACAAAAACACAUUUCUCAAUUUCUUUUAUUAUUUUACACUCACUGAAAUUUAUUUUAAUGUAUAGUAAUCGCAUUAAUGUCGCAAAAGGUUCGUGAAUCUAAAUUCAAGGAUCCUAUACUGACACACAGACUCGUGUGGUCUUUUUGAAAAUUUAGAACAAUGUAAUAUGUGGUCUAAACUCUUAACUAUACUCCAGAAGAGUGUUAAUGAAAUUAAGACUAACUCGUACUAUAGUACUCGUACUGUGUUAUAGUAAAUAUAUUUAAAAGUCCUCAACUAGUUAUAAUAUAUAUUGUUUACAAAACUAUCAUUUUUACUGUUUUACAUUCAUUGUUUUUUUUUCUAGUUGUUACUGAUGUUUACCAUUUCAUUAUCAAAAUAAAAACCGUGUGUAUCUCAAAUACAUGUUAUUCUAAUCCAAAUUGAAACAGUAACUUAUGAUUAUAAUAAUUCACUACUUGCCACAAAUGUCUUCUAAAACGUGAGCUUCAACAUAUAUAGUUUCGUUAUUCCACUUUUAGAGAUAUUUUAUUCACGUUUACGAAUCAAACAAUGUGCUAGUAAAUGGUAAGUUAAUAGUUAUAAAUUGGUUGAUGUUUUUGGAUUUUGUUUUGUUUUUGAAAGAGUAUGUCUUAGCUCAAGUGAGCAAUGUAGAUUAGGUACCCACUAUACACCAUUUUAUUAAUUCUUCCUUUUACUUUACUUUAGUUUGGAAUUUUGAACAACAAUGUGAUAAAAAAAAAAAAAGUAAAAGAAGAUAAAUCGCUAAUCCAAAUUGAAUUGGGUUGGGUUCCCUCGUUUAAAUUUUGAGUAAUACUAAACAAUAAUAAAGAACAUGUCUGCACUUUUUUUUUUUCCUUUUUUGUUUUCUUAAUAUAUAUAUAUUUUUAAAUUAGAUUUUUCUAACUCUUUUUUCUAAUUACUGCCUUAUCUGUUUUUGGAUAGUUGCAAAUUUAGUAACUACAUUCAAAAUAAUUAAGUAUAUAACAACAUUUUAAAAAAAUUGCAAAUAUAACAAUAUUUGUCAAAUUCUAUCAAUAAUAGAGUAUAUCACUGAUAGAUCAUGUUGUAAAAAUUGGUCUAUCACCGAUAGAUCAUACAGGUCUAUCAAUGAUAAUUUUGCUAUAUUUGCAAUUUUUUUAAAUGUUGCUAUAUAUUUAAUUAUUAUUCCUCAAAUAGUAAUUUACUAUAAUUAGAGAAAUCGCAAUGAAUGACUAUUUUAGCAAUAAUAAUGAAGGAUACAGUAACAUUUUAAAAAAAUUGCAAAUAUAGCAAAAUUAUCACUAACAGACUUGUAUCGCUGAUAGACUUCAUAUGAUAUAUCAGUGACAGACUUAUCGACUUAUAUCAUUGAUAGAUUUUGACAAAUUUUGCUAUAUUUGCAAUUUUUUCUUAUAAUUACCCUUUCUCUUUCUUUAUUUCUUUAUUUCUUUCCCUUUUUUUUCUUUUUUUUUAAUAUUCUGCGGUCCACUUUAUAUAACAGAUCGGCCCAAGUAUAAAUAAUUGGCCUUUGCAAUAGUCUGCUACUUCCUGGGCUUCUGAAUUGGAGGCGGGAAGGGGAGCCCUCUCGAAGCAUCCAUGGCCGAAUUUCAUUUCUCUUCUACAAUUUUAAACAAUGCUUGGAAGCCAUAACCUCAAACAAGCAUCAUCAGGAGCGAGAGAGAGAAGCAAGACGAAGCGAAGAAAAGCUUUCUGAAUCAUCUUCUUGGUUCGACUUUUCAAGUUCAUUCUCCUGUAUCCGCUUCUCCGAUUUCAUGGCGAGUAUCUUCCUCUUUUCUUUCUCUCUCUCUUUUUUUUUUUACUUGUACGAACUGCAUUUCGUAGCAUUCUCAUUGUAUGUAUAUUUCUUCUUGUUUUACUAUUUUGUAGGAGUUACAACAGGAGCAAACUCCGUCGGUAUCCAUAGAAGAUUGCUUGAAGCUCCUGAAGGGAGAGAAAGAUGAGCAGCGUCUUGCUGGCCUCUUCUUAGUUACUAAAAUUUGCAAGGUGGAUGACCUUGCCUCGCUUUCUAGAGUUUAUAAUGCCGUUGGAUCGAAGUUUCUUGAUCGACUUCUGAGAACUGGUAUGUUUCUUAAUACUUCGUGAUCACUUAAACUUGUUAGUUGAACUUGAACAGUUUGAGGCUUAUAUGCUUCUUUUGAUGUUUAGACUCUGAAACCGUGUUUAAAACUUCUAGGCAUGGGUAAAGGAACUGUUAGUGGACCUGGAGAAGAUAAUCGCGAUGCGUAUUUGCAACUGUCUGUUAGGAUUCUGGCAGCGUUUUGUCAUGUUCCUGAGAUCGCUGCUUCAGAAGAAAUGAUCUCGAAGACUCCACUGAUAUUGGAAACCCUAUCCAACCAGUGCGUUCGCUAUCAGUAAACUCUUUCUUGGUUACAUUUCUACUUUAGUCAGUUUAUUAUGAGUACGGUAUUAGAACGACGAGUAUCUCUGAGAGACCGAGGUGAUUUUGAACGACAAUGCGUCACAAUGGAAUUAGAAAAAGAAAAUCGUUUGUGCACUUGUUUUCUUUUCGUAUUCACCUGUAUUCUUCUUGUUCCUUUGAGUAUUGGUGUUUUGUUGAGGACGUUUAGAGAUUGAUCUUAAUGCAUACUUUAGAUUUGCUGUCCGAGUACCUACUCAACCAUCUUUCAGAUUUCAAUACAUAAAUUUAUUUAUAUUAUUAAUUCAUUCUUGAAUUUACUUGUGCUCUGGUAUUUAGGUUCUUACCAUCAAGAAAUGACUAAUUGCAUCAAGGACUGGAUUUUUUGAAUUGCUAUUUAGAUCAUGCUUUCUCUUCCUUUCCAAUCCCUUUCAUCGUUGUUUCUUUUGUUGUUUAUGCAAGGUCAGGAUUUUCUGUUUUGGAGGAGUGUCUUGAAUUUUUGUAUCUAGUAUCAACUGCAUCUGAUGCUGGAGUGACGACUCUGUAUGAAUCUGGUAGCCUGAAGAUUAUAGCUUCUUGGAUGUCGACAAUGCCAGAUGGUAACACUUCUCAUUGUUUGUUGAAUCUCAUUGAUGACCUUGUUGUGGGCUGUUGAUCACUCAAUAUCUCAGUAUAAGCUUUUGCAUACAGGUUCUCAGCUGAUGAAGAUUUCCAUACAGCUUGUUCAAUUGAUCAUUAGUAAGAUUUCUCUGGACACUAUCAUCAUCAACGCUUUGCCUGACCUAUCAGAUAUUGUGAGUUAAAUUUUAUGUAUGUUCUAGUUACUAUCUAUUAGGUUAGGACAUCUCACUCGUUUUGGUUCAUUUUCAGUCAAAUUCUUGUAGGGAGACACGAAAAUUCUAUUCCCCCCAUAAUUGAGUAAAUAUUAUCCAAUUAGGUUGUCGCUAUUGCGAGGCAAUUUGGAUUGGCACAUGAUGCUAUGAAGUUUGAAGCCCUUCGCCUGCUUUCUGCCAUCCUGUCUUCAAAUUUGGUAUGCAAUUAAUGGUUCUAAUAGGGAAUAUUACUUUAGUAGUUUUAUUGCCUAGCUUUGACUGAUGCAUAACUUUUUAGGUUGAUAUACAUUCUUUUUAGUUUUAUUGUCGUCCUUUCUACCUUUUAAGUCAUGUUAAUUCAUAAUCAUGUUUUGCAAAUGGCGUUUCAUUUUCAGACACCACUUUAUGAUACCCUUCGUCAAGUGCCCUCCAAUGUUUGGGCAAAACAUAUGCGUGAUGGAGUUUCAGCUAUUCUUCAUAACCGCACAGGUAUCCUAAGCUGCAAUUUCUUCAAUGUAAAACUCCUCCUUUUCCAUGUCUGGCAAUCAUUGUGUAGCUAUAUUGUUUUUCCUAUGUUGCUUGCUAUUAAUCAAUUUGGCUCUAAAAUGCCAUAUUAUCAAUCUUCUACUUAGCUUGACUAUAAUGUAUUUGACAUAUAGUCAAAUUGUUGGAUGUUGAUUAUUUUUGGUGUUUGCAAUCUACAAGUUUAUUUGAUUGAUUAUGAAAGCUGCAGCAAUCCUAUGUUCUUAGACUGGUGAAACUUGGUAUCUGAGUUGGUAUAGAAGGAGACAUGAAAUAUAGUUAAAGGAUAUUUGCAAUUUAGCCUUUUUCUAGUUUCUUUUGGGGUGAAGAUAAAAUGAAGUGUAUGUUAGGUCCUGGAUACUGUAUAUGUUGGAAGGCCACCCUUUUUUCUUUAAACUUAUUACAGUGCAUCAAUUUAGAUGAUCAUUCAUAUUUAGCACUUUAUAAGGUGAAAUUUUAUUUUCUUUCUAUUGGGAUUUAAAUGUUCAUUUGCUCUUGUAAUGGAAAAGUGAAAAAUUGGAGGCAAAUAUUUCAAGUAUAUUCUGUUUUUUGAAGCUUGUUUUGUAGUUGUGUCCAGGAAGAUGUUUGAGUUUCUAACUUAAUUGAAUCUCUUGCUUUGCUGUCCAAUGUUCAGCACCUGCUGAAAAGCUUCAGGCUCUUAUUUUGGCCGAGUCAAUGGUGUCUAUUGUAGGAGAAGGUUGGCUGAUAGGUGAAAUAGAAUUACCUGAUGUUCAAGACGCUAUUCCAUCGGACAGGUAUUCAGUGAUUGCUACCAGUAAUGAUGCUUUAUUUAUUAACUUCUCGUAUAUAAUUUUCAUUUUUCUCUUCUAUCUUGAUCUCAGAUGUCUAAUACUUGUCUUAGAGCAGUCAAGGGUUGAGAUUGCUGUGAUGCUGAAUGAACUGGCCUAUAUGAAAUAUGAAGCUUCCAAGAAUUCCUCCUUGAAGGAAGAUAUCAUCUUAAAGCAGCGCAAUGUAGCUACUGCCUUCUCUUUGGUGGAAAAGAUAAUUAAGUUAAUAUCAAAUGUCGAAGAAGACCAAGGUAAAUGACUAAUUUGAUGUCAAUUAUUUGCUAGGUCUUGAAUUUUAUUUAUUGGCAUUGAGAUUGGUAGGCCCAGAUUUCAAAAGUUUAGAAGGAUCAAUCCUGAUGAUUGGGGGGGGUGGUGAAGUAUAGUUUCGACUCAUUAUUUUUUGUUAGUUAGAGAAAGGGUGCGAUGGUGCUCGAUGAUAUGAGAAAGGAUAAAUCCGUAGGCAUUCUCUAUGUUUCUAAUCGUUGGUUUAAGAUUUUUUUCCCCAUUUAUAGCUUACUUCAUAGAAUAUAUUGGAUAAUUAAUUAAUUGUGAUGAUAAAUGUAUAGCUAGAUGAUUACUUUAAGGGUGUAUAAAGGAAAUUGGUGACUUAACUAACCAACUAUACAAAUGAGUUUUAUAUUUUCUUAAAAUUUUACAGUUAUCAAUUUUAUAUUAUUCUUGAGUUAAGUUAGAUUAUGUACAAGAUUGAAGUUUGCUCUAGAAAAGAAGAGAGUUCGGAAAUGUCUUGGUAGAUCUUUUUUGACACAAAAUUAUUAUUAUUAUUAUUAUUAUUUUUCAAAAUAUGAUCAAUCAAAUAGAAUUACAUAAAACUUGAAGAUGGUUGAAGCUUGGAGUCAUGGACAUAAAUGUUGCUUGAUGUGUUUGUGAAAUAGUUGGUCUUUCUGUGACCCUUUUGGGGCUUUACAUGGUUGAAUUACUAACCUCUUGAUAUUGCUAUUGCUUUGUGGCUUGUCUUAUCUUGUUUGGACUGAUUUUAAGAUCCGUCCAUUUGAAACAGACAUUUUUAUUAACGUUGUUAUGAUGUUGUAAUCCAAUGUUGACCUUUCGCUAAUAUGUUCGGCAAUGCCAAGUUAUUUUCUUUUUAAUUAUUUCACAAUCUAAUAAUUUCCUGAAUACCUGGAGAAUUUAUUUGUAGGGGAUCUUAUCAGUGAAAACACACUGAUGAAAGUGAUUAGAGGCCUUAAUGAGACUACUGGGGUUGUGCUAGAAUAUUUGCAAGAUGCAAAGGUAAUUAUGGAAAAAAUUAUAGUUGUAGUAGGAUAUGGGGAUACUGUUCCUUAUUUAAGAUUGUGAUUUAUGAUUAUUCAGGAGCAUGGACAAAGAAAAGGAGAUGACAUUUUAGCAUCUGUACGGGUUAUUGGGAGGUAAUAUAUUCUAUAUUUGUUUGAAAUCCUUUGUGAGAGUAGAGUAUUUCCAAUUUUUAAAACAACAAGAAAACGGUUUUGAAUGAAUUUCUUUUAACUGUUUAAUAUAUUGAAAUGCCCCUUGUUUAUCCUUUUUAUGAAUAUCUAUUUUGUAAGAAGCAUAGAACGGAAAAUUUGAGCUAGUCUGCAUAUUCUUUGAUCCUAGAUAUAUAGAAGAAAAAGAAUGUAGCAAAUCUUCAAGGUCUUUUGCCUUUGCUGUGUAAUUGCUUGAUAAUUGAGGAGUGUCUAGGUGCAAUGGUACCAACUAUCUAAGACUGUCGAAGUAAUAUGAAAUGUGAAUUUUCUUCUUUCAGUUAGUAUAACAUGUGGGUACUCAAACUAGACUAGGAUUCUAUUUGUACAUGGAUUGCCUCUGGUUAACAUUAUUUUCUCUUUUAUUUCAGUUUUCUUGCACAAACCCCUGAUGCAUGGGCAGAAAGAGUUACGGAACUCUUGGACUAUAUGCUCUCUGUUGAAGGUGAAGAUGAACAGAGGUUUGUCAGUGCCUUUAUUGUACGAAUUCAGUAUUUAUUGUACGAAUCUAAAGAACCUGAAUUCCAUUUCUAUAUUUACAAACGGCAGCCCCUUCAACUCUGUGUGCUUCUUGCUUCCCAUGCUAUGCCAAAUUACGAUGAAUGUUGAAGGAUGUAAGACGUUGGUUUCUUCCAGAGGUCUUGCAGCUGUAAGUGAUUGCCAUAUGGAAUUGGCUUUUAUAUAAGUGGUCUUGUGAACUCUGAAACUUUCUAUUUAUUACUUUUGCCAGACUGAAGUUCUUAAUCAUUGAGCAUUUGGGUCUGCACACAGGUUGUGAAAUGCCUUGUAAAUUUGAUUGACCAACACGGUGGCUGGAUUGACAAUGAUGGAUCCAUCUUCUUGGCUUGUGAUACAAUCUUGAAUGUGCUUCUGAAGGUACUCAUCUAGCCAUUUACUGUAGUAUGAAAUUCGGUUUAUAUUGUUUGUUUAAGAUUUUGAUUGGUUACCAUUUGAGUUUCUAUUUUUGGUUUUUGAAAAUUGAUCUUAUAAUCACUAAUUCCAUCCUUUAAGUUUAUUUGUUUUCUUGUCCACUUUCUACCAAUGUUAUUACUACAUGUUCAAUUUUUUACGUUGUAACAAGUCUAUUUCGUAUGUUGUCCACUUUCUAGAAAGAGCUUGGUGGGCUUCUAUGUGGCGAAUCAUCUUUUAUUCACCUGUUGGAAGCAAUUGCAAAUUCGACUGGUAUUUUUCUUGAUUUUUAUUCUUUACAUGUUGGGAAUGUGCGUUAAAUAAAUAAAUAAGUAAAUUUAGAUUAUUUAUUGUUAUUGUUUAUGAUGGUUGUAGAGGAUUCGAGAGAGCUAUCUGUUAUCAUGAUGGGUGGCAGUAUAUGUGCCUUGAUAUUUGAUUUCACAUCGGAGAAUGCUCUUCUAAGCAAUCCUAAUUUUGCCGAUAAAUCUCUGGAUAAGUUAUGCAGACUCUUUUCAAGAAUCUUCAUUUUGUCUCAACAGGUAUGCUAAACAUUAUUACAAGUAUUGUCGUUAAACUUUCAAAUUUACAAGUCUAUAGAAGGCCCAAGUUUUUUUUAUUUUAUUUUAUAUCUAAAAGGUUGUUAACGUUCCACAUUUUCAUUUAACUACAAGAUAUCAAUUUGAAGGAAAAUGUAGUGAACUUAUAAUUUAACAACACUGCCGCUGAAGCUGAAUAUAUAAAAUUUUGAAUUUCUCUGUUUUUUCAGAAGAGCAUGAACGACGAUGAAAUGGCACAGAUGGAUCUUCUCGAGAUUAUAACAGCAGGUUCCUGCUUUUCUAUUUGAAUCUCAGUAUUGUACCAUUUAAAUCUUUUUCCCUCCUAAGCUAAAGCCUUUUUCUCUUUUAAUUAUUAAAACUUUGUUUUCUUCUUCUUUGCAAAUUGCAACCAUUGAAAGGAUGCUUUAAAUUUGAUUUCAGGAUAUUCUCGUUGGGGAGACAGAUUCCCGCGUGUUCAAAAGGCAAUUAGCAGGUUACGAUAGUAUUCAUCAGCAUUUUGCAUCCAUCCUUAUGAUUAUUGCUAAAUGGUAAUUAAUAAGGAAAUCAUAUGUUUGAUUGUUAAUUAUUAAUUAGUAUAGUUUAUGAAAUUAAAGUUUAAGUUAAAAGAUGAUGGGGAUGGGUUGAUUUUAGUAGAUGACAAAGCAUGCACCAACAUCGUUUACUAAAUAUUUGAGAGAGGAUUAUAAAAUAGGAAGGAAAAAACAUACUUUUGAGUGGCAAAAAGAUAAAAUUUAGUUUAGAAAGAAUUUCGGUCUUUUCUUUGGUAAUCUAAAAUUUACUUGUUAAAUCAAAUGUGUUUUGAAAGAAAAGUUUUUGGGCUCGUGAGCAUAGAUAUUUGAUUGUCUAGGGUAACAUAUCGUUUGUGCAAGUCUAGGAUAGAAGUAAUGAAUUAUUUAGAAAUAAUCUAGUCAUAAAUAGAUUUUAAUUAUUAACAUAAUACAACAUUAUUUAAAUCAUCGAUAACAAGUAGUUUGAUUAAUUGAGUUAGAAUAACAGAUUCAUAUUUAUUAAAAUUGUUCCUAAAUUAUAAAGAAAUUUAUGCGUGGUAUUUAUGCUGUAUGAUGGAAACAUAAUCUUUAAUUUAUCAGUUGAAUUUUAUUCAUCUUCUACUAUUAUUAAGGGUAUUUAUAAACUCAUUAUCUAAAGUAGACUAUAUUUCAAAUGCAUAAAGAAACAUUAAUUUUUUAGUUCUUAAGUCUUAAUAAAUAGGUGUUUUUAGAUUUUGAGUUUUAAAAGUGUUUUUUUAGUUACUAAAUUUAUAAAAACAGACUUUGUUUGGUACCUGAAUUUUUUAAAAGUAAAGUUUUUAAAAAUAGGCUCUUUUGAUUUUUUGGAAAUGUCGUAUAAUAUUUAAAAUAGAAGAAUAAAGUUAAUUAAAAUACCAUUUAAAAUAUUUGUUAUAUUUUGAAACUUGAAAACUAGACAUUUAUGACUUAAAAAAUGUAUCUAUUCGAAAUUCAGGAACUAAAUUUUGGAUUAAGGUGUCUAAACUGAUUUUGUUUAGUUAUGAUUAGUUGGUCUGUGUUUCGGUCUACCUUGUCCUACUUAAAAGUGCACUUAUUUAUGAUAAAUCUAUCUUCGUGGUUCAAAUAACGAAAUCUAUUUUAAAGUAUGUUUACCUUAUCUGAGGUGAAAAGCAACAAUCGAUCUGCUUCAAGUAUAGAAAAAGCCAUACGCAACAGAAAGCUCAAAAGAACUUCUCGUAAAGAAAUGAACAAAUGAAUUUACUAUUUAAGCAUAUUGUAGAUAUCAAGAGCAAAUUUCAUAAAAAUGGAUCGGGCGUAAAUUUACAUUACAAAUUCAAAUUAUCUUUUACGCCACUUAAAUAUCUAAUAAAAGUUUAGUGAAACAGUUGCUAAUAGCUUUAUACGUAACAAUAUCUUUUUAUCUUUUAGACAUUCCAUUGUAUGUUUAAUUGGAUGUUUAAAAUCUCAAUUUUCUCAGUUUUAAAAUACAUUGUAUUUUUUAAAAAUUGGAUUAGGGACGUUUGGCAAAACCUUUAUUUAUCGUGAAAAGAUAAUAAUGAAAUAUUCACGCAAGAAAUAUACCUUCUUAGGGCUGCUUCUAUGAACAAGUAUUCUAUUGCUCAAAAGUUGCAUAUGUAUUAUUCACAUCCAAGUAAUUUGUAAGUUCCUGCAGCUGCUGUAAAAAGAGUACAAAUUUUAAAAGUAGUAUAAUUAAAACAUCCAACAUUCAGCAUUCUUGUUUCUUGGGAGGGUAUAAAAUAAAAUAAAACUAAUCUAUUGGAUAAUAUAAAAAUAACUUUAUUUUUAUAAGUUCUAAAAACGAGGAUAGGGAAAAACUUAGAAACAAGCAAAAUUUGGAAAACUUGGUUUGGACCCGAGCCAGUCAGUUAUCUCCUAAGUUCUAAUAUUGAUUAGCCAAACAAAUUUUAGAUUGAAAGCUCUUAACGCCUAACUGUAACAUAAUCAUAUUCAAAUUUCAGUAUAUAUUUACCUCGAUGAAUUACUUCUACUUUUUCGGAAGAAGAAACAAGUGUAUAGAAAUUAUUAGUAUUUCAUGCUUUACAAAAAUUAGAAAAACUAAAAAACACAGAAGCUACAGUGAAUAGAGAGUUACUCGGAAGACGGGGCAUCACCUCAGUCCAUCUAAAAAGAGACGAGAAGCUACAAGAAGAAACCCGCAUUUUAUAAGCACCAACCUGAGGUUAUAUGCUGCAGCUGCACAGCUACCAAAAUGCAGGGAUGGAAGAUUGAACCGUGCAUUGAACAUUAGAAUGGUGAUGGAUGUGUCAUCCGCUAACGGAGUACUGCAAAGAGAGGGGGAAGGGGAAGAUUUUUUCUUUAUUCUAAAAGGAUUAAUAGGUGUAAAAUUUUUUAAGGAUGGUUGGGAAAGAUACAACUAAUAAUAGCUAAGUAUUACUCUCAAAAGAUGUAUGAUAAAACAAACUAGAAACUCAGGAGGAUGCAAGAAAGUUACAUAAAUUUUGAAACAUUAUACCCAGUUAAAGUACAAGAAAGUUCAACCAACCAUCCAGUAGUACAUUUGCAUAAUUGUAAGUUUAGCUUCCAGCCAAACAAUUACAUGUAUGAAUGCAUUCAACCUAAUUCAAACAUGCUCAUGCAACUAUGCAACAAAAAUUCUUUCACGGACUGUAAUUCGAAAUGUACAAUGACAGCAAAACAUGUCAUGUCUUCUUAAAAAAAGAAAAGGAAAAAGAAAAAAAGACAUGCCUGGUCUGUAUGAACAGUGUUAAAUGAACGUAAACCUAAACCCUAAACAAUUUUGUUUUAAAAAAUUAAGCACCUAAAUCCUCUUGUAUGAGCCAAAUUCUAAAUUCGAAAAAACAGAUUUUAAAAACUAUAUUUUAGUUGGUUUUUGAAAACAUAGGUAGAAGGUAGAUUAUAUAAAUAGAAAUUUAGAGGUGGACAAAAUGUCUAUGAGCUAAAAACUAAAACUAAAAACGAAAAAAUCAAUUAGUUAUCACUUGAUUACUUAAAUGAUUACCAAACGGAGCAUAAAAUACAAGAAGCAAUAGUGACAAACAAGUGAACAAGAACAACCAACAACUUCCCUAAUCUACUCAAUAAUACUAAAGGAUAACACAAUCCAUAAAACAAACGCAAAGGAGCCAUAUAAUUCAUUCUCAGAAAUGCACAGGUUGUAGUACCAUAGAUUCCUCAAUUUGGAAAGCAAUCCAAAUCAAGAAGACGCAAAUAGACGCAGCAAAUAGCAAGGGAAGAAAAAACCAAAUGCAAACCUGUUUUCGCCGCUGGAGACUCGUAGAGGAGCCAUCACAACUGUACUGAUCUAGAGACAACAAUGCCAGUCAUAAUCCAUCACUUGAAAAGUCGACAGCAUCAUUCCACAGAAGAAGUGAAGCAAAACCUUCAGAUUCAAGCAACAAAAACAAAAAGAAUAGAAGGAAGAGACAUUAGGCGUAGAACACAAUCAACGAUUUCAGAAAUUUCAAAAACAGAACCCUAAAUAUAAAAGAACAUGGAGUUUAGUAGUUACAGAGCUCCUCGAGCAUUUUCCGGCAAUGUACACGAAGAAGAGUACCGUAAGCCGUAAGCAUAUUGAUCAACGCCGGAGAAGAAGAAGAGAGAGCAAAACCUUCGGAUUCAAGCACCAAAAACAAAAGGAAGAGAUGCAAGAGAGAUUAGGCGUAAAACACAACAAACGAUUUCAUAAAGUCCAAAAACGGAACCCUAAACGUAAAAUAAAAUGGAAUUAUGUACUUACAGAACUCCUCCAUGGAUUUCCAGCAAUGUAGACGAAGAAGAACAGUACCGUAAGCCGUAAGCAUAUCGAUCAACGCCGGAAAAGAAGAGAGAGCAUCCUUCGGAUUCAAGCACCAAAAACAAAAGGAAGAAGCAAGAGAGAUUAGGCGUAAAACACAACAAACAAUUUCAUAAAUUCCAAAAACGGAACCCUAAAUGUAAAAUAAAAUGGAAUUAAGUACUUACAGAUCUCCUCGAUCGAUUUCCAGCAAUGUACACGAAGAAGAACAGUACCGUAAGCCGUAAUUAGCAUAUCAAUCAACGCCGAAGAAGAAGAGAGAACAUCCGCACACAUUGAUUGAGAACGAUUUGAGAAAUUAAUUUUCAUUUAGAAUCAGCGAUCGGUUUCUUGGAGUCGACGAUGGAUCGGCUGAGAAAUUUGAUUAGAGGAAAAAGACAACUGAACUGUGGAGUAUUAUUUUGUAGCGUAUGAAAGAAAACUAACAGAGAGAGAAAUGCUUUUUGCGUUGCGCCCCCACCAACAAACCAUGACACGUGGUUUCCUUUUAUACGCGAUCUGUGUGCAGCCCACUAAAAUAAUUUUAUGUUUGGAAAAAUGGCCUACUUAGCGGUAAUACGACGCAUCCUUCGUAACAAUGACUCCUUAUCUAACCGUCGACAUGUGGCCCACCAUUUAUUUAUUACUUUCUUUUGCAUCACUAAUUCAAACUUUGAAGAAAAGCCAAAGAUUUGGGAUUUUAAUUUUUAAAUUGGAGCGUUUUGAAAUUUAGGUUAACCAAACAAUAUAUUUAUAAAAUAUAACAAACUUUCUUCCUUCCAUUCGUGUAUCUAUUAGAUAUCAAUGUCUUAUAGCCUUUUAUCUAUGCUUCUAGGAGAGACUUCUAUUUGAUAUUUUGUUAUAUUUUAUAAAUGUAGGAUGUACCUUUUAAAUGUAGCAAAAUGAACCAUAAUAAUUACAAAACAUAACAAACAUUCUAUAAUUAGAAACGAAUAGACUUCCAUUAGUAUAUAACAUUAGUUGUAAAUAUUUUCAAUCGUUUAUCAAAUAUCAAAAUAAUUGGAACUAAGUUCGAAUAAAAAGCAUAAAGAGAAUUUUCUACGUGGGAAUGUAACAAAAAAAUAAUUUGAUGUAGCUAUAUAAUUUCAUUACAAUCACUCUUCAAAUUCCAAAACAAUCAAUUUGACACUCUCUAUCAUAAACAACCUGCUCUUGAAAUUUCACAAACAACAAUUUCUCUCUAUUCAAUCUCAUAAAUCAAAUUCAAAAUUAAAGUUUCUUCCUCCACCCUAUAGAAUCGUUGAUGAAUAAUGAAUAGUUCUAUAACUAUAUCUUUGUUGCUGAAUCGCCAAUCUUCUCUUGAAUGAAAGUGCAAAUGAAUAAUACUAUAAACAAACUUACACUCUGACCAUGUAAACAGCAAAUCGAAAAACCAUAACGUCUGGCGUAAAACAUCUGCAACCACAGAAAGAAUACAACAUGAGUAACUUAGAAGAUGAGGAAUGAAACAUGUAACAGCCAUGCUGAGUUUAUUGGAAGAAAUUGUAUCGAAAUGUUCGAAUCCAGAACUCAAAGAAAACAUGAAAUAUAUAGUAGAAGUUACAAGAAUCGAGUUCUCGAUAAAUGAAUAACGCGUCUCUGCUGUGGUAUUGUAUGUAUAUAAAUUAAUAAACAACAGGGUCUAUGAAGAGGGCAGCACCACGAAACCAUAUGAAAGAUAACUUGAAAUAUAUCAAGAGAAUAAUUAAAGCUACCAAUUUACAUCAUAUCAUAAACAAAUUGCAUCAUAUAACAAUUCAGCAUGGUGUGGUUAAUAUAGAUUUGCAUUAACAACAUUAAGUUCUAUAAAGGUAACUUUCUGUGAAAAAUAAAUAAAUUUGGAAAGCUUCUAAAUGAGAUGCUCUUUUACCUUUUGUCUAUAUGGGAAGCAGAACACCAGAAAAUUUGAUGCAAAGAAAACUGAAAUAUUGCUUAUAAAGAAUGCCCCGAUUGACAACAACUCUCAAAAAUGUUCGAGAGUGAAGUGAAGUUUUGGAGCCCGACGUCGAAAUAAAGGCUCGAGGCGGAAAGAUGGAACGCCAAACUGCCAUCUUUUAGCAUCAUACAUUUCAUUCCAUGCCUGUACGAUCUCAUCGAUUUUGAAGCCGAAACCUGCAAGCCCAAAAUAAGAAGAUGCUCUAUUAACAACAGAAAAAGAUUGUGUGAAAAGAAAAGUUGAACAAUAUUGCAUUGCAUCAAACAGAAGCUCUAUUCUCUAAGGAGGACAGCUUGUGCUUUACCUUCCAGUGCUGUUUCAUUGGAACAAUGAUUCUUUAUCAUAACUGCAAUAUCUGUUUGGGAAGCCCCAGCAAGUUCGAACUUCUCUACCGACACUUCCAAACAUUCCUCCCAGGUUGGUAGCUCGAUCUUAUAUUCCACGACAGAACGCUCGUACAACAAGGUGCCCCAUAAAAGGUAUAUCUGUGAUCUCAUGUUUGAAGCCAACUCUGCAGCUUCAUCAGCAGGUAUCUCAGUGAAUAGUUUUUCCAAUCCCAAUUUUUCUAACUCAGAUCUGUAUUUUUCACUUUUGGAGAGUCCAUUCAGGCGUUGUUCCUCUAUUUCUUCCCACAUCAGCAUGCCCUUCUCCAUGCUGUCCUCGGCCUUGUUAUAAAGUUGUAAGACCUCUGUGGAGAAGCUCGAUUCCAAAUCGAUUUUGCUUCCACUAGCAAUAGCAUAAUACCAGCAAAGCUUAGCCUGCUCAAACUGCUGCUGCCCAAGUGCAAGGAAACCUUCAUAGAAGUCAGGUUUUACAUUUAGAGCUUCUUCGUAUCUCAUUUCGGCUUUUUUGUAUUCUUUUCGUGCCCAUUCAUAUGCAUCCUUAAUCCGUAGAAGUAGAGUUUCUCUCGAACAGUCUUCCGGAAAGAAAACCUGCUUCCUUGCCCUGGACAUGUGAACAUUGCCCCAGUUGAAGAAUGCCAGAGCUGCCAUUUCUUGAAACUUAUCAGCAGCAAUUUCAAAAAGUUCCUGUGCACUAUCUCCUGUUACAGAAUCCUCCAUCGCUUCCGAGUACAGCUUCAUUCCAAGCUCAUGAAGAUCCAGGUAUGAAUCAGAAUCAACCGCAACAUGGUUCUUGAACAAUCGUGCAAACUGGACUAUCCAAUCCUCAACCGUGGUCGUUCCCCUUACAAUCUCUUUGUCAUUUACGGAAUCCCCAUUCAUCACCACUGUAUUUUUUCUUUUAUCAAUAGCCUCUGGAUGCUUCUCCUCGCUCUCGAUUUCCUUGUAGGCAGGUUCCUGAUCAGGACUAACCUCUGUGAUGUAAAGUCUAAGUGAACCCUGCGAUUGACUAGAUGAUUCAACCGACCUUAACUCCUCUGUGGUAGUAAUUGUAACCAGAUCACCCUCUUGAUCUCUGUACUUCACAAGAACACCCUUCAAGCUUGGAAAUCUGUCGCGAACUAUCUCGCUCACCAAUUUUAUGCUGCAGUUUGUAGGUAACUGUGCCCAUCUUAUGUCUUCUCCAAAUACUAACUUCACUGUCCUUGAGACCGGUUUUUCCUCAAUCGGUUCAAUGAACAAUUUGUCUUCCUCAAUAGUAUUUUUUGUAACUUCCUUAUCUUCAACCUGAUCAACUUGAAUCACUUGAUCAAUCUUCUCCUCCACGAUCAACUUAUCAUCUGUCUUUUCAUCAACUUUCUUAUUCUUCUUCUUCCUUAGUUUCUCCCUAACUACCUUUCGCAAAUGCGCUCCGGGAGGUAGCUUUACGCUGGCCAAACCAAUUUCUUUUUCAUCAACAUCAACACCCUUUUCUCUCAUCGUCUUCUUGACACUAUCCAAAAUCUCUAACGCAGAGAAGUUGUUAGGCUCCAAGCUCAAAACAGUAUUGACAUCUCUCAACGCCAAAUCAAACCGAUUCAAAGCCUCGUAACACCUUGCUCUCUUCAACAACGCCUUGCUGUACCUUGGAUGAGCCUCCAGCGCCAAAUUACACUCGUUAAUCGCCCGUGGAUACUCGCCCAAUCCCAAUUGCAUAUAACACGCAGCCAUGUUGCUAUGAAGAUGAGCAACAUCAAUAUGAUUUUUCGGCAAAAGCUUAAGAGCUUUCUCAUAUUUCAACAUGGCGCCUUCAUGAUCUCGCUUCUGAAAUAGCCGGUUGCCUUCCUCCUUAAGCUCUUGGGACAUGUUUAUGAAAAUCGCCGUGUCUUCAUCGAACGCCUUCGAGUUCCGGUCAGAAGGCCGAGCAGUCUUUGAAUUAGCAUUCCCAGGCUUCUCCCCAACAUUUUCCUUCUUCUUUCCCGUUGGCUUCCCCAUUAAAAUAACACAGAAAUGACAAAGUUGCUGAUUCAAAUCUCAAAUCCAACCCUCCUCACUCUCCUUCCUUUCUAAUCCUCAAAUCAUACAAAACUCCAUCUAUUGAAAAUCCGUGGAAUAUAGAAUACAAACUACAGAGAGGCAAACGAAACAGGAAUAGAAGCUAGAGUAAUAAAAUUGAAAAAAAAAAAAAAAAAAACCCAAUCAAAUACGCUUCCCAACUUGAAGAUCGAAAUUACAAAACUCGUACAAAUCUUAGUUGAUGAACGAACAAAAGAAACGAAAAUCAAAGAAGCACGUCUGUAUACAUGUAUCUGGCUUCCUCUUAACUGCUCCGGACCUGAAAAUUCAGAUUCUGAAGACGAAAAUAGGGAGAGAAAUCAACAGAAUCGAAUGGAAUGGAAUGGAAAUGAAAUCGUUGAGGCGAGAAUUCCAGGAACCGAAGAAGGAGAUGAGGAAGCCAGAUGGAAAUGGAGAAGAAAAGGGCGCGUAGGAUAAUGGGAGAAAUGAAAUGAAACGGAAUAUUAUUAAUAUUAUUCUUUCUUCUAAUAGGCCUCUAGGGUUUCGGGAAUGGCAGGUCAACAUUUCAAAUGAUCUUGUCAAUCCCCAUUGUCAUUACCGCGCAUGUCGCUGCUUUUUCCUUUCUUUCCUAUUCAUAAAAAUUACAUACCUUUCACCCUUCCACCCAACAUAUUUGGAAACAUUUUUUUAUUUAUUUUGAAUUCAAAAUCUCCAACCUAAUUAAUUUAAAUAAAAACAUUGGCAUUUGCUUUUCGAGAUUUUUCAAUUAUAAUAAAUAAAUAAAAACUAUUUAUACUCAUAAUCAAUCAAACAUAAAAACUCCUUAUUAGUUUGUCUAUUUGGUCAUUUUUUACCAUUUUUCUUUGUUUUUAUUGCCACACAUUAGUUUAACGUCCUUCUUUUUGCAUCGAGAUGUUAUUUUAAUUUCUGACUUACCGUCUAACUUGUUAGUUUCAAAAAAAUUCAAUUUUAAUGUUGGGACAAAAGAUUGUUCUUUGUAGGUGGAUGUCGCGACGAAAAUACUUUAAAUUUUUAAAUUUAUUUAUAUCGAAGAAAAUGUUAAAAAUAAAAAAAAUUUACAAAAUAUUUACAAUAUAUAACAAAAUUUCAAAUUUUAUCAAUAAUAAAUAUUGAUAUGGCUUCUACCAAGAAUCCAAAAUUUUGCUAUAACAUGUAAAUAUUUUAGUUUAUUUUAAAAUAUUGAUGAAUAUUAAGUGAAUAAAAUAUACUCAACAAAAAAAUGGUUAAAAACUUUAGAGUAUAUUAACACUGUGAAUACAAUUUGAAUUUAAAAAGUUAUUGAAUAUAUUUUAAUGUUGGGAUUUAUCACAAAUAAUAAAGCUAACUAUUUAAAUUACAUAGAAAAAGCCUUAAAGAAAAAAAUUAUUAAUAAUUGAAUCAUAUGCUUAAAAACUUAUUUAUUAAAAGAAAUAAUAAGUAUUUCCUUCAUCGAAAUUAUACGAAAAAGGUUUUAUAUUUUUAAAAUGUGUGAAUUGAAAGAAAAAUAGUGUUAAUUAUCAUUUAAUUAUGUUUAUGUUGGCACAUUGAUAUUUGUUUAUACACUAAUAAAGUGGUUGAUUUUGAUUUAAGUACAUAGAAUAUCAUGAUUGAUGAAAGAUCAUGGAGUGUGGAUUUUCUUAAAUUAUAAUAUGGUUAUAAAUUUAGGUUUUAAAAGGCAAAUUCUUGAAAAGUAUACUGUUUUAUUAAAAAAUAAAACAACCUCUUUCUUGAAAAGGAAAAAAGAAAAAAUGGACAUACAGACUCACUGUUGUUUAUACACUAAUAAAGAUGUAGUGGAAUUGGUUGUACUCCAGCCCUAAUUACCUUACAAAGUCUCCUUCCAACAUGCUCAAUUUCAUACCUUAAAUAAAGAAAGAGGUAUUUUAAAGGUUUGUUUUUUAAAAUAGCAAAAUAAAUUAAAAUAUUUACAAACUAAGCAAAAUAAAUUAAAAUAUUUACAAACUAUACCAAAAUUUUGAAUUCUAUUACUGAAAAAUAGCAAAAUUUUGAAAUAUAUUACUAAAAGAGUCUUAUAUCACUCUAACACAUCAAUGACUAUCAAUGAUAGAAUGAUACUAGAUUUGAUAAAUGAAAUUCUGUCUCAAAAUUGGUAAUAAAUAGUUCUAUUUACCAUUUUAGAUAUGAAAAUUUGUAAGAUUACUUUUUUUUUUAACAUGAAUCCUCAACCUCAAUAUGUUAAAAACUAUAAUCACAUACGAUCUAGUUUUAAAAUUUUAAAAAUAAUAAAAUAAAAUACAAAUUUUCUAAACAAAGCAUUUCAAUCUUUUAAUUGCAUCGCCUAACAUUUCUUCCCAUGUUUUAUUUUCACUCUUGUUCUUGUUCAUACUUUCAUUUUUGAUCCUUGCUCGCCCUUCCUCUUGUUCUGCUCAUUUUUUCUGGUCAAAUAAGCUUUUUUGACCAAUUUUUUAAAAAGUAAAUCAUUAAUUUACUCUCCAUAUUUUGUGCACACAUAUAUUAUAUAAAAGCAACAAUAUAAAUUUAUGGGAGCUUAGGUGAGCUGUUUAGUAAAAUAUGGGAUCGGUUCAUACUACGGAUUAUGGAAGAAGGUGAAGAAUAUUUGUAAUUUGUGUAAAGGGAAUAUGAUCCUGGUUUGUCGUGCCUUGUCUGCCACACUUAUACUUGUGUGCUCUAAAAUUAUUAUAUAAUAACGGUGAAAACGUCAAUUUACAAAUGACAUAAUGUUCUACAAAGCAACAGGCCAUUCACAAAAAUGUCUCACAUUUAAAUAUUAGAAAGAAAGUGCUUGUAUUUCCUAAAACAUAUCAACCAUUUAAAAUCUAAUAAAUAUGCCAUUUCAAUAGGUUGCACCUUGAGUAUAGCUUACUUAACUUAUAUGUUAGUAAUCAAAAGUUUUGUGGUCUGAGUCUCUCUAACCAAAAACAACAUUUGUACUUUCCUUUGUUACAUUAAGAGAGAAUAUUAGACUUACUUAAAGAUACUCAGAGAACAUAAUCUCAAUCCCAAUAGUAACUAAAGAUAUCAAGAAACUAACAGAAUCUUAACAAUCAAAAAACAAACUUAAGUGUAUUCUAUCAUUACUAUCCACACAAGAGUUUUUUACCACUGAACCAUAUUCAACUAUAUUGGACAUGAUUUAGUCCCAACAGAGUAUGAACUACAUACACACAAAUGCUGCCAUAUAAGCUUAUCCAAGUUAGAAGCACUUGUGAAGAUUUUCUUUUAAAGAACAUUAAUCAAGAUAAGUUGACUACCUACGCCUACGCUAUUAUUUACAUUUUUGAAGCAUAUGAGAUCCAACGUGGUAGGGGCCAUACGGUGGUUAAACUUUACACAAACUAAAAACUAGUAAGAAAGGAAAAGCAAACCUGCAAAAAUCAUGGGCUUAUUUCGCAACUCCAGCAGCGAGAGAAAAGCCCCAUCAUUCCUGCCUCCACAGGCUGAGCAACGUCCCUCUCUCGAUUAUGUAACACUCUUACAAAUUCCUCUGAACUCAGUUCACCAUCUAAAUUUGUAUCGAACAGAUGAAAAAUUAUGUCCACAACCUCGUCCGAGAGAUUGAUGCCACACACCUGACAUUACACAAAAUCCGCCCCCAAGACAAAAUCAAUCGUUUGUUCUUCAGUAUUCAUAAUGUAUAAAGGUUAGAUGGAUUUUGUUUGGUAAGAAGGUUGGUUAUAAACAUGAUACCUGUGAUGCAGCACGUUGAAAAUCGUUCUUUGUCAGAAGGCCAUUUACUUUUCCGUAACUAAAUAAUGCUAGAGAAAAAGGUUGCAAUUUUCUGCGUAGAGUAUCGAAAUCCUUGAACUCCUCCCAUGAAAUACGAAUGUCCAUAAAAUGUGGUUUAUUGUCCAUUCUACUAACUCGAUCGAGCAACUCACGUAAACGAGAUGAGUCAGCUGAGGCAACCAUGGACAAUGCAAAGUCCUUUGCAGAUAUGGUUCCUCUUAAUUUAUAGUCAUAAUGUGCAAACUCCAAUUUCAGCAUCUACAACACAAAUGGAUAUUUUGGAGUUCAGGAUUUAAAUAGAAGGCAAGUGAGCAUUUUCCAAACUGCUUCAUGAUCAAACAAUUUUGAAAUGACGCAACAAAUCUUUGCUUUUCGCAACAAGUUAGUUUAGAUUGAGUCAUAGAUAAAAAAAAAUUAGCUUGGUAGCAUACGGUUACCUCAAUCUGCAGAUCUUUCAUAAAUUGGAUAAAUUUUUCAAGUUGGAGGCCUGCGUUUCCAUCUUUACCAAAGAAGUAUUCUACAAGGCCUCCAUUUUCCACACAGCCGUCAAAGAUUAAUCUGCUACGAUGUCCAUUUCUAUGUUGAGCGCCUUGUCGGUUAUGGGACCGCAUCAAAGCCAUAACUUUCUUGAAUUCUUCCUUAUCAAUCUCUCUACAAAAUGCAAUAGCAAUACUGUGUUACACAAGCAACAUUUUUAAUGAAAUACAUGUAAAUUCAAGGAGGUUAGUGGUAGUUUAAACUGUUCUAGGAAUUCAAAAUGCAGCUAAAAUAUGCUUAAACAAACAAAAUAUAUUCAAAAUGAUUAUAGUGUAAAGCUCAAAUGCUAAUAUAAUGAGAAUAAAACUAUCAAGCAUGUCACCCCCUAAAUGGCUUGAAUCAUUGAAGAUCCUUGAGAAAAUGCUAACACAACAGACCACAUGUAAAUCUCAAUAGCCUAAGUUACCGAGCAUGCAUUCUAUCUUUCCAACCGCUGGUGUAACUUAAAUGUGUUAGGAUUGUGUGGAGCCCCAAGUAAUCCCACAACAUUGACAAAACUCCACGAAUAAUGGUGCACACAAGGAAAACUUCACUUAAAGUUAGUUUAGGGCUCCACCCCAUUAUUGAAUGGGUUAACAUUUGUUAUUUUAUUAGUGAUUACCUAUUUGCCUUUAACUUGUGAAGUGAGAAUUCGAAAUGCAAGUAUAUUUUACAAUUAUUUAUAUCACAAUACGAUUUGACCGGGCUCAAAAUUGCAAGACUAGUGUCUAGAGACUAAAAGUAAAUUUAUUGAACAAGGUUACACAUUACAUACCCAUCGUUGUUGAGGUCAAACAUUUUAAACGUAACAAUAAAACUCGAUUCUGGGAUGCUGAGUAGUGUUUUUAAAAAGAUGUACCUAUUAAGCAAAGAAAAGUAUUGUCAAGAUUGAGUAUAAUAACGAAGACUAAAUGUCAUAUGGCAAACAUGUGUAAGCCUGCAAUGACAUGGAAUGAAAAUAUAAUCUCAUAGCACAAUGUAAAUGAAAUAAGUAACAUAAAAAUAUAAAAUGGCUUACUCUUUAAAAGAAACAUGCCCAUCAUUGUUUAUAUCAAAAAGCAUGAGCAAAUUAGAAGGAGCACAACGUAGCUCCCCAGGGUUUCUUUCCCCGCAUAAAUAUCCAUCUCUUACAAGAUGUGACUCUGAAGGCGGAAAGACAGGAAUCACUGCCCGCAUGAGAUCCAUUGGUGUCAUGAGUAAUUCACCAUCUGGAGCACGAAAUGAUGCAAAAUACUCAUAGACCUUCAGGAAAUGAUCAGAUGGCAAGAAAACAUGUCAAAUAAAACAAUCCUUAAAUAACAAGAUUUAAGAGCAAACUAACCGAUCCUUGGACCAAAAUUUUCCUACAAUCCAGAUUUAGUAUUUGCAAAGAAAGACAACUAGUUUACUGGAUUUGGCUACAAGAUUAUAACAACUCACACGAUUGUUAGUAAUGCUGUCAAAGAAAACAUGAUGGGAAAAAAAUCAUAUUAUGCUUAUAAACUAUGAAGUUGAAUAAACUCUAAUCUUUGAAUCAAUUUAGAUUGAUUUAUACUUAUUUUCAUUUAAAAUAAGCUCAAAAAUCAGGUAAUUAAAACUAUACUUAUCCCAAAAUCCCACCGAAGUAGCAAUAAAAAAUUGUCGCACAAUUCUAUUUUAACUAGGUAGCGGAAGCAGACAGCUCGUAUUAACAAAAACCGUUUCACUAUAACUAUGUUAAUUAACACACUCCCAGAUUUAGAGGUGUGAAUUGAAUUUUUCCCCCAAACCUAAAUAAAGAAAUAGCACAUAAUAAGCAGAAUAAAAGGCAUAAUAUACCUUCUCAGGAGGACUGUACAAUCGAAUCCGUUUCUCGUAAUUGAAGAAUACCUUUCGACGAAACUCCUCUGCAAAGACAAGUAGAAAGGAGCAAAGUCAAAAACAGUAACUUCAUUUGAUUUUCAUCCAUUCCAACUACGAUUACUCAUCUAAAAACGUAUUCAGUAAGUUCAAUAACCCAACAUAACUACACACAAUCUCUCAUAAACAAUUCUACUCCCCUAAUACUGACGAAAGAACAAACAAAUAAGAAAUGGAAGAACGAUUACUUGUUUACCUCCAAACAGAAACUUGGAGGAGAUUUCAGGAAGAGAGAAUUUCCGAAAAAACGAAGACGAACGCGGGUGCUCGACAACGGCAUCUUCAGCACUAUCCACAACAGCUGAAUCGGCGAAAGCUAAUGUUGGAGUAGCAGAAUUAGCAGACACACAGACAAACCCUAAUCCAGAAGCAAGCAAAAUUCCUGACGACCAUUUGAGAAAAGAAGAGAUCCAGAGGCGAUCGGCAUCGGAAGUGGAAGGUGAAGCCGAGGAAGAGGAUGACUGAUUGACGGAAAGCCAUCGGAUGGAGUAGAGUGAGGGAAUGGACGGCGAUGAUCUACGGAGAGACCGUAAAGGCAAAGCCAUUAGCUAAAAGUGUUGGGAGUUGAAGUUGAAAAGAGAUAGACUGAUGGGAAAGGAAAAAGGAGUCCCCGCGUUUAUCAAACGUGUAUUCACCAACCCCACUUUAUUUAAAGAAAUUGUAUUUUGCACCAUAAUUUUGCUCUUGGAAGAAGAGAUUUUCAAAUAUCGAAAAGUGAAAACUAAAUAGAGUAUAAUUUUGUGCUGAUUAAUAGUUAAUUGUGGCCCAAUUUAGGGCCCAAUUUCUUGGACUUUGAUUUCCAUUUUACCCAACAAUAGAUGACAUCUUUGCUUAGUCCACACUAAUUGUUGUAGUUUACGAAAUCUAACCCAAAUAUUAUGCACUCAAAAACAUAUUGUAUGCAUAUAUAUAAAUAUAGUAUGACGGUUCAUUAAACCCAAUUUUAGAAAUAAUAAUUAAAUAUAUAACAACAAUUUUUAAAAAUAAUAAAUAUAGAAAAAUCUAUCUAUAGACUAUCAGUAAUAAAUCAAUAUUUGCUACAUAAUCUACGGAGAUAGACUUGACAUAUUUUGAUUAUUCGUAAAAAAUUUAAAAUGUUUCUCCAUACAUAGUUAUUUUGAACAUAAUUGCUAUAUUUAUUGCUGUAUUUGUAACUAUCCCUUGAUAUGUAUGGUAGAUUUUAGUGAAUUGCUUGCCAUACUGAUUGUAUAGCUCAACUAAAAGAAUUAUAUUAUAUAUGUAUAUAUAUUAGCCAAAAUAUAAAGUUUGUUGGGGAUAGAUUUACUGGAUAGAUAGAUAGUUUAGAGAUAUAGGAAAUUCAAGGACACUGAGAGCUGGAUAUGGCAUACCAAGGCCAAUACGUCCAACCAAUAGUUAGUCAUGGGCAUAUAAGACCAAUACAAUUGAUUGUUUGAGAUUCACGAGGGAAAUUAUUGUCCCAAUUGAUGACCCAUGACCAGGAUCUUAGAGGAGCUCGUGUGACCUAGUGAGAGCCUAUCUAGGUAGCCAAAAGACCACAAAAAGCUCAAAAGAGCACAGAAAGAUGCCUAACAAUAGCCCAAAUGAUCCAUAAAAUGAGCCUAGUGGUAGUUUAGAAGAAUUAGAGAGUACCUCGAAGAGUCUUGAAUGACCCAUGAAUUACCUUGGAGUGAGUAAGUUUGGAAUCGUGUAGAUUAUCAACAAACGAUUCGUAAAGGAAUCUUUAAGGAGUUUUAAAUGUUGCACUGAAGCAUAGGUUACACCCCAUAGUAGUGGUAGGAGUAAUUGAUUAAUUCUAAAAAACAAAAAGAGUUUAUUUGUAUUUUGAAAAUAGUAAUAUUGGAACACGUGUAAAAAAGUUAAUCAUUAAAUGCAUAAGUUACCUUUUUACCACCUUCUUUAUCUCUUAUCUUCUCAUAUUUAAAGGACAAAAAUGAAUUGAUUGAGAUUUUUUUAUGGUUCUCCAUGUAUCUAUUUUGUGUUUCCUCCUUUAAGCUACUAUAUUUAAAUACGCAAUUUGUUAUUUUCUAUAACUUCCUUUUCUAACAAAUAUUAGUUGUAAUAACUAAUUUCACUUCGUUUCUUUACCAAGCACACAGAUUGAAGCUUUUGUAUAAGAUAAAAUCACAACAUUAAUGAUUUUAUAAAUUUAAAAGAGACAACUUCCAAUCUAAAUCUAAGUUUUCACCUUACUAGCCUAUCUAAAUGAUGGAAGUCAUCACUUGAAUAUACACCUAAAAUUUAAAAUUUGACACUUCCUAGAUUUAAGAAGAUUUUGAACCAAAAAAUUCUCGAUGAGUUAACCUCUUAUGGAAUGGCAUCGGACCUAUUCUAUCCCCUUCAACCUCUAUCUACUAAGGGAUUCAAUCUAUUGGGAACAACCCUUUCCCACUUAAUUAAAUCAAUAGGCUUUUUUAUUAAUGAAAAUGAAAUAUAGUGAUUGAAAGUUCUAAAGUUAUACACUUGGAGAAACAAAAGGGACAGCUGGACUGCAAUUAGUGGUUUUUAUUAUUAGAAAAACGUCUUUAUUAUUUUGUUACUGAAAGGGAAAUUGUAAUUUAUUUGGGUUUUAUUUUCUUUAAUUAUUGAGAUUUUAUUGUGUGGGGAAAAUUGGGAGUGUAAACUAAUAAAAGAAAGAACAUUCCAAAAUAAAUUGACACGGAAUGGCAAUGCCAGCUGGCGAGCUGAGUAGGCAUUCACCGAAAAACGCGUUGGUUUGAGAAUUGAGUUGCCGCCCACUGUAUGCAACAUUUUCAUACAAAUACAAAACCUUUUUUCGUUAGUGAAUUUUCAAAUUUUCAAAUUUUCAAAAUCAAAUUCCACAAAUGUUUAAAAAAUACACAUUUUAAUAAAAAAAACAAAGGAAAUUUGAAAAGUAAAUUAAGGAAAAUUGCAUCACACAAACAUUUCAAAAAAAUCGCUAAGUACAUGUAUUUAAAAAAAAAAACAGAAAUAUUUAAAAAGUAAUAAUUUAUAAUAUUUUUAUAUAUUAUAAAUAUAACAAGUAAUUAGUGAAGACUAUCUAGAUCGGCUUUUAAAUUGACAUGCAUCAUAUUAUCAUAAUAAUUUUUUUUGUUAUUUUGUUAUAUAUCUCAUCUUUUUAAUUAAGGAUAUCAAAUUGCUAUUAAAAGAUUAUCGAUUUUUAAAUCUACUCAUUUUACAAUUAAAAAGAUAUCAAAUUGCUAUUAAAAGAUUAUCGAUUUUUAAAUCUACUCAUUUUACAAUUUAGAAAAAUGUAGAAAGAUUAUUAGAAAGUCAUUAUUGACUUUUAAGUUUAAAGAGAGACAUGAAUUUUAUUAUAAUUAAUUUUUACUAUUUGUGUGAGUGUCCCAUGUUCUAACGUGAUAAAUAGCCUAAAAUAAUAUUCUUAAGACUGUUUAUAUUAAAUAGAAUUUAAAAAAGAAAAUCAUUUUAAUUUAAACUCCUUUGGUUGGCUAACAUUUAUUUCAAAAUGACACUUGAGAGGAUGCUCCCAAAUGGGGUCACAAGAAUCUCGGGGGCACCGCCUUGUAUGUAUAGUAGAUGAGGGGGUCCCUCUUAAUUUUCUUUCUUUUAUUAACUAUUUCUGUUUUGUCUGUUGAACCAUCACGCUCAUUUCCAGCACAAAAUUGUCCCCUUCUUUUUUAUAGAAAAGUAGACAAUCAAACUUUUUAUAAAUUAGAUUUUACUAUGUUUUGUAAAUUAAUUUCAGUAUUUUCAUAUUUUCUGUAAAUGUCCAUUUCUUUGCCUUUUCUUCUUCAUUUUUCUUUUAACUUUUAAUCAAGUUUAUCACAAUUUAUAGUUUUUCACUUUACUUCUGGUAAAAGUUCCAUUAAGGUCCAAUCCAAUGGGGGCUGCGAUCAGUAAAUUCCGCCAAAGUUUAAUGUAUAUAAUUUUGAUCUUCCAAUAGUAAAAAACUCAAAGGUCAAAAUUUCAUCUCAAGAAGAUCAGCAUAGGUUUCGUGACGAAAUUUAUCACCGGGCGGCACUUCCUUCCUGCACAAAUAAAAUAAUACAAAUCAUAAAACAAAAAUGAAUAAAAGUUAAAGUUUACGGUUACAAAAUAAAAUAAUAAAUACCUGACACGGAAUGAACGGGAAGGGAGUAAACGGAACACGUGAAACGACGGGGACGGAAUCCCAACGCUGCACACACAACGGAUUUGGAACGGUGACAUAUGUUUCGUCGGACGGCGAUAAAAAUCCAUUUGCAAAUUUGUUUGCAAGAGAUAUAGAUGAGUUCAUGUUGAAAAGAUGAUUAGUCUUCGAAUUUGAUGAGUUAUUUGUUUUUGUUUUGUUUGAAUUUAGAUUUUGUUUGUUGUUGGGUUAUCAAAUUCAAAAUAAAAAUGUCCGAAAUUCUCCUUCCACAGCAAAUGAUGUUUAUAUGUACAAUUGGUGAAAAAUUCGUCGGUUUUAUCUUCUUCAAAUCCUCUGCCAAAAACCACGAAGGAUUUCGACUGACGAACUAUCCCCUCAGCGUACAAAACUCGGGGAGCCGACGCAGUCCCGCUUCGAAAUCAAAAGCUGAACUCAUCACGAGUCAUAAACUCAGUAAACAAACAAACACAAUCUGAAUUUUGAUUCUACUAGAUUUCACCACUGAUUCCUUCUUGAAGAUUAUGCUCUGCGUGUGGUGUUUCUUUUUCGCUAUGAAUUCUUAAUCAGAAACGUUAACAAACCGAUCCUCUUCGUCGAACCUGAGAUCAUAAAGUUUUAGACAUCACCGUACCUUCUGCAAUUUCAAGCGCCGUCGGCGGCUUUCGACAUGACAGAGAGACGACUAGAUCUAGGUUGAAAUGAAGCUCUCCUCCUCUGCUGAUGCGAAGAAGGACGAAUCAGUGUAGUCAAUGCUCGUUUCACCAACUCUCCUUCCACACCGCCAAUUCUUACGAUCGAAUUCGCCAUAGCCGAUCUCCACAUAUUCAAUCUGGUUGAAGGAAACGACACCACUUGGCUAUGCCCACCGCCACUCGAAACGUUUUUAUGAAGACUACACCGGAACGAGCCUGGAUGCGUGGUCGGAGAGCACAUACAAGUCCUCUUGACGUUAGACACCGGCCUAUUUUUCCUGGAAACGAUAACCGAUCGAUUCGGAGAACUCGAACGAUUAUCAAUAAAAAAACGGACAGAAGACGUAAGAGAAGGAGACGAAUAAACAUUAACACGGCUGGGAGAUGUGGAUCUCGUAUGAUGAUUAUGGUUGGGAAAAUCACGAUGGUCAUCGUGACGGAAAGUGGAAGAAGACGAGUAAAAGGUUGAAGAUGAAGCAAACGCGGAGGUCGAAGAGGACAAAGAAGGAGAGUUACAGAAUCGGCCACCCGGUGAGAGUGAGCGUAGCACCGGGCCGCUGGAUCUGGUUUUCGAGGAAGAAGAUGAGGUCACCAUUAGAAACGAAAAGAGAGAGAAAAAGAGCGAAGAAGAAGAAGAAGGCUUCUUAGUUGUGCUUCCCUCUAAGGGGCCCCUCGGGGCGUUAGUUUGGCAAACCUAACGAUUCUCAAAGGCCGAUUUUAUAGAAUAGAGAAAACUGGGUUAGAUGGUAAUUAAGAGAAAAACGAGGGCAGUUGUGGAAAGAAGUGGAGUCAGUUGACUUAACCAUGGUAGGGUUAAAGAGUGGUUAGGGUUUGGGUUGGGUUAAAGGAGCGUUGGGAAUCUUAAUCCAACGGCUGGAAGAGGAAUUGCUGAGAAAGAAGACGAAAAUGGGAGCCGUUUAUCCAAGAGUAAGGAGGUGGCAGAAUGAGCCACGUGUUAAGAUGCUCUGACAAGAAAAAAGGGUGUGAAAGUACGAGAAAACCAGAUAGAAAGUAUUUUAAUUGCAAUUUGACAUUGGAAGAGGAUAUGCUAAAGCCAAGGUAUCCAUUGCGUGAACUCCACGUAGUGUAACUGUAAAGAUUUCCUCUUCCUUGUGAUUUGUGACGGGCAAACCGUAAUGUAACUCUCACCAUUCUUCCAACACAAGAAAAUAAUAUUAACAAUAAUAAUACAUUUUUAACAAUCACAAAUUAUUUACAUUAAAUUAUAACUUUAGUCUCCUACAAGAGAUUGAUUUGGGUUUGUUGUUCCAUGAACUAGAUCAUUGAGUUUUAUACGCAAACUUUAAUGACAUUUAUGGCUAAUUAAUGUGAAUUUGGGGAGAGUUGGAAGUUAGAAAGAGAGAGAGAAAAAUAAGAGAGGGAUAUUGAAUAAAGUGAAUUUAAUUUUUCAUGUCUGACUUUGAGAUCAGCUUAAUAGAUUUUUAAUUUUUGAUCCACAGCUUAAUAGUCUCCUACCAAAAUUUGUGUUUAUCGCUGGUAAAUUGAAACGCUCCGUCGGCUCGGCCGCAUAUUGUUGACGAAAUUUUGUUGAUUGAGUCGUUUUUGUAUGGUCGCUGUUGAACAUUUCGUACGACAUGUCGAAAGUUCGAAAAAUGGAGGGAAAUGGUAAAUAAUAAUAAUAUUAGAAGAAAGGUUAGAGAACGGGAAAGUUGGAAAAACAAUGAGUUGACAAAUCCAAGAGAAGCGGAAAAUCCGCAAUUCUUUAUUUUUUUUGGUGGAUCGACAGCUGUCUCUUUUUAUUAGUUUAUAUUUUCUUAUUCUUAACUAUUUUCUUUACUUAUAUAACAUUGGGGUAUCUUAAUUCAAAUUAUUUUCAACUAUUAAAAUCUAUUAAAUUCCAUAUUUUAAAUUUUUGCAAUAUCUUCUAAAUAGUUUUAAAUUUUUUAGUUCAACAUCAAUUUUGGUUGAUCCAUUCUAAUUCAAAUUUUCAUUUAUAAUUAUCUUUUCUAAGAAAACUUAGUAGAAGAUAGCAUAAAAAAUAUUAAAUAAUAUGGUCAUGGAGAUUUAACUCUUUAACUCUAAUCUCAUCUUCUAAUUUCAAUCCAUCUCUCAAAUCCUCGUUCCACAACCCGCUUUUAAGUCAAAAGAAAUAGCAGGUGAAUAUUAGUACGAGUGAUUUCGUUCGAUUUUGUGAGAAAAUUACGAGUAAUCGAGAGCUACGAAGGUAUGAUAACUUUUAACUCUAGUUCAAUGGUUAAUUAGAGAAUUUUAAGCAUGAUAGUUUGUAAAACUAUAUUAGAUUUAAUUAGAGUAUUUUUUAUAUGAAUUCCCCUACUCAUGGAUGAUGAUUUGUCAUCACUAGCCUUGGGUGUCAACUUAGAUAUAUAGAACCAAAUUAGGAUAAUAUAAAAUUUGUAGUAAUUUAAAAAAAUUUCUUCUAAAAUCAAGUAGGCCCUGCCCCAUAUACUCAAAACAUUAACAAUAACUGAAUAUAUAAUUUAAUUAAAGAGAACAAUAUUUUAUAAUGUAUUUGACAUUCGUAUUGUCAAUACAAAUAUAACAUUAUCAUUGAUUGUAUAUUUUAAGUUUUAACACGAAAGAAAACAAAAAAACAAUAUUGGCCUUUGAUUUCCCAGAGGGUUGGUUACCCUUAUCCGCUUGAAAUACACCAUUUAAAUAUAAAUUUGGCAUUCCUACCUCUCAACUAACUAAUUAAUUAAUUAUACAUAUAUAUGUACAUUAUUUAGCAACACUCAAAUGUUUUAACUAAAAUCACAACAACCAAAAAAAAAAAAAUAUAUAUAUAUAUAUAUAUAUAUAUAUAUCUCAUUGAGGAUAGUCGAUUUGUUUGAGUCGCCUUAAAUACAAGCUUCGAACUACUAAGAACAAAAGAAAAAAAAAACUUUUAAACUAAGGAUACAUAGAUUAGGUAAUUCAUGUCAAAUGUAAUAAAUAACAAUUACACGUAUCUCAAACUUUGUCUAAAAUGUUUACCUACACCAAAACUGACAAAUAUCCAUUGUUACCAAUAAUGCUUCUAUUUCCAUUUUUUUUUAUCUUUUUAUUCCGCUCGUUAAAAAAAUUAUCUAUAUAUUUUUUUUAAAUAUCAUAUAUCUAUCAAAAUAACCUCACAUCAAUGGGUUAUAGUUCAAAUUAAAUUAACUAAAAUAUGUACAUUGAUUAAGACGUGGCCAAACAUUUAAAUUUCACUCCUUAUUACAUAUUGUUGAUCUAAAAAUUUAUAUCGUGUAGAAAACCGUCCAUAGAAAAUAAUGCACACGCUUAUCGAUACGUAUAGUUACAUAUUAUACAUUUUUUUUGGGAAGGUGAUGAUGUAAAUAUUAUAAAGUUUGGAUAGAGAACUAUUGGGGAAUAAAAAGUGGAUAGGGAGUGGGAAGAAAAGGAUUAGAGAGAGCAAAUCACAUGGGAAGGAAGGUGGAAACAUUAAAAGAGUGGUAGGGUGAUUGGGAAGCAAAAGGGUGGCACCUUCCAAUUGCCUCUCCCACUCAUAUGUUGUGUUUUUUCUCAUAACUCACAAAUACCUUUUAUUUUUUGUAUUUUUUAUUAUUUAAUAAGUAAAGGAAGGAUCGAACCUAAAACGUUACCGAAUGGACGUGCGAUAAUUAUUAGUAUAAGUAGUAAAUUAUAUAGUACUAUCGAAUAUGUAUCUUGUAAUUAAGGUUGAACGAUAUUAAUAAAAUAUAUAUUUUUAAAAAUUAUAGCGUGAAUAAAAGGUAUAGCGAAAAAGAAUAAUUUAAUGAGCUUUAAGAAGUUGAAUGAAUUUCGAUAUAUUUUGUGAAUAAUUUUAAUAUUUUGGUAUGUUUGAAAAUAUCACAAAAUAAUGCGUAUUUAUUUAAUACAAAUAAUAACAACAGUUUUUACUAUUUGACAUUCAUAAUUUUUUUUCAUUAUUUACAUUAUUUGUUAUAGUGUUUACUAUUUUCUUAUCAAACUAAAAUAGUCUGAAAAUUGUGCACAUUUUAUUCACACUAUAAUUUAUUCGGAGGGUGUUUAAAGCACCAAACACAUACAUUAUUAUAACCCAAAAUAAAAUAAAAUAGUCCUCAAAUACAAGCUAUUUUAAAUAAACUAUAAUAACUUACUCGUUGCUUUAAACACCCUUUGAAAAUUCAUGAAAAUCGUGUUCGCGUCAGCUUGAAAGUCAAAGAAGGUAGAGUUAAACUAUUCAUAUAAUUUUAUAUUUUAUAUAUAUAUAUAAUUGUAAUGGUAUACACUUUUAAAAAUUAUAUUAAAAAUAACAAAGCUGCUGAAAAUAUUUACAAAAUAUAGCAAAAUAUUAUAUUCUAUCAACAAUAGACGACGGUAAAAAAAAUCUAACAAUAUCCAUUAAAUAUACCGAUAGAUAAACAACAAAUGUCUAUCAAUAUUUAUGAUCGAUAGAAUCUAAAAUUUUGUUAUAUUUUGAUUAUAUUUAUAAAUGUUUUAAUAUUUUAUUUUUUAAAAUUUAUUUCAACAAUAGUCGUUAUAUUUUUUUAAUUCCAAGAAACUAAAAAAAAAUGAUUGAGGCUAAAAUAUUAUCUUAGUAGGCCUUACGUGACGGCUGGACCCCUACACUUCAAAUCUCAUAACUAAAAUAUAUGUUUAGUUCUUAAAAAAAAAGAAAGAAGAUUACAAAUGCAUUAAUAAUUUAAUUUAUUAUUGAAUUUCUACCUUAUUAAACCAUGUUGGGUCCAAUCUCCAAUCCCAAGGCUUCAAGAAUUCAAGCAUUUGAAUUUAUAAUUAACUUCCAUGGCUACAAAACCGUCUGACUAUUAAACUUGUAUUAAACUAAAAUACGACUUUAAUUAUUGUGGUUAAUUAGAAACUCUCAAAUUAAUUCUACAACAAAAACUUAGUGCAAUUGCAUCGUGUAUUCUAAAACUAAUUUAUUGGAUUAAUUUUUUUAAAAGAUUUUUAAAAAUAGCAAAAUGACCAACUAUUUAUGUUUAGUAUAAUAAAACUACUCAAAAAAAUAAAAUUUGUUAUAAUUUAUUUUUAUACUAAAGGGUAAAUAUUUUGUCAAUUAUUAUAUUUUUUUUGCAAUUUCAAUUAUUUUUCGACUUCAUUUAUACUAAAAAGAUAUGUACAAAGAUAUUAUGAGUAUUUUUAAAAAUAGUAAAACAAAUUAAAAUAUUUACGAACUAUAACAAAAAAAUUUAGACUUCUCACUCGCUAUGAUACUGACUGACUAUCAAAUAUUUGUUAUUAAAAUUUUACUCUAAUUUAUAAAUAUUCUGUCAAUUAACAAUUCCCAAAAUAUUAUUUUUAAUUGGAAGGUUUAUCAAUCAACCAAUUAUGUUGAUUUAUUGUUUUAAAUCUAACUUAUUCAAAGUUAAAAUCAACUAAGUUUAAUCAAUUAGAUCAUAAAAUUGAAAUAACAUGCAAGGAAAAUCAUCCAUCUUCUUUUAUAUCUUCUAUGAUGAUAUUAUUUAGGAUAAUAAAAUUGAAAAAAUCCUGUUUUUUUUUUACUUACAUGCUAAAAUAUUUAUUUAUUUAUGUUAUAUUCAAACAUAGAUGGUACAAAUGCAAUAUUGUUUUUAACGUUAUAUGUUAACAAUCAAGAAGUUGGUCGCUACGUAAUACGUAAUUUGUAAUUUGCUUUGAUGUAAAAUGAUAGUUCCUCCAUGAAAUCAAUACAGGAUCAUGGAGCUAUUUUGAAAAAUGUGAUUAGACUAUCAUCUCCCUCAUCAUAGGUAGUAAAGAUUCAUUGAUAUCAAUUUCUCCAACUACCCUCUUACCAUUAACCAACUACUUUUUCUGCCAAAGGAAACAAAAGAAAAUUUAUUCCCAAGAAAAGUAAGGUGGGCAGAGCAGAAACAAGAAAAUAUCCUUUCUUACAAAUACUUCCAACUCCUACAAUCUUUCUCACCAUCUUCUAUCAAAUAUGUUUACUUUAAGCUUACCAUAAUCAUGUUAAUCACAUAUGAAACUAUAUGAUAACCAACUCUUUCAUAGACCUUGUUUCCGAAACGCCAACCAACUACAACCGCUCGAAUCGGUCCCUCUAAUAAAUGAUCCGUAAUUGAAUUAACACAAUCUAAUAGUCUUCUUUUCUCUCCUUUAGUGCCCUUGCAAUGCAUAACAAACUAUAUGAUAACCAACUCUUCGUAGACUUAGUUUCCGAAACGCCAACCGAUUACAACCGCUCGUACCAGUCCUUCUGUUCCAUAUUUGAAUUCAAUGGCUAAAUCACAAGCCAAAGAACAUGUUCAUAACACAAUCUAAUAGUCUUCUUUUCUUCAGUUUCGUACGCCGGGAAUGAAUACCAGCAGUAUAGAAACAAGCUGGCUAAUACAGCAGUGUCGAUUUUGAAUGAAAGAAUAUCGAAAAGUAGGUCGGCAUACUAAAGAGAACUUUGGCAUAUCAUACAUUCAUGGAAUUAUGCAAAAGAAGUAUAAGUGGGUCCUUGGAUAUUGUAAGCUAUGUUAACAGUGGAAAUAAUCUUACAUUUACACUUACAGUUUUCAAGAUUCUUUGGUUCCCUCCAACUCCUCCCCAGUUGGUUUAGAAGCGAACCCUUUUCCAGAAGCACGAUGUUGCCGUUCUCGACCAUAAAUAAUCCAUAAUAUCAAAGACAGCAUAACAGCAAUGGAGACGGUUGCUAAUCCAACAUAGACCCAUCUGCUGUAUUGUUGUAGACCGGGACAAAAAUUUCUAUGGAUGUCAUCAAAUGUCUGUCGAACAAACGUGCAAUCUUGAAGCUCGACCAAAGUAGGACUAUAAUUUAAAAGUGCAUAACUUAAAUUAACUCCGCUCGCCAUCUGGCUGUACAAGCUUGGAGUCAACCGCCCUGUUGUGAUGCAUAUAUCACCAGGAGGCAAAACUUGGCAGACAUAGUUGCCCCAUACCUGCUCAAAGAAAAUAAGGCUUUUCAUUUAACAUUUGUCAGUUGAGAAUAAUAAUUUCACUGUCCUAUCUGAUUUGAGAGUCAUAUGUCUUACUUGUGUAGCAUUUUGCAAGUCUACUUCACCAGAAGAACAAGUUCUUGGUGUCAAAUCUGGGUGAAAUGGGUUGCAAAGUGUUGGCAUAACCGGACCAGAUUGGUUGAAGUACAUAGGUUUGAAGUUGGGCGAAAAAUUUAUGUUGGAAACAUUGGUGAUCACCUCAUUGACCAGAUCGACAAGUUGUGCACUCACUUCCUUGCUUUUUAACAAGGUUUCUUGAGCAGUCACUUUAUCCACACAGGGAAGAAUGUCAUCUAAGGCCGUAUGCGCAGUAGGAUUGUGAACCCACUGGUCCAUUGCAACACAAGUAUCUGCAGCCACGCUACAUAUGAAGGUGAAAAACAUAUCAGAUUUCAUUGUUUAUGAAUUGAAGGACAAAGAGUGAAGAAAGAACGAUAGGAUAUUGAUUCCAUCUCUCCCUGCCCCUAGAAAGAAGGGAAGAGAAGACGGUGAACCCAUAAUUCAAAUGCAUAUGUUCGUUUGUUUUCUACGAAUGAAUGCUUAGACUCACGCGUAACAAUUAGAUCUACUAGCUAAUUAAUAUUUAACCAUAGGCAACUUGCCACAGAAGUGGAAUUCUAAUUUCAAUAAGAAAUAAUUUCGCAUUUUGUAGAAUUCACUUCAUUUCAUGUAUGCAUUGUACGAUUGUAUGAAGAAAGCUUACUUGUGGAGAACAAGGAACGUGCCAGAUAAGAUGAAUGUCCCAGUUACAAGUAACCAGCCAGUUAUCACCAGACUGCAAUAGUAUACAAUGCAUCAUGAUAGUUGUUUAAGAAAAUACAAUGUUAAAUAAACUAUUACAAAAUGGCAUACAUGAAGAGAAGAAAUGAAGAGCAAAAGAAGCAAAAGGCCAAGACCCCUUUUGAUUACAAUUUCACUUUUAGUUUUUGUUUUUAAAAUUUAUGCUUCUUCCCACCUAAUUUCCAUAUUAAAGUCAUUAUAUUUUCUUUUUAAGGAACAUUAAAAACUUUUUAGGUCAAAUUAUAUAAGCAUUUGAGAAAUAGUGGAUAACAGAAGGAAAAAACUUAGAUGUGGGACCUAUAUGUUUCACUUACAUGUAGACGAGAAGUUGCAUACCAAAUAUGGAGAAUACUGCAAGAAAAGUUAUAUCAUACUAAAACGAGUAAGAAUCACAAAAGGAAAUUUCAUAGGUAGAGAGAAAUUAAGGAACUGAUGAGCAUGUUUAAAAACUUAGAAAGAGCUUACAGAAUCCAAGAAAUGUCAGCAGAAGCAUGAUAGCUGCAACGAUUAUAAGAGCCAGACGGCUGCGGUGUCUGAAGAUUGUCAGCUCGUGACCAAAAUAUAGGAAACAUAUAAAAAGGAAAAAGAGAAGUGAAGGCUACACGUACAUAGAAUCAAGGAGAUCUUUUAUGUCAUUUGAGUUGUGCACAGUUUUGUCAUCAAGAAUACUAGCAGAAGAGUUUAUCUUUAUCUCAAUUUGAUCAAUGUCAGUUUGAACAUCAGAAGGCAGAAAAACUUGAUCCACUCCAGUCUGUUUGGCUGCAGCAAAAUAAUCGGAAACAUCGCGAAGCUUUUGAGCAGUCGAAUCUGCUUGACUUACAACAUAUUCCAAUGUUUCUGAUGUACUAUUGUGAAACCUUCCUUGACCAGUGUAUAAAAUAACACAUCCAAUGCUGAAACACAAGAUGAUGAUAGCAUAAGCUUUCCCCACCGAGAUAUCAACCAAAUACAUAACAAGUGGAAGAGAGAAGGACAGAAUAAUUACAUUGAUGCAAUGGAGAACAGAAUGAGGAAAAGAAGUGAAAGAGUAUAAGCCAUUUGAGAAUAGCCAUACGACUGCCUUCCGCAACAGAAGUAACACAGGGAGACGACCAAUAAGCAAAGCCCAAAACCCAAGAGCCAGGCUGCAGCAACAGCAAACAAAGGAACUGCCGUGAAGCCAACAGACUGUAUCCAAAUGCAGAAGCACAAAGUAAGAACAAAGACAGUGAUAUAUCUUGGAUGGAAUGAAAAUGCUAAUGAAUGGAAUACCCUCUACGAGAAGUUCUAUAUUUAACUAAUGAAGGAAAUCAUCAACCAAUAAAUUAUAUGGAAAUAAGAUUAAAUUGUUUGCUUGUCUUAUAUUCAACAGGAGCAGCUCUAACUUUUCAUAUAUUUUCCAAGCAACACAACAGAAGUUGAAUGUCCUUACAAUGUAACUUCACAGAGGAAAAGCAACUUAUGUCAAAAUUUCAGCAAGGAAUUGAGUUGGAUGAACGAACUUACAGCCCAAUAAUGGCGCUCGCUGAUAUUCCACCCGCUAGUGUAAGCUUGAAAGCCAUUAAGAGGAUCUUUUCUUCGAGUUCUUUCAGCUGCCAACACAAAUAACGAGUACUCAACAGGCUCCAUUGUAGGGCCUUCCACAACAGACCCACUCGGACUUACCCCAACAAGUUCCACACCGGAGUAAUAGUCUUCAGUUCUCCAUUCUACAAAAUAAUACCCGUAAAAACAAGAAAGCAGCUAGAAAAUCAGUAACGAUCCCUCUUUGUGAACGUUAUCCUUUUCAAGCUGUUAACAAAAGACAAAAAACGAAACAACCCUUUUCACAAAAUACGUUACGUUUUGGAAUGAAACUAGAAAAAAUUGAGAGCAUGAACCUGAAAUGGGUGGAAUUUGAGAAUCGCCAUGGGAGAAGGAAACUAGAGCAGGGGAAAAGCAGAGUGAGAAUGCAGCUAGAAGUAGAACUGAAAACGGAGGUGGCCUAUGACGUGGCAUUUUGAGCGGUUCGUAGAGUGAGAAAGAGAGAAGUUUUCGACGGUGGAGCUGAUGCUUGCCGGUGACCGGAAAAAAUGGUGGUCGGAACUGAAAAUGGUGGGAAGAGGAAUUAACAAAACGUUGGAUAUGCUUUGGAUUUAUUUUAGUUUUAUUUGGGUGUGUCCUUUAUUUCUCUGCUGUCUCACACUUGUAAUAGUUGGGAAUUUUUCUGACGACAUUACCCUUCCGUCCGUUAUGAUGGUUUUGGAAAAUAAUAACUACAAGAAGCAUUUUUGUUCUUUGUUAUAUUGUAUAUAAUAUGAAAAAAAUUCUCAUAAAGUUUUAUUGUUGGUUUCAAAAUUACUCUACUCUUUAUGGAAUUGUAAAGUUAUUCUUUACAAACUAUUAUGGGUGUCUAAAAUUUCUAAUGAAAAUUGAAAGUGUCAUGGGGUUUUUUUCUUUAUAAAAUUAAAUGAUAGAAUUCAAGUAUUAAAUAUACUUGUAUUUAAAAAUAGUAAAGUGUUCUUGAGAAUGACAAAAGGAAAAAUAUAUUCGGUGGUAGGAAAUGGUAUCUAGUUGACUAUUAAACUUUUCUUUAUACAAACACAUUUUAAAAUCAAUCACCAUAAUUACUAUUAUUAGAAUGGUAAUUGUAAAAAAUAACAUUUUAAAUAUUUUAAUUUAAGGGAAGAAUGUGAAUUUAAGAACUAUAAAAAUAUAGAGAAAAGGUUGGAGAAUUAAAAUCCAUAAAUUACUAACCUAAAUUAGAUUUGGAAAUUUUGCCCGAUGGAAGACGGUGAAAAGGCGGGAAAGGUAGGGGCAUUUACGUCAGAAGAAAAGACGAGAAGGGGUUUGAUUGGGCCAGGGGAUUAUGAAGUGCGGCCCAAAUAAAAUAUUUAUAUUUCAAAAAGUGGUGGGUCCCCAGCAAGGCUCGAAGUCCGAUGAAGGAAAUUUUUGUUAGCUUUUCUGAGUUUUGUUUGUCUGAAUUUUGGAGUACGCAAAGGCCCAUUAAGGCCCACUAAUUCCGCCUCCCCUUUCGGCUUUCCAUAUACCAAAUAUAUAUAUUAUAUAAAGAUAACUUUUUGCUUACCUUUUAUCCUUUUUUUGCCUUCGUGCUCUUCUCUCCUCAUGAUUGCUAGAUUAAUCUAAUUCAAUAUAAUUAGUUUUGAUUAUUCUUCCAUGCAUUAACAAGUGCUUGGCAAUAUCCCUAAAAGGUUGUUAGCUCGUCAAAAUGAUUAACGAGUAGUUUGUGAUAAAUUUAUAUAUUAUUAAGAGAAUUAUUGUUUAUAAAAUUUUACUCUAUUUUAUAUAUAUUUUGAUACACUUUCUUUUGUAUACAUUUCAACUUGAAGUCUUGCAAAUAAUCUUGCGAAGGAAGAAAAGUUUUAUAUUAGAUUUUUAUUCUCUAUGGUAUUCGUUAUGAAUUGUUUUAGCCCUAAAACCUUAAUUAAAAAGUGUAAAGAAAUACAAAUUUAUAUUCCAAAAAAUUCACACGGACUAAAACCUUAAUUAAACUAUGGUUGAUUUUAUUGUUGGUUAAAGAAUGUUAAAUGAUGACGUAGUAUAGAAAAUAGUUCUUAAAUUUCGUUUUCUUUAAAAGUGAGUAUGAUAGAUUGAAAAUUUAAGAUGAUUAGAUGAAGUUUGGGUUCGGCCAUGUAAGAUUAUUUAGGAAUAUUAUUUUCUAAUGCUGAGAAAAGUCGUGUCGUUCCUGCCAAAUUGAACCCGUUUUUUCAAACCUCUGUCUUUCACUUUUUGACCAUAGAGAAAGAAACUGGCGCCCACUGCACGAAAAAUGCACCAUACUCGUGGGCCUCGCUGGCAAGGCAACAAAGAUAGGCCCACAAGAAAGCCCACAUAAAACAUUCUCUCUCCACUACAAAUCUCUUACGUAGAAAUAACACAAACACUUCUCUAUAUUAGACUUUUUUUUUCUUUCCCUCUCAUUUAAAGGAAAAAGGCUCACUCAUAUCUAAAUAAAUCAAAUUAAAUUUAAAAUAAUUAAAUAUAUAAUAAUAUUUUAAAAAUUAUAAAUAAAAUGUAGAGACUAUAUAGUAAAUAUUAGUUUAUCAUAAAUAAUUCAUAACAAGAGAUCUAGUACGAAUAUAGUUUACUAUAUUUGCAAUUCUUUUAAUGUUGUUUUGUAUUUAAUAAUUAUUCUAAAAUUGAUUAUCAAAAAAUAUUAUUGAUACUAAUUAGACGAAUAUGUUGCUCAAAAUACCCGAUUUACGAAUAUUUUAAAUCAAAUUAAUAUUAAUUUAAUAAAUAAAAAAUAUUUAUGUACAUCAUGACUAUUUACCUUAUAAUGUUUUAAUCUACAAAUAACAAGUAAAUAUAUAUUGUUUGAUAAAUAUUUAAUUUUCUUUUACAAAAAAGACUUAUAAAUAGUACUGAGGUUUUUUUAUUCUUAUUUUUGCUAUAUACACUUUUAAGUGUUUUCAAUGUUGAAGGAGUCUUUGAUAAAUUAAAUGAUUAUUAGUAUUGAGAUUAUAAAAGAAAGGGUAUGUUUGACAUUUCACAUGGUUUUUUUUUUAGAUUUUGUUUUUCCAAUUUAUUUUGAAAACAACAUUGUUCAUUUAGUUAUUAUGAAAUAGAAAUAAAGAGAAAUUGAAAAUACAAUCAUCUAAUAAAAUAAGAAAUUCUUUUUAAAAGUAAACAAAUUACAAGUUUCCCAACUAAUUCAAAUCCACACAAAAUAUGAGAUAAAAUUUCAAAGUACUUUUACUCGCAAUCAAAAUUUUCACUCCAGAAAACAAUGCAUAACCAAACAUCUAAACACACUUUUUAUUUUCACUUCGCUAAGAUUACUUACAAAACAUAAAUUAAUUGAAAUAUCACAAAGAACAGUUUUUAAGUUGAGCUGAUUCUCAUUGAUACUUUCAAUCUUUGAAAUCUCGCCUGCAAGUCGCCGGUGGCCUGCUCCGGGAAGCCAUAGCCUCCGUGUAGAAGGCUUGCAGCGUCGUCGAAAGCGGCGGAAAUGAAAGCUUCCCUUCAAGAAGAGGAUUAGCUUCAAUGCAUUUCUUGAUAUUUUCCAUCACAACUUUCCUUGCUUCUUUCAUGUUUCUGUAACUUGAAAGCAACAUGUGAGACCUGCAUUUCAUGAUGAGUACCGAUGACAUGUUACAUCAUGUUCUUGAAAAAUAGACAUCAAAUAUAUGUUCGAAUUUGGUCCUUUGAUUCCAAUUCGAUUACAUUAUUCUUCUUAAGAUUUUCGUGAAAUAUCAAACAUGAAGAAGUAACCAUCUAGUAUAUAUUUGUUUACUAUCUGUAGAUCCUAACAUAUAAUAAAUAGAGUGAGCAUGAAAGAUAUCAAGAAACUACGACGUGGUGUGAACCAAAAUCCGUAAUUUUAACAUUAAGGAGAGGAAAAUCAUAAGGAAUUUGAAAACUUGCAUAAAGUUGUCCAUUUGGAGAAGCUCAAAAGCUUGCUGGACCAACCCUGGAUUAUAUUGAUCGAAGAUUUCUAUGUCCUUUUCAACCACUUCACGAGCAACCUCUCGCUCUCCACUGCAUAUAGGUUUCAUCAUAAGUUACUUAUUUGUCCUUUUAAUUAAUCCCACAAAUUAAAUAUUUUAUAAUUGAUGCGUACGUACUCUGUUAGUGCUUCAAGGAAUUUGAGCUUUCUAAUCCCAAAGUAGAUCUUUGUGGAAUAAAUAUUAUCGUGAAUAUCAGUGAAUCCACAAAGGUAGCUUUCAGCCUCGUUAUAAGCACAACAGUUCAACAGCUCCUCAAAAUAAGUCAUGUUGAAGAACAAUCCCGUUUCACAUUCCAAUCUACAAAAUAAACGAAAUAAUUACACAAUCAGUCGUACGUAUACCAUUUAAACGUGUGAAUAUAUACAAAAUAAUAACAGUAAAAAUCUCUUACGAGCGAGCAGUCUCAGAGAGAUUUUGGUGGUCGAGGAAUUGGAGGAUGAGGAAGAGCAAGGCACGAUCGGGAUCGGGAUCGGUGGCCAUAUCGAGCCACACCGUGCAUGCAUACGAGAAGAAGAACUGAUGAAACGAUCGAGAGAGGUGGUGGACGAAAAUGGUGGCCGGAAGAGGUUGAAUUUAUAAACGGGAAUUUGGGGCCACUUUGCAUAUGUCAUUCAGUGUUAGUUGUAACCGGCGAAUAGCCUCACCUUGUUUUCGUGAAUGGUAACUUCGCCAGGGAUGGAACUAUGUGGCAGUAUGACCGACACGUGUCUAUGUAUGAUGAGGUUGUAAAUUAAAUGUAACUUCUAAAUUGGAAAUAUAUAUUAUUUGUGAAAACUAUUUUUAAUAAGUAAAUUGAUUAAAAACAAUAGAAUUAUUGCUGUAUUGCCAUUUGAAGCCAUUAGGGAUGAGAAUGAGGUUUUUGUAACGGUUGCUUUCGAGGCUUUAAUAUGGUAAGGAAUCUCACGUUGGAACUCUACCAUUAUAUCAAAUAAUAUACAUACACAUAAAUACUAAUAAAAUUUUAAUUUUGAUAUAUGGGAGUUUAUAUUUAAUUGAAUGUUAAGGAUUUUUAUAUAUUAUACUCUAUUUUCGUAAAUUUAUCUAUUAAUUUUAAAGAAAAGUAAUAAAAUCACUAAUUUUAGUAAAAUAGUACUUAUGAGGUUGGGAGAUCAAAUAUUCAUAUGAUAUACUAAUUAGUUUUUGCUAAUCUAGAGUUGAUUUGACUCUCGAACCAUAUAUACCUUAUAAGGUAGUGUUUGACAAAAAGAGUGAGUGAUAGAAUACUUUUGUCGUUAUGCAUCGCAAUAACUAACUGUAUCAUUGAUAACAGAUAGUUAUUAAUAUUGUUGUUGUUCGUAUUAAUCAUGGCGAACGGUACAUUUAUGAUGUAUAUCUAAAGAGUUGUAUAUCAUUAAAGCUAGAAAAGCGGUUUUGGUCUAGGUCAACCACUUUGAAAGAAGACCAACGAAUAAAAAGAAAUUUGAUCUUGUUAGUCCCCAAGCACGUGUAUGAUCCCUAGCUUGUACAAGAUAAUUUCUUAGAUAAUUAUAUAUUAGGUAUCGUGUACUAAUAUAUAAAUGAUCAGUUAUCUAUUCCAGAUAGAUAGAGAUAAACCAUUGAUUAAUUAUAAAUCAGUUAGAUUUAACAAAAUCGUUUAGAACGAGUAAAACAUUGAUUUUUAGCGCGUGCGUGUGACCGAAUAAUCGUAGGAUAUUUUUAUUAUUUUACGUCGUAGACUUUGUUGCUUUUUUCCUUUAUUAAAAUUAUUCUACAUGUGUAAAUAUUUUUCGCAUUUUGUUCUAAAAAUCCAUAUAUAUAUAACAAAGUUCAUCUUUAGUACUUAAAUUAAUAUAGAAAUUCAUAUUGAUAGCAGUGUACAUAAACAAUCAAUGAACACAAACCUUAUAUUAUUGUCACCAAAAACUAUGAAUCCACAAAACUUUAUUGCUAUGAUUAAGUAACCAAACUAACAAACCAACAACCAGUGAGUAUUGUACUGAAUAUUUGAAAUUGAGUAUAAAUUUUGCACAAUCAAUACUCUGGUUUUUUUUUUGGAAGGUAAUAAGGUGACUAAUAAGUAUACAAUAUGAAAAAAUGAAAAGGGGUUUGAGGCAAAGUUUAUACAUUAUUUAUGUAGAAAAAAAAUUACUAAACAAAUCCUUUUUCAUUAUUCAUGUGUAGCAAACGUAAACUUUUGAAGUGGGAAGUUGUAAUAGAUGAUCUUGUUCUUACUUUUCUUCUAAUCUUUUAUCUCUUUGUUUAGAGGUAAACCGAGUGACCUAACUCUCGAUCCAACCUAAAACAUGAUGGUUGAGUUGGAUUGGAUUAAAUAUUUAUCAGAUUGAUCAAAAAAACUAUCCUAACCCGAGUAUGAAAUACCCCUCCUUAAGAUCUCCUUUCCACUGGUUUUUUUUCUGUUUCUGCAUUUUGUCUCAGCUAUAUGAAUCACUCUUCCAUUAAAAACUGAUAGAUUAUUUGGAAGUAAACUACAUAUAUAUAUCUUUUUACAUAUAUCCCUACAUCAUUUGCAUUAAUUUUGAAAUAUAUAUGCAAAACUUACGUAAAAUAUAUUUUAGAAGUCACUUGAAAUUAAAUUAAUUAUUCAGCAUAGAACGUUUAGAAAUUUCAGUCUACAUGCAAAUUUAAUAUGUUCUUCGGCACCAUUGUAGAACAAAAGCUGUGAUUGAAAAAAAUAUACAAAAUAGUCGAAGCUAAUCAUGACCAUUUAGUUUCUCUUUGUGUUGGUAUCAAAAGCCUAGAAUGGCUGGUUAAUAGAAAGAAAAUGUAUUCCCUAGUUUUUCAAAAUUUAUAUUUUAAGUUCACAAGUUUUUAACAAAUAUAUGUGUUUCAUAUGCCUAAGUUUUCAAAACAUAUGUUUUUAGUCCUGGAAUUUAAAAAUAAUUUGAAGUAAUUAAAUUCACUUUAAUAUCAGUUAAAUAAUAUACAUGUAUAUAUAAUUUUUCCUGUCAAAACAAAAAGAGAACAAUAUAAAUUUAUUGUAAAUAAAACUCAUAAUCAAAGCAAAAUAUUUAUAUAUGUGUGUAUAUAUAUUCAUAUGUGAUAAUUUUGUCCUUUGUUGUGUUACUUCUCCUUCACCUUGUUUCCAUUCUCGAUCUUCGUUUCUUCCUUCACCUUCUCCUUUGCAUGAACAUUCAUAUUUUGCAGAUGAAGAUUUUAUAUCUUCUUUUAACUAUUUUUUACAUAUAGCAGCAGAAGACCAAAAAACUAAAAACCACGAUGGCAAAUGACAAAUGAAAACUUUCUUGUAGCAUAAAGACCAAAGUGAAAGCUACCUCGAGACUUGGCCAUGCUAAAAUGCCCAUUUGACAAGUUGAGUAUAAUACAACCCAAAAAUCUAUUGUUUUUCCUUCAAUUGCAAGAAAACCGCCGAUACAUAAUACAUUACUAAAAGAACACAAAAAGAAGAUUAAAAAGUCAAAGAGAGGAAAAAGAAGAAGAAGACGAAGAUAAGAAAGUGAAGAAUGGUUUGUGUGUAUAUAUAUUAAAUAUACAUAUAGACUUGAAGACUUGAAGACUUGACCAUGAGUUGUCCUAUAUAUUCAUGCAGACGUAGAACCUGACACCAUCUGCCACUCUCCUAUUCACUCUCUAUUCUUUUAUAUAUUCAACUUUAAUUCUUUUAUAUUUUUAAAGAAAUUAGGACCCUUUUUCAUUCAUUUGUGAAACUGAAUAAGAAAGUGCAGUGGGAGAUGUUAGAUAGAAAGCAAGCAAGCUAAGCCCCAGAGAAAAUCUUCUGAUACAGAAUAUUUACAUUGUCCUGUUGUUAAUUUAUUUGAUUUUUGUGUGCUUUGUCUCUUUCGCAUUUUAAGCCCUUAGCUUCGAAGUUUCAUUAUGUUCUCUAGUAUAAAUAGAAUGCUAUGCUCUCUGAUUAUUUGAUAAGAAAAAAAUAUAUAGCAACUGUUGCUCUCUAUUGAAGUACUGUCAAAGGGCAGUUUGUUAAUGUUUUGAUUGACAGAAAAAUCUUCAUUUAUGAUUUGAUUGUUGUUUUGUUUCCUUGUUGAGUCUUCCCUUAUUGUUCUCCCAAAAUGUUGUGGGAUUUGUCUUUUUCGUUGUUGUUGGCCUCAAUGGCUGGUUGGUCUAUGUUCUCUAGCUUUGGGAGUUUGCUCUAGUGUGUCCAAUAGAAAACCUAAUUGCGUGCUGUUAUUUGGCAUGAAGAACGAUAUGCAUACUUGGUUUUAAUAGUUGUUCGAUUUCAAUAAUUUGUUCAAUCUUGAUUGAAAAGUUGAAGUAUAGUUGUUAGAGGAGCCUAAUCCUACUAUAUUGCUAGAGAUUAUUUGAUUCACUAAAAGCCUAUUCAUAAUACAAACCAUAAUUUGAUCUAUCCAACAAAUUUGGAUGUUAAUUUUAAAAUCUCAAACUAACGGUUCACACAAAAUUUUCAAAAAAAUAUAGUUCGUAAUACGUAGAAUUGAACUUUAUAUAUUGAUCUGUAUAGUGAAUAUAGUCUCUAAUAUUUACUUAUUUUAUGUUUUCUCUCGAAUACAAAUUAAAAUUUAGAAUUUUUUUAUUUUCGGUCUUCAAAAUGGUGCACUGACAAGUCUAUUACUUUGGAAUUUAAGAAAAGUUUGAUUUUCAUUCAACCAAAUAUCUCCUUAAAUGUAUAGCAAGAGUCUCUUGUUGAAGUUGGGUUUGGGCCCAUAUGCUUGUUGAACUUGGGUCUGAGCCCAUUUUGCUUGUGGGCUUAAUCUUGAGUCAAUUUGUCCGUUGGAUUUGGACUUAGGUUUGAACUCAUUUGCUUGAGUCCAAUAUUUCUUUGGUCCACUUUUUGCCGAGGUUGAAUUUGUUGGAUAUGAGAAAAUUUAAUUAGAUUAUAGAUAUCACAAUUUUGCGAUGAUGUGGUAUGAUAUAAUUGAUCAAAAUUUGUUGUUCAACACUAACAUUUAGCUUGCAAUUAAAGCUAUAAAUAUAGCCGAGGUUCGGGAUUCAAAUAUUCAAUCCAAUAUUAUAUUACAAUACCUCAAAAGAACCUAUAAAUAUAAUUUACCCGGAAGAAUGUUUUAUUUUUGUUGUUGUUUAGUCUAAAACUCGAAGACAACCCCUCCAUUUCCUUCUCCAUCCCUCUUGAGUCCACCACUCCUUCCUCUUCCUCCAAACACCCACGUCGCUGGCGGUCACGCCUGCUGUUGCAGAUCCGGCGGCAUGAACCGAGUCCGGCCGAGACGGUGGUGACCCAAACGGAAGUCACCUACCGGGAAAUCUGCAGCGAAUUGUCAGAUUCGCAACCUCCGGUAACAGACUGGUCAUUUUUCCCAUUUAAGGUGAGGUUUAAUAUUUUAGUCUUCGACUGAUUUGUAUAAGAAUUUUUCGAAAAUUUCUGUUUGGGAUUUCAAAUAUUUUGUUUAAAUAACCUUUGGAAGUAGAACACGUUUUGUUUGGGUCUCAAUAAAAUAAGAUUGUUGGAAGCAAUACUGUGUAGCAAUGAAGGAAGAAGGAGAUGGAUCGAUGAAAUCCAUUAUUAAAGAUGAAGAGAAUGCGGUAGGUUACCACAGCAACAAUGUAAAAAAAGUUAGGUUAAAUUCAACUCUCGCUGCUCUGCUUGACGAUCCUAUUCUCGCUGAUGUCCCCAAAAAUCCCACCCUAUCGCACGUCGACACUCUCAUCAGCCUCGAAUUGGGAAGCGCCAUGCGUAUCUCCGUCCUUAAGCUCGAUGGCACUGCCAUUGGUACACACAUUUUUCUAAUGAUCCUUCUUUUUCCCUGUCUGGCAUUUUCACAAACACCUUGUUUUAUGAACAACUGAAACUCAAUUCACCAUCUUGUUCUUGGUUUAGAUGUGGUGAUCAUGAAUUCCGCGACAUUGAAAGACUUGAAGCUUGCAAUCAAGAAGAAAGUAAACGAGAUGGAACAAUCCAAGAUGGGGCAUCGCCACAUUUCAUGGUACUCUUUCUUGAAAGCACUCUAAGCCAAUCAUUCAAUGAUCACUGUCCAUCGAUUCAAUUCCUUCGCUUUUGAAUUUGCAGGAAACACGUAUGGGCAAAUUUUUGCUUAGCACACCUCAACGAGAAGCUUCUUGAUGAUAGCUCUGUUCUUCAGGAUUUUGGAAUCCGUAACAAUUCUCAGGUUGGAUUUUUAGAAGAGUUGGAAAUAUUUGAAAUUUAUCUGAGUUGAAUCAUUCAAUCAUUAUAUACAAUGAACAAAAACUUGUUGCAGGUACGUUUUAUCCCAUACGUUAUGUCAAAGAGCUCCAGAACUCAUUCUCGGAGGAGAAAACACCGAUUCUUUCAUGGUCUCAACAAAUGUGCUUGAGCUUCCAGAUGCCUUGGAGGAUGUUUCUCUUCAACACAAAUUCAGUAAGCUUGAGUUCGCAUUACAAUUUUUGAACCUGAAUAUGAACUUUAGAGUGAAUGAGUUUAUAGGAACUUGACACUUCCUUGUACAUUUAACAUUAUGAUAUGUAAAAAUGCAAACUAAUGUCUACAUGAUUAGCAAAUUCUUUGUUGUUUAUAGACUGGGAAACCAAAAUCCUCCAUAUGCUUUGCCUUUUACUACUGUUCUCUUGUUUGAUUUUCCUUCCCUUUAGCCACGUUUGUAAUGUUUCAACUUUUAUGACUAAAAUUAUAAAAACAAAAUACAUUGAACUUUGGUCUUUAUACAUUUUUGAAAAGUUAGAAAUUGAAUCUUUUGUUUUGCUAAAACACAAAAAAUUCAUAUAGUUUAUUGAAAUUGUUCUGUAAUUUCACCUACUUUUAAUAAUUUGAAACUUAGCACCAACAGUAUGUUCUUAAGAAUACCAAAUAACAUUAUGACAUAAACCAAAAUUUCAAAUCUCAUCAUUUUUAAUUUCUUGCAAUCCCUAACAAAUUCUACGCCGAUGUAAAGUCGGAUGUAAUAAUGCAACUUUACAUUGUUUUAUGUUUUUAAUAAAUUAACCAUAUUUUAAUACUGAUGAAGCCUCUCUUCUCAACCUCAAUUAAUUGGCUUCUUCAAUCCUCUAAUGGAAGGGUCUUCACAACAUCUUAUGUUCUUCAAGAUUUGAAGGUGUCUAUAAUGAAUGAACCUUCUUGAACUUUGGUCGAUGUAAAUGGUUUUUAAAGCAAAACCAUAAAAAAUGGCAGUGUUCCAAUAGUGAACUUUUGUAAGUGACUGUAAAAUCUUGUGGGCAAGCACUAUAGAUAUGAGAGAACCUAUGUUUUGCCAUGUAAAGUUAGGAGGAUAUAAAUAUGAUAUGAUACAAAAUCUAUAUAUCAUAUUAAAUUUAGCAGAUCCCCAAAAAAAAAAACCUAAAAAUAGACUGCUGAAUUUUCAUCCUCCUUUGUGUUACUACUAGUCUCCAUGUUUUGAAUAGUUAGCUCCAUCAACUUCUGUUCCCAGCCUCAUUUUCUCCUUAUACUCCUUCAACUCUCUCCUGUAUCUUUCCUUAUCUUUCAACCCAAUGUUCUGAUAAACCUAUAACACAAAUUAAAUCAACAAAAUCACUUUAUGACUCUUUAAACUAAAGAGAGAGACAAAAAAGAAUGAUUGAUGAAACACAUACAUACCAUCCUUUCUUCAGGGCUAAGAUUAUUCCAAGACUCUCCAAUCAUCUUAGUGAACUCCCUCUCUCUGUUUGGAUACAGAGAUUUAAGCUUAUAAUGCUUCUCAGCAAAGAAGAAAUUGUACCCACUUCUAUUCGGUUUUGGAUGAUUCGGGUCUCCCUUUCUCCGGCUCCGCCGGUGCCGUCGACCUGAAUGUCGAUAUCUCCCACCGGUAUACGGUACAAUGGCGUUGGUAGAUAGAGGUCGGAGAUCAGAGGGAGGUGGCUGAUCUGGAUGGUAAAGAACUCCUCUUAAAACCUCAGAUCCCAAUUUCACAGUUACAAGAUAACCACAGUCGAAUUUGCCAUCAAUUGUUCCGGUAACUGAAAAAAACAAGUAAUAUACAUAAGCCCAAAAAGAGAAAUUUUCUUUUAGAAAAAAAAAAUGGUCAGAGUGGCAAUAAUUUGUUGAACAAGUUCAGUUAUAUAGAAAAGCCAAGGCAUUGGUGGAGAACUGUUGAGCUUUUACUGCUUGACCCCACGAAGGGGAAUUAAAAGAAGUGAAUGAAGUGAAAAAAAAAAAGGGAGGGUUUGUCACCUUCAGAAGGAGGACCAGGGGAAAACGACGUAGUUUUGGGAGUAUAUUCCACUAGAGCCAAUUCGUUUUCACUGGUAGGGCUACCAAAAGGAAAUGGUGCUGUAGUAGAAAGACAAAAGCCAAAUCAGAUUUUCAAAAAAUCCAAUGUGGAAAAAAGAAUGGAUAAAUGAAAGAAGAGGGAAAAAAAAAAGGGACCUUGAGGGACACAAAUGGGGCCUUGCCGGCCGAACAAAUAAACUUGCUCGUAAUGGUAAAGAAGACUUAGAUAAUGUUUUCUCAAUACAAAUGAAGCACUUGUAGUUGUAGGAGAAAAUUUAAAAACACUUCCAACUUCUCUCCAUUUCUUCUCUGCAACAACCUAAAUCCGCCAUUAAACAAAAAAAACAGAGUCAAAAAGCUUCAUUAAAACCAAAACCCCAACCCCCGAAACUUACUUUUUCAUGCCCUCCUCUUCUUGUAACUUCUGAAUAUAAAACAUGCAAGUCUAGUUCCUUCCCUCCAAUCACAGGAAUCCUUUAUAAUAUUCAACGAGUAAAGAGAAAAGUAGCCAUUAGUAAACAGAGGAAGUGAAAAAAGUGUAAAAGUGUAAAAGUAUAGUGUCUUUUGGUUAUGUAGCCGCCAUUAAUAUCAUAUUAUGAAGCUUUAGAAAAGAACAAAAAUACUCACAUGAACUUUGUGUUCAUCAUAAAAUGGAAACGGCGCAAAGUGUCCCAAAAAACAAUGGGGUCGGAGAUAACUUCAUCAUGUGUAGCAAGUGAGGGUGGAUAAUGCUUAUCGAGGCCACCGUUCCAUGUUUUGGUUCUGGCCGGCGGUGACAUGGCUGGAAAAAAAAAAGAACAGAGAAAAAAAAAAAAGAAGGAAGAAGGAGAGUGAGAGAAAGUGAGUGAAGAAGAAAGGAAAGAGAAAAAGUAAUGAUGGUAUUAAAGAACAUAUGAUUUCCAAGAUAAAGUAAUUAAAUUGAAAGAAGAGAGAGAGAAGAGAGGAAGCUGGAAUUAAAGAAGAUGGUUGGAAGCGUGAAAGGCAACUGUUGUGCAGAAUUGGCUUUUUCUGAGAAGAAUUUGGGCAAAGACCAGUGAACAAAAAGGAAAAAAAUUAAAUAAAUAACAUUGUAAUUAUAAAUUAAUUAAUAUUUAUAUACAUAUACAUACAUAUAUACAUAUAUAUAUAUAUAUUAAUGUGUUUGUAAUGUUGUUGAGUCGUGUGAUUGGAAGUGUACAGAGAGAGAGAGAGAAGGAACGUUGACAUGCACCUGGGGACUACUUUUUGGGUUUCUGAAGCAUAUCUCUGGGGGAAGAUAUUUGAAUUACACUUUUUUUGGGGCUACGAGUUAAUAAUAUUGACUCCUACCAUUUCACUAUUUAGAACUCAAAAGGUACCCUACACAAUCCCAAUUCUAGGAUUUCAAAUUACAAUAUUCUUUCUCGACUCAAAAACAAAUAUUCUAUCUUAGGAGUUGUUUAUAGUAUUGAUGAAGUUAUUUAAUACAAGUACAGAAUAGAUAAAAAGGAUAAAAGAUGUUGUUUAUUGAUAAAUGUGUUGCUGUAUGUUUCUUAUGAUUUCUUAUUUAACCUUCAACACCCCCUCCUCUAACGUCAAAAUCUGAUCUUUCAAAUGCCAUAGUGAGACUUCCUCACAUGAACUUCGUAAAGCUGCUGCUGCUGCUGCUGGUUUAAAUGGCUAUAAAUCAUAAAUUUUUGGAUUAUAAAAUAAAGUUUUAUUUAUAUAGAGAGAAGAAGAAAGAAAGAAAGAAGUAAAUAAAUAGGUGGAUUAUAUGAAGAAGUGAUGAGAUGGGUCCCGUUGUGAGGUCGGGGUUAGGUUCCCUAUCCACUGGCUGCAUGUUUCGUCCCUCCAUGCAUAACCUGCACUGAGUGGUCUAUAUUCCCACUUCCCUUCAACUCUCUUUUUCUUCUUUUGUUGCUGUCUCCAUUUAUUUUCAUCACUCUUUAUUUAAUGGAUUCCAUUUCCAACAUUAAAACCCUCUUCUUCUUUUUUCUUACUUCUUUUCAAUUUAAUUCCUAUUGGAAAAUAAUGUUUGUUUUGACAGCUCGAUCGUAAUUCAAACCCGAUAAAAUUGUCAAAAAAAGCUACUGGAAUAUUGUUUUGUUUUAUGUAUAUACCUAUGUUUUGUUUACAUAAAAAAUAAAUACUUAAACAUAUCUCACACAACACCAAUAUAGAGACGUUGCUCUUUAUCAUAUAGCCAUUUUUGGUCAUGGUAAAAUAUUUUAUUGAUCUAUAAAUUUUCAACCAUAUUUAUGAGCUAGAUAAUAAAAACAGCUAUGUACUAAUUUUAAUUAUUUUUCUAGAACAAUACUGAAGUUAAAAGUUUACGUGAACUAAAAUAAUAUUUUACAGAAGGUUGAAUUUAUUUUCAGUACUUAUGUUUGCUGUGUGAUGAGACAAUGCUAUGUACUGAUUGUCUAUGCUAAAUUACAGAAAAAGGGAUUACAAUUUUUUAUUAAAUAAGUUGCAUAAUAAUAAUAUUUGCAAAAAUAUAAUAAUAAUUAUUAAUAUUUAAAAAUAAAUAAAUGGUAGUAAUAUUAUUGUUUUUGCAUUUGUGAGUAGCCGAACUUAUUUAUGCAUAUAUGGACCAUUAAUGAAAAACAUCAGUUUUUAUUAUUUAUUUUUUCGAUGUCUGCCAAAUUAGCAGAACUUUACAAAAGAAAAAAGUCUAUUAUUUUCAAGUUAUUUGAUUAAUAAUUAAUAUAUAAAUUUAAUUUUCAUUAAUGGAAAUGUAAAUUGAAAAAUAAAUUUUAGAGUAACUGCUGAGAUUAGAUAAGUAAUAUCAUCAAUUGGGUAACCAACCAAUAACCAUUAUUAAUUCAAAUUCAAAUUUUGUAUGUAACCGUUAGCAUUCGUAAUGUAUUUUCUCCACGUACUUACAAAACUUCAAAUACUUAAACCGCUUUUUACUGGCUCCAAUCGUUGUACACCACGUGGCAUACAAAUUUGUUAAUUAAAACAAAAGUAUAGUUUAAUUACCCAAUGAGGGCAUUUGGUCUAGUGGUAUGAUUCUCGCUUUGGGUGCGAGAGGUCCCGAGUUCGAUUCUCGGAAUGCCCCAUUUUUCUCUUAUAUUUUUUAAAUAAAUCUUAAUUGCAAAUGACAAUAAUAUCCUUACUUUUCUUUUUUUUUAAGUGUUAUUUUAAUAAAUCUUAAUAUUGCAAAUGACAAUAAUCUCCUUACUUUUCUUUUUUUAAAGUCUUAUUUUAAUAAAUCUUAAUUCCAAAUGACAAUAAUAUCCUUACUUUUCUUUUUUUUUUUGAAGUGUUGUUUUUAAUAAAUCUUAAUUGCAUAUGACAAUAAUGUCCUUACUUUUCUUUUUUUAAGUGUUAUUUUUAAUAAAUCUUAAUUGCAAAUGACAAUAAUGUCCUUACUUUUUUAUUAAGAUAAAUAGCAAAAAUUUAUCAAAUAUUUACCAAAAUUUCAUAUUUUACCACUAGUAAAUUUAUAUAACAUAAAUAGACACUAACAAAAGUUUAUUAAAUAGUAUAUAUAUAUAUAUAUAUAUAUAUAUAUAUAUAUAUAUAUAUAUAUAUAUAUAUAUAUAUAUAUAUAUACUAUUUUUUUAAUUAAUUGAGAUGAUAAUAAAUAUUUAUAUUUAACCUCAAUUAAAAUCGAUAUUUUAGGAUAAAAAACUAAGUCACGAAUAUUUUAAGUCACAUUUUACAUAUCUUUGAGCUAGUUCCUUUCAAAAUCUGUAAUCUUUUUAUAAACUAGUUUUAUAAUAAGAUUUAAAAGGAAAACAUAAAAUAAUGGGUUAUCCAUAUUUUAGUUUUAGAUUUGACCACAUGAUAUUAACGGUCCAAAAUUUUAUUAUAAAUAAUUGACAAAAAAUUAUAGGUCUUGAUUUUUGUUCAAAAUUUUAACGAUAUUUGAAAUGUUAAAUAAUAUAUGUCGCCUUGUUUUAUAGAAAAAUAAUAAUUAUAAAAGUUCAUGAGUAUUUUUUAUAUUACAACCUUUAAAAAGUUUUGGUUUUUCGCUCAACAACGUGCCAUCUAAUUUGAUAGUGAAUGUUUUGUUCAAUUAGACUAUGCUCAUAUAGUAAAGUAUUGCUAAAGCGAGCCUGAACCAUUUAUUUAUAGUUUAAGAUCGAGAAAUUGGUGAUUCAAAUAUCGAUAAGACAAAGUGACUAAAUAAUUGAUUUGAACUUUCUUAGGAGUCGUUUGGAGCGUGAAGUAGGUUAUUAUAACGUGUGUUUAUUAUAGUUGAUGAGUUAUAAUUUGUGACUAAAAUAUGGAAGAUUUCAUUCAAUGGGGACAAAAAAUAAAUUGCAAUUUGGAGAAGAGGGAGUGAUGGAUGACGAGAAGAAUUGAAGGGAGAUAAAGAUGGUGGAAAUUGGAAAGUAUUGAAGAGAGAUUAUAAUAGUACGAUGAGCAUGAAAACUGAGGGAUUGAGAUAAUCAAAUAACCCUAAUUCUUGGUUUUUCCUAACGAGCGGACCAAACGUGGAGUGGGCUACCCACUCUAGUAUUUGGACCAAACAAAUCCUUAAUAAAUGCACUUCUAGACAUGCCUAAUUACUUUUAAUUCUCUUUAUCUCAAUUAUUGUGGAAAAUAAAAAAAAAACAUUAAAUAGAUAUAAAUGAUUGAGUCUUCUAAGUAGAAGGAAUUAUACACUUCAUAUCUUAAGAGUCCCAUUCCCAUUCAUAAAAUCUAAUGUUAGAUUGAAGUCAUUUUAUUCUUGUGUUGUUUAUUCAACAAAAAAGCUUUGUUUUCCCAAAACCAAGAAACCCUAUUUAUUCUCCCUACCACUGUUAUUAAUAAACUUAAAACUAUAAUUUAUAAAUCCAAAUGCAUUGCCCAUAAAAAGUAAAUAAGGUACAGCAGUCUAAUUUUAAUGUAAAUUAAUUCACCUAUUAUAUAUAUAUAUAUGAUAUUCAAAACUUUCAAUUUUGGAGAUCCAUGAAUUUUAAAAAACAUCAUCAAAUAUCAAAUUGACAUUUGUUAGUUGUAUUAAAUACAAUAAUUAAAAGCUUGAGACCAUAUUAAACACUUCAUUGUUGAAAAUUAGAUGAGUGUUGAAAAAUGUGAGCUAUCAAAGACAUAAGGAAAAUGAAAGCAUGAACCAUGAAAGUCCUGAAAAAAGAGCCAGAUUUUAAAAAAAAAUUGUUUUAAAACUUCAUUUUAAAAAAUCAAAUAGUUAGCAAUUGAGUCAUGAAACGAUCUUAAACAUGACCUAAAAUUUAUCGUUUUUGUUUAUAAGAGACUAAUCCAUGGUUAAGAAUGAUUUCGAAAUAAUUUUAAAUUUGAUUUAGUUAGGUCAAAUUAAAUUUUAAUUAUGAUUUGAAAUGAUUUUUCUAAAAAAGAACUAUUAUAGUCAUAAGUUUUAUAUAGACUUAGAAUACAUUGUUAUAUUUUUUUGUCAUUCAGAAAAAACUAACUUUUUACUUCUUAGUCCAAAAAGUUAUGAGUUUUUGAAAAACAGUUUUAAAGGGUCUCUCCCUAAUCCCUUUAAUCAAGUAUUUUAAAAAGUUAUUUUUGAAUGCACAUUAAAAUCAUAAAAUGAAAAAGAAAUAUAUAUUUUUCUCACUUUUCCUUCACCAUUAUGCAUUUUCAUUUAAACUUUUUUCCCCCUAAAAACUAAUUAAAAGAAAAAUAAAAAUGUCUUUGACUAACUUUUUUUUCCUUUCAUAAAUGUUUUUAGGUAAAAAUUUAUUUGAUUUGUUAUAUACUGUUUUUCUUUAUAGAAUUUCAAAUUAUAGUAAAAGAAUUUGUCCGACUUGGAUGAAAGUUCGGUAACAAUCAUCGACCGAAGGGUGGUCGGAGACAGUCAUGGUAAGAACACUUUGUUUCCUGUACAAAUUGGGAGCGGAACUGGCAGGUACAAAUUGAUUUUCCAUCUUUACCUUUUUCAUAUAUAGAGUGUGAGCGAGAGAUGAAAAUUUUGAGAAAAGAAACUCCCAUCUAUCAAACAAUGUUUUGAAGACAAAUUUUCUGAAGAACCCACCACCCAAAUCUCCUGUUUGUUUGGUUAUGAGAACAUUUCAAAACAAUAGUUUAUCAACAAUAUGGAAUUCCAAAGAAAAUCUCAAUUUUUAUUUAUCUAUAAAUUUCAAUUGAAACGAGUCUACUUGUGUUUAUCUUCAUCACCGAUUCAAUCGAAAAUAAAGAAAAAGCAACAAUAAUGACGUGAAAUUAAUUAAUUGAAACGAUCCACAAACGCCGCACCUACAAUUAACAAGGAUUCGGAGUAACCCAUAUGGGUGGAAGCAAACGCCGGCGGGAAUGGGAGCCGCCGGAGUAAUACGGCAGCGGCUCGAAGCUUUCGUCGCACAAUCGGAAAAUCCCCAUAUCCGGUUCUUCACCUUGUUCCUGAUAAUCGCUAUCCGAAUAAUCAUCAGUGUAAUAUAUACAAUUUCCUGAGAUUUCACCAAAAUCAGCAGCGGAGAAGGCCAUUGAAGAAUUUCCUCCAACAAACAACGCCAUUUCGUUCAAGUUUUCAACCUUCUCCCAUCGUGGUCCUUCCCAUUCCAUUCGAAACACUUCGAAUCGUACCGUCCGAUACAUUACAGGUAUCAGUUCGUCCUCCAUGCCGUCGUUGACAAUAUCCAAAUACCGACUCACCAGCAGCAAUUCCUGCCCUAAUUUCACCAGGUAUUGUAUGUCGCCAGCCAAUUGCCUCUCCGUCGCAACCAGUGAAACUUGAGAGCGCGAACCACGUAGAUCCAUCAAUGAAACGACGCCGUACUUAUCCACCGCGUAGAACACUCCGUCGGAGUAUAUAACAUCUUCGCAAUCAGACGGUGCGUCGUCUACGAAAGUCCAUGAUCCCCCACCGCUCCGGCAAAACGCCAAAUCGCCGCUGUGAUUCAGAAUCGCCACGGCUAAGAAAUCGUUUGGGUUCGACGGACUUGAGGAUAGAACGAUUUUCUUGACAAAAGAAUCGCGCAUCUGCCGCAAAUUUCGAGUGUAGAUAUGUCCUGUGGGUGUACGGAUCAGAUAUUCUCGGCCAACUCUGGAGUAAUCGAAAGAUACAACGUUAGGGAACGUGGAGAGGGGAGGUAGCCAGAGCUUGGCCCUGGUAAAGGGGUUGAGGAGGAGAAUCGGCGGAGUUUCAUCGACAAUCGUAAGCCAGCCGUGGGAAGAACCACACGGGCGCUUCCGGAGAGAAAUCUCCGGGAGGUAGAGGAAGUGGAUUUUGUUGUCGGAGAAGUUGAAUAAACCACAGCGGCAGUUGUGAUACAGAGGAAUUAUGAGACAUGGAAGCUGGGGAGGAAGACGGUGAGGGAUUUUAGGGACCGAGAAUCGCCAGUUCCAACAAACUACUCGAAAUCGGAGAUAGUCGGAGUAGACGGUAAGGUAAUCUGAGAUUUGGUGAAGGAGAUCGGGUGGGAGUUCAGUCCAGUCGGCCAUUUUUCCAACGCCUUCCAAUUUCGUUGAGGAGAUGUAUUUGUUGUAAAAGACAGAGCUGAUGAUGUGUUCUCUACUCUUCUUUUUUCUUCUUCUUUUUUCUCAUUUUAAUUUAUUGCAUCUUUUUGUUUCUGUUUCUUUAUUUUUUUAUGAAAAAGACAUACACUAACCGAUGGAAAUAGAAUCCUUUAAUUAGUAGGGGGAAGUUCAUAACUAAUGGAUUAAAUGGAUAAACAUAAAACAGGACAACAAAUAAAGUGCUUUUACAUGUUGCUCCUAUACAAAAUAAUUUUAAAAACUUUUAUUUGUUCAUUUUCUAUUCUUUAUUGUUUCUCAAACGAUUAUCAGAACGUCUAAUUUGAUUAGCCAGACAGCAUUCCAGAAAUCCAUACUAAAUUGUCGAGUGAGAAUUUUAUGUCAAACACCAAAGUAUUUGACCUCUCCAACUUUUUGUGGUCUACUGCUUCUUGAGUUAAUCACAAAAUCGAGCACAACCCAAUUGAAAAGAAGGUGCAAGAAACCAUUCUUCUUUUUCAAAUAAAUCUAAGCUGAAGGCAAUGAACUGCUGCAGAUAUUCUUCAUUAGAUGUUCUAAAAGUUGGAUAAGCUGAAAGCAAUCUACGAUAUACAAUCUCUAGAGCAGAUAUUCUACAUGAAUUGGGCAAAAAAACAUUUUUGAGUUUCUAUCUUGUACCUCUAAUCUAAUAUUCUCAAAGUUACAACAACUCUGGUUGGCCUAUGUUUUUUAGAAAAAUUAUAAUCCUUGUCAGUAGGGGUCUAUAAGGAAAAUGUGACUCAUAGGUAGGAAUCAGAACUUGACAUAAUUAAUGGAUUUGGCUCACUUUCUUAAGCAAAAUUUAUGCAUAAUCUGAUUAGGUUUACAAUUUAACAAGCACUAAAUCAUCAAAAACAAGUAUUUUUCCGCUCAGUAUCCAAAUGGAUGGUUAAUGCUUAAAUAAAAGCAAAGGUGGAAGAAGACCGUUUUAAGUUUCAGCUUGCGUCUCCAUGUCAAGACUUGCGUUCUUAGCAAUUUUAGCAACUUCAUCAAUGACACGUAAAUCUGGAUAAUUUCGAUGAUUUAGAGAAUGCAACCAUAAGGCCACGGCUCCAUCUUUGUGCUCUGUGGAAGCAAUGUGAGAAUAUAUUUGUUUCAUUUUGAAAUCUUCUGCUGCCUCUUCGUAUGCUUUCAUGGAUACCUCUUCAUGAGUGUCUUUCCACUUUUGAUUAUAUGAUGUGAAUAGGCACUCAUCUAGGUACAGCCCAACCUCAGGUGCAGUGGGCACAUUGAUAUUUACAUCCCUGUGUUUGAAUUUUGAUUACCAGAAGUUGGUGAAAUCCAAUUCUAUUCUAUUCUAUAAACAAAUGAAAAUCAAAUUGAAUCAAUUCAAAUUGUUGUCGAAAAUGGAAAUUACUUACUUUUGCAAAGCUUUCUCGAUCAAUGACUCUGGAGCACAGUUCCUCAUGAUUGCCACAGCAAGACCCAUCAUCUUACGGAUCUGAUGAAGCAUGAAACUCUGCCCUACAACUUCACAUUUCACAAAUUCAAUGCCUUCAACCACGACGAUUGCAGAAGCAUCAAACGAAACAAUGAAUCGACGAGCAGCAGGAUCCUCUGCUUUUGUUCUAGUAGUAAAAUUGUGGAAGUUAUGAGUUCCCACAUAAUGUUUCAAAAUCCUAUUGAACCUAGCCUUCUCCUCCUCGCCGUACUUGAAGCUCCCUGAAGAUUUCUCUUUCCCAUUAACGCUCUCUUUGCUUACAACAAUCUCUGAAUCACUCCCUAAUCCAGACAUUUCACUGCUUUCACUUUUUGCAGUACCUUCGCUUCCAACAUUGAGUUCAGUAGCAGUGUUUUCUACUAAAACGCUAGUUUGUUUGUUAGAAUCAGAGGUCGUGGCACUGUCCUCCAAAACCCCAUUUGCUUGAACAUCAGAAACUUCAAUGGCGUUAACAGUGUUCGACGAAAUGUCUGACUCAGUUAUCGCAGUUUUUACUUCGAAAUUGCGCUUGCCUAUCAAGCCUUCGACCUUGCGUCCUCGUUCAGAGCACUCUAAGCACUUCACAAGCUCGUUAUCAGACCCUAAACUAGCUUUCACACUUUCUCUAUCACGAUGGCAAUUGGGAUCGAGAGCGAAGACAGGGAUUAGGUAUACAUACCUUCUCCGAUCGCAGAACUUUUUCGCAUUGAAUGACGCUGUGACGCGCUUGUACCCGAAAAUUCGAAUCUGAGGCGAAAGAUUCGAAUUGAGACGAUCAACAAAACCUGGUGGAUCGAUGUAAAAGCGACCAGAAACGACCUGACCCACGGCGCUCACGCCCUUAUCAGUGCGAGCCGAGCGGGCCCAAUCAUAGCGCUUCGAGAGCCCUCGGUCCUGCUCAGGUACGGCUCCGGCGAGAUAUAAGGCUUCUUCAAGGUCAGCUUCAAUGGUUUUAGCGCCAGGGUUCUUCUGCAUCCCUUGGUAACCGACGCCACAGUAGGCAAAAAAAAUGGCAACCUUGCGGCGCUUGUACCUUUGUUUCUUGGGCGCGGCAGAGUUGGAAUUAACAUCUUCGUCGUCGGAUGUGGUGGUUGUAGAUGACAUUUUGAGCUUCUUCGGUUGGGGUUCUUCGAUCAACGGUUGUGGCGGUGACCUUCUGGUUUCAGUUGGCGGUUCUUCUUCCAUUAUAGCCAGGUAGGGAAAUGGUGUGAAGUAGACAUUAGGGUUUUAGAGACCAUCCCAUCCAACAGAUUUUAGUAACUUCCAACUCAAUAAUAUCCAUUUUUCUUUUUAAAUAAUAAUAUUUGGGUUUUUUUUUUUUUCAUCCUUAAACUUUUGAAAUUAUAUUUGUAAUUUUCUAAAUUUUUAAAAAGAAUUGUCAAAAAUAAAAAAGGAAAUUUGUCAAAACUAAAUCAUUUGACAAGAUAUUUAAAAAUAAAAUGUGAUAAAUUUGGUUGGUUUUGUUUGAUUUUUCCUAUUUUCUAUUAAAAAAAAACCAAAUUCAGUAAGUAUUUGUAUUCUGAAAAAUAGAAAAAUUUAGUAAGUAUAUGAAAAAUAAGUGUAGUAAAUUUUGGUAUGCAGUGUAAAUAGUUUUAUUUUUUUUUAUAAGAAAUGAUCCAUUUUGAAAAUAUCAAUGUUAAUCCAUAAAAUUGACAUUCUAUUAGUUUGGUAGUAUAGUCAGUUGUAUCUAAAAACACAUCACGUUUCAUCUAGUUAUUAAGAUCGUGUCUCGUUUUUUAAUGAUGAAUCUACUAUGAUGGUUUAGUACUAUGCAACUCAUAAUUUUAAAACAGACCAGAGUUUAAGGUCCACGAAACAAUAUUAUUUUGGAGUAAUUAUAAACAAAAUUUGAGAGUGAAUGAUUCGUAAUCACAUUUUAAACUUUAGUUUCAUUUAUCUUUGAUACUAUGGGGUGACUUAUUAGUUAGUCAGGUGGGUUAUCUGCUAAAAUUAUUAUCAUUUGAGUCGGUUUAAACUAACUUAUUUUACAAUUCUCUUUACUUCAUGUAUGUAUUCGUUAAUUACUAAAAAAAAAAUUGUGAAAGAGUAAAGAGACUUAUAUCUUGUAAUUCCCUUUGAUCAGUAGCGGAUCCAUAAAUUUUACCUAUGGGCAUUAGACACUAUAAAAUAAACACACUAAAAAAUGUUAAAAACAUAUAUAAACGUUUCACUAAUGCUCCAAUAACAUUCACUGCAUUUGUAACACUAAGUAAUUCCGUCAAUUUUUAUAUGGUUUUUUAAAAUAUAAAUAUAUGAAUUUAAAAUUUGCAUACAAAAAUAAAAAAUAAAGAAUAAUAUAUUUUUCAUAGAACAUUGUGAGGCAGUAAAAGUUUGAAUCAUCGAUUUUGUUAUAUUUUUUAAAAGAAUUUAUUAAAUAAUAAAAGAAGAGCUAUAAAAUAAAUUUUGGUUAUAUACGAAGGUGAACACUUCAAAAUUAAUAUUAAAAUAUAAAAAUCUAUAAUCCAACUGACCGUUGAUAAAUUCACCCUUGCUUUGAUAAUAAUUGAAUAAACAAUCAAGCUCGAACCAACACAAAUGCAUGAAAUUUAAUACAUUGCAUUAUUGUGUUAAAAAGGUAAUAGAUCGACGUUUUAAAAUAGAAUCCGAUAUAUAAAAUAUAGAUUUAAACCAAUAAAUAAAAGGCAAUAUCGUGAUUCAAUUAGCGUACGUUCAAUCGGACGGUCCACUGUUAGUAUUCCAUGAAACUGACUGUUGCUUAACGCUUAAGCCAUUUGCAAAAUGGUCAGAGACGGAACUCCACAUCCCGCACCCCCUCGAUUGGUUCUAGCCAAGAAUCUCGAGCCCACGCGGCUGCAAUUCAAUUGCCUCAUUGCAAAUGGUUCGAACAGAUAAAAUCGUUUCCCUGAACCAGCAGAACCAAGGACGUCGAACCGCGAAGUGAUUGCUUCUUGGUAACGUUUUUCAUUAUUUGCUAAGUAACUUUUAUUCAUCAUCGCCUUAUGUUCUUGCGAUGUUCAAAUGCGGAAUUCUAAUCACAUUACUUAGUGAAGCGUUUUGGUUGUUUAGUUAUUUUCCCAUUAAAUAUGAAUACAAGACGAAUCAUUCUCAAAGCAUCUUUCGUUGUAAUUGCGUUCUUCUUUUACUCCUUUUGAAUUGAGGAUUAUUGCUAGCUAAUCUUAUCUCUUUCUUGAAUUUUUCAGCGGUAAAUGUCUUCGCGCCAAUCUGAAACUGUGAUUUCAGCUGAUUAAUUCGUAUUGUCAAGGUUGUGAACGCAUCUGCUGCAUAGCUAUUUAGAAGUUGAUUUUAGACAAUUUUAAGAAGUGUUUAUAGAUUAUCCAGUUUCAAAUGGAGGAAACGAUUCUCAAAAUGAAUUGUCCACACCACGUCACUAAGAAUUCUGUUAUAAUUCUAGCUCGUUUUCUUAUUGUCUUUUCCGUUGUUGGAGUGGCCAUCUGGAUAACGAAGUUAAGACCACACAAGAUGAUUGAGGUUACACUUUGCAGAUUGUGAUGCUUUUUCAUUUUGGUUGUAGGACUAGGACGUCCCUAUAUUCUGCAACCAAGACGGUUUUCACAAGUUUCUCCCAAGUAUUAUGGGUGACCAUGAUAAUGUAUGCUUCUUGUUUAAUUUGGCAAUUGUUUCCUUGAUGAGUUUUCUGCAUCAGUGUGAUAUGCUUUUAGUUAUAAAUUUGUUGGAAAUUAGAAUAUACAUUAUGAUAUACAAAUUACUUAUUUAUGUUGGAAUUCAGGUUUUUGAUGAAAGCUACGAAAAGACUGAUACUGGUAUGGUUUUUUCUUUGUUUUGACAUUAAAUUUCACAUCAUCGUAUGCUCACGUCAAACUAGUGUUUGUGAAAAGAUCAUACCUCUCUUGGAAGUGAUUUGAAAAGAAAUGUGAAAAGAUCGUAUGCUUAAAAUUUGACUCAAGGAUAAGAAAUUUGAAAAGAAAUAGAUGCUUCUUAGGUGUGAGUACGUUGCAAUAUUUGCUUUUAAUUUACAUAAAAUUUGUGGUUUAUGAAAAGGAUUGAUACACGUGGCCUUGAAAUCAGAGCUGGUUUUUUGCUAUGUAAAUUUUCGUUUGUUUGAAAUUAUCUUAUCAUUUUAAUAAUUUCAGUAUUUCUUUAUGGUCACCUGUAGGGGCAGUGAUACGCAAUGGAAGAGAAAUCCUUUUCCAGGUAGAUGUUACAAUUUCAGCUUUCUGAUUUUUCUCUAGAGCAGAGGUCAGCAGGAAGGAAAAUAUUAUGUUGCUCUUAAUUGAAUUGAAGUCUCGGAAACAAAAAAAGAAAAAAUGUUUGCCGUUUGAAAUCCAUGCUCGAUGUUGUUGAUUCUUUUAAUGUUAAUCGGUUAGAUCAAAUCUCCAGGUCAUGUUAAACUUAUGAGAGAAAUUUUGCACCUAUAAUUUCCAUUGUAAUCACAGGCAUUCAGCUGGGAAUCUCAUAAAUAUGAUUGGUGGGAAAAUCUAGAGAGUAAAGUUCAUGAUAUCGCAAAAAGUGGAUUUACCUCUGCAUGGUUGCCUCCUCCAACUCAUUCCAUUGCUCCUCAAGGUCAAAGGAACAAAUUCAUUUGAAUUUUUAUGUUCCUUUCACGUAUAUGCGUGCAUAACUCUUGAUAUUUUCUUUACAAUUUCAGGUUACCUCCCUCAGAACCUUUACUCCCUAAACUCUUCAUAUGGUUCUGAGGACAUGCUGAAAACUUUACUUCUCAAAAUGAAGCAGUGCAAGGUUAGAGCAAUUGCUGACAUAGUCAUCAAUCAUCGUGUUGGGACUGUUGUAGGACAUGGAGGAAUGCAUAAUCGCUUUGACGGAAUACUAUUACCAUGGAACGAGUAUGCUGUUACCUCGUGUUCUGGUGGCCUGGUAUUUUUCUGUUACAAAUUCCAAGUGUGCUCAUAAUUAUAAGAAAACCUUUGGUCUUUAGUCUGUGGUAUCUGUUCUAGGGCAAUCGUAGCACUGGUGACAACUUCCAUGGGGUUCCAAACAUUGAUCAUACCCAACCUUUUGUCCGUAGAGAUAUCAUAGCAUGGCUGAAGUGGCUACGCAGUAGUGUUGGAUUUCAGGAUUUUCGUUUUGAUUUUGCAAGGGGGUAAUAUUGUCCUUCUCUGUUUGUGUGUGUGUGUAUUUAUAUUGUGGGGUGGCUGGGGCGUUACAGAGGUUCAAGGAUAUAUUGUUCUGAAGAUGACAAGAUCCCUCCUCCUGUUUCAAAGUUUCACUGUAUCAUCUUCUCUACAUUCGGCUUGUCUUUCCUUUUAAGGAGUUCUUCAAUGGAUUAUAACAUACAUUUGCCGUUUGUUUUUAUUUUUUAUGUUUUAACUCAGUUUUUCUGCAAAAUUCGUGAAAGAAUAUAUUGAAGCGGGAAAGCCAAUGCUUUCUAUUGGGGAAUAUUGGGAUUCUUGUAAUUAUAAUGGUCAUGACUUGGACUAUAAUCAAGGUAACAUGAUAAUGCAUUAUGUUGAUAAAUUGAAAUCAUGUUUUCAAGUUUCUGGAUUUUUAGUUUUUCUUAAUGGUUUUGUCCGUGAAUAAUAUCCUAUGUUCGUCCUAUCAAUUCAUGUGUUCCAUAUUGAUGAUUACAACUCUAAAUUCAGAUGGACAUAGACAGCGGAUAAUAAAUUGGAUUGAUGGCACAGGACAACUUUCAGCUGCUUUUGAUUUUACAACUAAGGGAGUCCUUCAGGUAUUGGUGUUGCGUGAGGCCAUUGCUAACUCCCUUCCCUCCUCAAAAUUGUAAUACUACGGACCUCAAAUCUUAAUUACUUAGAAUAGAAAGGAUGAAGUGACAGCCAUGUCAUGGUUUUUUUUCCCUCUAGAUCAGUGGAUCUACAAUGUUUGACUUUUCACAACUCUUCUAUUUGCUUUUUUCUCCUUCUUUAUUGAGUGAUGCUUGGGUUUCGUUAAUAUUUGCUCUUGCUAGUACAUUGCUUGACUAACAUGCAUUUGUUUCCUUGUUUGCUUCGUAAUAAACAUAAUAUAAUUAAUUUUGCUUGUAGGAAGCUGUUAGAAGACAAUUAUGGCGUCUGCGUGACUGUCAAGGAAAGCCACCAGGUGUGAUGGGAUGGUGGCCUUCAAGGGCCGUGACAUUCUUAGAUAAUCAUGAUACCGGUUCAACGCAGGUACCACUUCUUCAAAUCUGUUUGUGAAAUUAUUGGUUGACAAAUUUCAACAUUUGUUUUCAUUGCUCGUUGUGCAUGUGCGUUAUAAAAUUGUCUCAACUUGACCACGUAUCCAUGUCCUUUUAUUUGGAUUAAUAUUUGAGAACACGUGUUUGGAAGUCAUGCCUUGUAUUGAGGAUUGAGUGUGAUCAAACCAUACAUGAAAAUGUCAUAGGAAGCAAGCAGAAAAGUAGUAUCGAUGCAUACCUGAAUGAAGUUGUAAUGUCUGGUUGUUCUACACAGCUUCUAUAUGACCAAAUAUGGUGCCAUUCAGAACAGCUACUGGACUCUGUUCCAUUUGCCUGUGUUGCUAUUAUCUUUUGUAAGAUGCGUAUGUGUUUUUUGCAACAUGUAACUGAGAUUUAUUGGCCAACCUUUCUUUUAUAUAGGUUUGUUCAAAUUGAAGUAAUUCAAACGUAAAUAGUUCUAGGCUUCUAGCAAUCCAACUCUGCAUCUUAAUAAGUAGAUAUCUUUAGAUUAUUAUUUGGAAACUCUUAAUUAAUUUUUUUUCCUAGGUUGAAAUCAAACAUCAGGUGUGCUUUCAAGUAUAGAUAUUGACUUAUGCAGAUCAUGACAGUUAAUGCAACUCGACCUGCUUGGCAAAUGAACUAUAUAAUUCUUCAUAUGUAUUUUCUUGAAAACAUUUAUAUAAGCUGAAAUUGUACCAUUAGAAUGUUGGUGACUCCACUAACCUCAGCAUACCAUUGUUCUUGCAGGCCCAUUGGCCCUUUCCUGCCAACCAUAUCAUGGAGGUAUACAAGUGUGGCAUAUCAUUCCAUUUGCAAUCUCUUUAUUGCUUAUAGUCUUAUUCUUGCUGUGCUGUGGCUUCUUCGUGGUUUUUUGAAGCUCUCAAUUGUUUGGUCCAAUUACUCAUUGUGUAAAAUCUAAUUACCCCCCAUCAGGUGGUCCUCAUUGUUCGCUGUGUGUUUUGAAAGCUUUCAAUUGUUUGUUUCAAUUGAUCCUAUGUACUACUCUCUGUCUACAUUUGAAGUUCGUUUCCUACUUUUAGCUGCAAAUUCUAUGGCUAUAACUGUUCAGUAUGCAUUUAAAAAAAAUACUGUUGAGCACACUAAGCGGUCAAUCUUUGAUGUUUCUGGGUGAAUUUCAUCGAAAGAACUUCAUAAUUAUUUUCUAGCCUUACAAUUGUUACUGCAACUACUUUUAUGCUUGGCCUAGAGUCUUCACUUACCUUCCAGUAAAAAAAAAUUCCAUCAUGCAUCUAUUUUCUGAUUCCUGGAGCUUUGGUUAUUCCCUGCAGGGCUAUGCAUAUAUUCUCACGCACCCAGGGAUACCAACAGUAUUUUAUGACCACUUAUACGAAUGGGGUGACUCAGUGCACGACGAGAUAGUAAGAUUAGUAUGUUGCAUAGUCAAUAAUGCUUCGAUAGAGUUUGUUAUCUUCUAUUCAAGCAAACUUCUCAUAGUACUUAAAUUUUAUUUUUCUUGCAGAUAGACAUUCGAAAACAUCAAGACAUCAACAGUCGGUCAUCUGUGAAGAUCCUCGAGGCACGAUCAGAUCUUUAUUCUGCAAUAAUUGGGGAGAAAUUGUGCAUGAAGAUCGGAGAUGGUUCUUGGUGUCCUUCUGGUACGGAAUGGACUCUUGCAACCUCUGGCUGGAGAUAUGCAGUGUGGCAGAAAUAAGGUUUGGAAAAUUUACCUGCCUUCCCCAACCUUAUAUGCUUCUUUUUGUGCCAUCUGGGACUACCUGUGUAAACUAUAAAUUUUCAUAACAAGUUGGCUACUCAAAGUAUAGUAUCAUAAAUAAAAUCACUGUGGAUGAAAUGUAUUUUUACAUAGUCUAGAUUAAAUCACAUCGCUUAUAUUAUUGUCUUCUGUGUAAUUCUAAAUACACUGUAUGGUUAAGUCUGUUAAUAGAAAUGAUUGUUCUCUUCAAGCAAACUAACCUUCCCCAUUUGGAGCUUUGAGUGCUAUAUAAUAUAUAUGGUGGAGUGCCUCUCGAACAAAGUUUGAUGUACUUGGAUAGUUGGAACUUGGUAGAUAGUUAUUCAUAAUUUGAAUUAUGUAGAUACGUAGUAUGUUUUAAUUUAUAAACUAAAUAUAAACUAAAUACAAAGUUUGAUGUACUUGGAGUGUUUACUUCUUGGAGUACAGUGAUUUAUAAACUUAGAAUUGGAAUAUAAUGAAAAGGAGGCGCUUUGAAGUCCUCUACGAGAUUGGGAUGGUUUGUGGAAUUGAGCUAUGAAGAAAUUUGAGGAGUUACACGUCCUUAGGAAGGCUGUCUUAUUCUUGUUCGGGAACUAUAAUCCGAAUUUUUUUUCUUUAUUGUCUAAACUAAAUAUAGUCGAAUCAUAUUAAAAUAUUUUGUUUGUAAAAAAAUUGUCCUAAAUUACAAACAUGUAAGUAGUAUUUGAAACUUUUAUUGAGUACAAUAUAAUCUCUAUGGGCCAUUCUAUCACAAAUUUUGAAAUGAAGUAGAAUACCUCUCUGCCCAGUCCUUAUUAGGGUUCAUUUCUUAUCACAUGUAGGCCUUCCCUUCAUCAAGUUUCUAUUCACUACGCCUACUGAUGUCUUUAUGUGGGCGUAAGAUUGAGCAAUCAUUGAUUCUUUGGAUAAAUCUUAAGGCAUGGAGGAAGACUAAAGUUAAUAUGAAUGUGCGAAGCUGUGCAUAGGGGAUCCACUGUAUUAGAACUUUAAAUUAAAUUUGGUAUGUAGAUUGAUUGGAAAAGUAGGGAGAGAGUUUAGGGAUAGCAAACUGAAAAAUCAAACAUGGACAUGGUUUGAUCGGCUCAGUUUUAUUUAGUAGGUCGAUUCGAUUCAAUUUCAGUUUGUUGGAUAGUUGGUUAUGAUAUAUCUGAUAUUCCAAAAGGUUAGUCUCGGUAUCGGACUAAAUGGAGUCGAACUAAUCUGUUUGUUCUCUUAAUUCUUAAAGUGUGUGCCACAUAGCAGAAGUGUAGGGAAGAGACGACAAAGCAUCGCCAUCACAAUACCACGGUCAAUCCCCUCAUCAUUUUUGCUUUGAAACUCCAAAAGAUACACAGAACAACGCAACCCUUCCACGGCUUCCCUUAAUCUUGACCUUCAUCCCGUAUAUUGUAUGUAUUAGUUGGGCCAUUAUCAUGUUUAUCAACAGCGAGUCUCUAUAAUUUCUUAUGUAACCUUAUCCUGUGUGGACACUACCUUGUCCCAGUCCUCAAACUCGGACAACUUUGUUUUACCUGUCACUUGAUUAUUCGAUAUAGGCUGAUUAAUUUAUUCACAAGGGGUACUAAUUAAUCACAGUAGCUAGCUAGUUUGCUUUUAUAAAAUUGACUAGUAAAUAUUCAUGAUUCAUCUACUAGCAUCAGCACUAGCACUUUCUAUAUAUCUAUUGGAAAUUAUGAAUUUUUUAUUAUUCAGAAACACAUUCAAACUACUGUCUGAAGCAGCAGUAAAUCUGGCAUUCAUGUGACAGAAUAUUAUCUACCAGUAACAUGGCUGAUUGCAGCAAAAUGAGUCUAAACUUUUUUAUACCAAGCAUUCAUUCUUUUGUUCUCUAACUGCCUUUUCAGAUUCUCUUCGUGCAGGAUUAUAAAGUAGAUUUUUCUUGAGGCUCCAAAUGCAGCAGCCAGCGAUGAACUCUUUCUCUCUGACGUCCACCGCCGGAGCAUAAUUGGGGAUUCUAAGGUAAAGUUAAAAAAUAAAAAAAUUAAAGAACUUAUAACUGUUGAUUUUUUUAUUAUUUUAAUUAUUGUCGUUGAGACAUUUUCAUUACGGCAGAUAUCCACUUUUUAACCACAACGGCUCGCAAUCAUUGAAAACAGUAUGGGAAUCCCAUCCAGUAUCCACCGAGAGCUGUGCAGUAAACAAAAGUGUAAGGCCCACUUGAACAAUAACAAAAUGUUGUUGGUUUUUACUGCUUGCUUGCUGCCUGAUUCUUUGAAUGAAAUUCAACUUUGUGGUUUGGUCAACCAUCCUGAAUUUUAGUUAAGAAAGAGAAAGAAAAUUAGAUGCUUAUAAGCAUGCGUAAGUGAAGUUUUCUAGUGGUCGUCCCUACAAACAAAAUGCCAUAUACACGUUUCCCCAAGGAACAUGGAAGUUGUUGGAAUUUUUGCACCCCAGCCCUAGCAACGAACCACAUGAUCAAAGUCCUUUCCAAGAUUCAAGUAAAGAUCACAUGAAUGUUUUCCCUAUCAACAUUAGACUAAGUGAAGGAUAGUGGGUCAUUUUAGAAUUUUUGACUCAUGUCGGUUUCUACUAUUUAUAAGAAUUUUUUUAGUACCAUUGGAGUAUCAUUGCUUUCUUUCGUUUAUACUAUAAGUUUGCUUUUCUAAAUAUUUGUGGACUCUACUUUAAGGUCACCAAAUUUCGUCCUAUUUUAAAAGCAUAGUAUAGAAAAUUUUCCAACUAUCUAGAAUUCAAAUUCCAGGGUUAUGGUCUAAGAAGAUUGUCUAAGCCAUAGGGUUUAGGAAGCUUUUUGCCUUUGGAGUGUAAGUUUGAAAAACUAUGUGAGAAAGUAAAAGUGGGUUUGUGCACGGUUGAAUCUCGUUAGCUUGCUCAUCAAACCCUAAACUUGACGAAUCCAAAACCAAACAUAAAUUUGAGAUAUUAAAGCGACAUCUACAUAAUUCAAACACCCAAAUAGUGUUCAAAACUUUACCCUUCCAUGAUUAUGAGUUUAGAAGCUUCAAUUUAUGUUGAAUAGGUAGAAAAAUAUAUGUUAUAAAAUGUUAAGUUCGAAUGGUUUUUGGGAUAAAUAAAUUCUAAACAAAAUCACAUGCUAAGAUCGUGUGUUAAAGACUCAAGAAUAAAUUUUUCAAUGGUUGAAAACGUUUCUCUUUCAAUGUUAAAGCCCAAAACUAAAAUGGAAAGCAUGUCAAUUGUCAAACAUGAAAGUACAUUCUUCUUCAAGAAAAAAAAUGUUGAAAGUAAUUUGUUGUUCAUCAUGUUUUUUAUUCUCAAAUUGCCUUUUUUUCUUUUUUCAAGUUUAAUAAGUCGAAAUCAAACGUUUAUUUAAAAUAUUAAUCGGUGAUCUUACGUGAAAAUAUGCUUGAACUAGUUCUUUCAUGCCCAUUUGAUGUUAUUUGGUUUCUUAUAAAAGAAAAGCGUGUUUAUUUUUCUUUUUGCUUCGUUUUCAAAAGAAUCAUAGGCUUAUUUAAACGUGAGUAUUUGAUCUAGUCUAUGUAUCUCGAAUGUGAAAAGACUUAUCAUAACAUGAAUUUCUAGAUAACUAGGUAACUAUGAUAGAUUCAACUUACAAUCUCUUAACUAUUAGACAAAAUGGACCAAUCCAUAAAGUUUAAAAAAUCAUCGAUUUAAUCUUUAAUUAUCAAAAAGUGGUUCAUAAGCUCAGUACUGUUAUUAUUGUUUUAAAGACAAUUAUCAGUAGAAUUCUAAAUUAGUUUUGUUGUUAACCCACUUGCAUAAUCUCCAAUUUUUAGGCUAAAUGUCUCAUGUGUUUCUUCUUCAAAUCUUGUGAGUUUUAUCUUAACGUUCAAAGUCUAGCAAUCAUUUGGUCUAUAAAGAACAUAAUAAUGCUUACAUCCAUCACCAAUGAUGCUUAACAAAUUUCUUAAUCCUUGCAAGCCUCGACGAAUAGUUAAUUCACCAUCUGGCUGAGAAAAAUCAUUAGUUAGCCUUAAUUUUUUUAAAAAAAGUUGAAAAUAAAUAAUAAUUUGUGGAAUAUUAUCACUUUAGUUAGCCUCCAACAACAAUCGACUUAGAAAAAGCAUAGAGUUUUAUUAUAUAUUUAUAUAGUUGAAAAUUAUUUUUUAUAUAUAUACGAUUAUUUAAAUAUUCUUGAUUUUCGUUUUUUGAAAAGUAGAUAUUAUUUUUUAAAAAAUAGUUGAUUGUAUGCAUUCUAAUUAAACUUUAGCUCCAAUGAAUAUAUAAAUCAAUUAUUAAAAGCAACUCUACAUGAUUGGAGUCGGAUGAUAUAGACGCUAAUAUCCCCACCUUAUUUAUAAAAAGGUGAUAUGAAAUUAUGACAAUGUAUGUUAUGUCUUUUUGGCAUUAAACUUUAAGAAAAUCAAUCACCAAUUUUCGACUAUGAUUCUAUAUAGUUUAUUAAUUUGGUAAUGGGAUUUAAAUGUGGCAUGAUUAGUAGUUUGUCUAGCUAUCCAUCAUGGUGAAUUAGUUCUAUUUUAUUUUCAGGAUGGUGUCAUGUUAGCACUUUAUUAUUAAUGUCAAUAUUUAACAACAAAUUGAAGGAACGAUUUAUCAGAACUUUUUUAUAUUACUAAGGUAUAAAGUUCAUUCAGGAAUGUUUACAACAAAUUGUUUCAAUGAAAAAGAAAUGGCAUAUUAAUACAUUUAAUUUUAUUUCAUAGUUCUCGACUUCUUUUUCUCCUUUUUCUAAGAAGCAAAAAGCAUCUCAAUGUAUAAAAAUAAUUGCAAUUUUAUUUACAUAACUUCCUUCAUGUUAUUAUGAAUGACAUGUUUUACGUGAUCUAGUGAAAAGUAGUUUUAAAAGUGUGUGUGAGAGUAUAGGCUAAGAAGCACGAACACUUUAGUUUGGAUAAUGUGUUUGAGUCCAACAUGUAUCUGCUAUCAGUUUAACAUCUAUUGGACAUUUUUAAUGCAACAAAACACUCUAUAGAAUACAUCAAAGUAAGUCUUUUAAACAUAUAAACGUAUCAAUUCGUUAACUAUGAAUUUAAUAUUUUAAUAAGCAUGUCCUUGUCAUGUUGUAUCAAAAAAAUUUAAGAUAUGGUAUGUGAUCGUGUUCGUAUCAAUACUUCUUAGAGUAUAAGGCUUAAUAUACAAGUGGGUUACUAUUUAAUUGAGUAGUGAAAAAUGUAUAGGAAAAAGUGUUGGAAGGAUGAUGGAGUAAAGGAGGGAAGAGAGAAAAAAAUCAGGGAGGUGGUGAUGAUGAGAUCUGGGGAGCAAUCUUGAGACAAGAUAGGGGAGAGGUUGGGAAGGGGAUGAUUCGGCAGUGUCCUCCUCGCUGGGAGACCCAUUGGGUAAAGCUUAAGAGCCAAGAGGAAAACGGAAUCUUUGGGUUAAUAGAAUACAUGUAUUUGAUUCCUAACAUUUUUUAUUAGUCAUUUUAGUUUUUAAGCUAUAUAUAUAUAUAUAUACACGGUAAUCUAGGAGUCUUUUUUUAAUGAAAUUAAAUUUUGUAUUUCUAGUGGAUAGGAUACGACUCUUAAGCGAGAUUAAGAGGUACAAAUCUUCGAGAUGGAAUAUGAUUAUAAUUUGAGCGUAUGUAUUUGUUUGAGUUCAACAAAGAUUGAUAUAUCGACGGGUUACGACUAUUUUGAUAGAUAUGGUUGCGUAUUGAUAUGUUUGAUUGUUUCAAUUUUGAGUAUAUGUUUGUAUAAUAAAAAAAAUUGUAUUAUUUAUACAUAGAUAUUGUGCAUGAUUGAGAAAUAAAGCAUUUCUAGAAUUUGCAUUUGAGUUUUUUUCUUAAUUAUUGACUUUAGCAUCUUCCCAUGCAUUUCACAUAAAAUGGCUUAAUAAAAUAAUAAUUAGAUUUAAACAUAAGAUUGAUGUGAUAACAUAACUUAAAAAGUACAUUUGUAUUCAUACUUUUGACGUGACGAAAAAAUAUAAUGUUAACAUAUUGUUUUGUAAGUUGUAAAAACUAUUUAGGUCAAUAAUUAUUAGUAUUCCUAGUCAUACUUGUCAAAUAGAGUCCACUUUCUUAUGUCACACAACCUUUUAGAACAAUGUCUAUCGAUGAUCAUUUCUCGGGUUAUUUGAGUCUUCAACUUCUAAGUGAAGUCGAUGAGGAUGAAGUAUACAAACUUCAAUUGAUAGUUAGUGUUUGUAAUUAUUUCAAAUUUAUCUUUGUUAUAUCUAGUAUUUACCGUUUCUUAUCUAUCUUCUAAAAUAAUUUAUACAAAAUACUAUAAUGCCGGAUCGAGCGAGUUAGGGUGGGAAAGAAAUAGGGAUCUACUAAAAUAGUAAGCAUUUCUAGAUUAAAUAACCACUCUAACUAUAAUAAUCAAUCCAACUUUCUAAAACACUCCUUAGUUUAGAUAUUGGCCAAAUGAGAACGAGAGGAAUCCGUUGGUGGGGAAAUUCCAAAUCUACAAACUGCAAAAAGAAAAACAAUUAAGAGUUAAAACGAGAACGAAAGGAAUCAAUGGACGUUGGUCUUGAAAAAAUCCAAAUCGACAAAUUGUAAAAAGAAAAAAAAAUUAAAAUUAAAUCGAUCAAUCGAUUUUUGGUAAUGGAUGGUGAGGAUGGAUUCGAACAUUUGGCAUAAGAGGUAUGGAUUUGAAGGUAGACGGAUAGGCGUCGUGGGAAGGAAUUGUUGAUUUUGGGGGGAUCGAUCUCGUCUCUCCCUCCUUCGUCCCCGUGAUUCAAUCAUGGCUUUGUGUCAGUGACUACAGCACACAUCUCUCUUUUCUUUCUUCCCUCCAGCAUUACUUCUGUUUCCUGUGUGUUAUUACAUCAGACAAAAACAAAACCAAACCGAAUUCCAAAGACACAAUACUCUUUGUUUACUAUUAUAAUUUCAUAGAAAGAAAGAAAGAAAGAAAAAACAAAACCCACUCCAUUCCAUUCCUCUUUACAUGAUUUUGAAACUCUGCUGAAUUCAAUGCGAGUCGUUGGUGGUAGAUUUCAACCCAUUUAAAAUUUCUCACAUAAUAAUAAAUAUCAUAGAGAGAAACAUAUAAAGGAUGUUGGUUGCUUUCAUAAAUGAGCCAUACACAGACACCAACACUCAUACAUAUUGGUGCGACUUUUGUUUUCUUUUGCUUUCCUUUCCUUUUCUAUCUUCUUUUCAUUUUAACCCAUUUUCCCUUCUCUUUGAUAAUGACCUUUCACUCGACAAAAUGGACCAUUCCCCCCCUCCCCUUCCCUAUUCCUAUUCCUAACCUUCUCUCUCUCUCUCUCUCUCUCUCUCUUCUUUAACUAACCAUCCCACUGUCAAAUUUGAAUUCCUUGACCUUACAAAUUCAUAGAGACUUUGAAAGUUGAUGCUUUAGGGUGUGAAUUGAUAUUAUAUCUUUUCCUUUCUCAUUUUCUUAUCAACUUGAUUGUGGUUUUAGUGUAUUUGUGCAUGUCAUGCUCAUGCCUUUAUUUUUCAACAGUGGCAGUGGGUAAGGUUUUUAUUUUGGUUUCCUUAUUUGUAAUGUAUACAGUACUUUAAACACAGAUAUCUUUUUAGAGUAUAAUGAAUUGAACUUGUUAUAAUUCAUGAAUGGGAGUCCAAAUUUGUUCCUUUUUUCAGACCACUGGUUAAUUACUGGUUAAGGGUUUUUAUAAUUAUUGCCAGUUUUUAUGGGUUCCAUAUUUUGUGAUUCAGUGCUUAUUUCUUGUAAGAUAUAUGAUCAUUAAUUACUAUUACUUUAGUGUUCAUUCUACCUUGUUUAAUAACUUUAAUUAUUCAUAACUUACUGUUUCCAUACCAUCUUCCUUCCUAUACUUAAAUUAGUGUCUAAUUUUAAUCUUUAUAAUCUUUAUAUUUUAAAUAUUUUUUCAAUUUAGUCUCCAAUGCUAGUUUAUUGGGUUCAUUUUUCACUUUUUUUUUUUUCUUUUUGUGUUACAUAAACAUUUUAAAAGUAUAUGAAAGUUUUUACAACAAGUAUCGAAGAGCUUGCAAAAAUAACAAAAAAAAAAUUAUGAUAAUAAAACACAUGUCCAUAUAUUUGUUAAAUCUCAUUGUUUAAUAUGUAAUAUUAAUAAUGUAUUUGAAUUACAAUUUUAAUUGUUCAAUUUAAAAAAUAAGUUAUUUUAUAUUUUAAACAACUUUUAGAAAAAUAGUUUAAACAAAAAUGAGUUCGUUAACAAAUGGUAAGCUUAAUAUUUUAAGUUCAGUGAAAAUGUUGAAUUAGGGAGGUAAGUUGUAAGCAACUAAACCAAUUGGGUGAAAAAGGAAAUGAAAGUAAUUUAUGUUUAGUUGGUAAAAAGAAAUACUUUUACAGUUGUAAUCAUUAUAACAAAGUCCCAUAUAGAGAGAGAUAGUUUGGUUGUUCCAUGUUCCCCCUUUUGUUGUAUGUGAAAUGAAAACACAAAGAAAAGGAAGUCAGAAGAGAAGAAGAAGAAGAAGGAGUAGGAGGAGGAAGAGGGGGAAAUUGCAGUUUUGAAAAUGCUUUGUGAAACGGACCUAAUGAAUAAUUAUAAAUAAUAAUAUACCAAUACACAAGUGAGUGUGGGUCCCACCCAACACCGACUUCCUCUUUGCUUAAUCAAACUUCUAACAUUUUUUCUUUUAUUUUACAAAUUUACAAAUUUUAAAAAAUAUAAUCGUACUCUAUAAAUUUGUUAUUUUUGUAAUUUUGAAAAUGCGAGGGAUGUAGGCUUUAUCGUCAUAAAAUUUCUUUUGCUAUUUUUGCAAACUUCAUAUUUUCUUUCGUUCUCUCUCAACAAAUACUCCUAUUUUUUCUAAGGUCUGAUACCUAUAAUAAGAGACAAUUAUAAUUGAUUACAAUUUUAUAAAUAAUAAUUAGAAAAUUUGCAUCAAAUGACAAAAAUAUUUGGAAAAAGUCGUAUGUGACACUUAUUUAUUUAUUUUUUUUGCAUAUUGCGAAUAUGACAAAAUUAGUGUUAUCAUACGGUAAUCACAAGGUUAUCGACUUUUAAAUUUACCACUUUUGUAUUUUAGAAAUUGCAGUGAUAUGAACUUUAUUAUCAUACAUUUUUUUUUUGCUAUUUUUGCAAUUACCCCUAAUAAUUGAGUAUAUAACAACAAUUUUAAAAAUUGCAAUGGACUUGUAUUGCUAAUAGACGGUCUAUCAGUGAUGAUCAAUAUUUGCAAUAUGAUUUAUGACUUUUAUUAUUAAUAAACUUUGAUGUAUUUUGCUAUGUUUGUAAAUUUUUUAUAAUGUUGCUAUUUACUUAAUUAGUUUGAUCUAGUUGCUAUAUUUGUACAUAUUCCUAUAAUAAAAUUAUUUAUUUUGAUCCAUAUUUAAGAAAAUAAAAUUAUGUUGAAAUAAAUAAUUAUAUUAAUAUUUUACACUUUAUUGUUUACGUCGUUGAUGACAUUUCGUUACGUUUGUUUUCUUUUCGUAUGUUUCUUGAAAUUUUGUAUGAUAUAACUAAAAUAUUGAUUUCACCUCUAAAUUCAAAGAAGGUAUAUGUUGACAAAAUGCAACGUUGCAAAUACAUUCCAAACCAUGUUUAUAUCAAAUCGUACCUAAUUGUUGUUAAAAAUAUAUAUCUCUAUGUUAUUAAUGGUAAUGUCAUUUUGGUUUUUUUUUUUUUUUUUUUACUUUCAUGUUUGAUUAAUUUUAGUUAUUGUGUGUUUUUGGUUUGUUAUUUAAUACAACUUUUGCAAAGAUGAAAUUUGAGUUCGAGAACUUAAUUCUACGUUAAUUAAAUGUAUUAUAACUAAAAUUGAAUAAAACUCGAAAUUCUAAGAUAAAAAAUGCAUUUUAAUUAGUCAUACUAUUGCAAAUCAAAAGAUUGUGCAUUGAGAUUAGAAAUCAAUACUGCUAUUGAUUGUUUGCGUUGGUAUGAACGUUUUAAUUUUCCAUUGACCAUAUAAUGUUAUGUUAUGUUAUUCAUUAAAUAUUUAACACAUUUAGUUUGAAUGUUGAAAAUCCUGCCGUAUUUUGACUGAAAACGUUGAUUAAACGUGCAUAACCAAUAUCAUGAUCAAUGCUUAUUCUUUUUUUUUUUUUCGUUCUCGAUGUAAUUUGAAUAGAACAAUUACGUAUUGCGUUCUUUAGCACUACAAUUCUUUCCAAUAGUCAGAUUGUUUACAACUUAUAUUGAAACGUAAUUGAUGGUAUACUUGUGCUUUUGUAAUAGUGGAGGGUUGACAUUUUUUUUAGUGUAUCUCGAUCAACGAAAAAAGGGUUUUCUUUUUUUCUUUUUCAUUUUUUAAUUAUAGUUUGGGGGCAUCUUUUCAAAACAUAGUAAUUUUUCUCUCACAUUUUAACCCUAAAGAAAUACACAAGUUUCUUAACAAAAGUUUACAAUGCUUUGAGUUUUAUCAAAAUACCAUUUAAAUUCUAUAAUUUUCUUUCCAUGUAUUUCUUAUAUUAGAUGACAUACAUGUUUUUUUUAAAAGUAUAAUACUAUAAGUACAUAAUUAUUUCGAUAAAGAUGAGGCAAAAACUUUAAUAUAAAACCAAAAUGAAAUUAAUAUGAAAGCAAGGGUUACUAAUUAUUGUUAUUAUCUUCAACCUUGUGAGAUUAGGAAGUUUGAAGUCAACAACCCUAAUUAAUAUUUUUAACCAAUAGUAAGUUUAGGGUAAUAAAGUCAAAUUAAUCAACUUAAAUCAUAGAAAAAGCUUAUGAACAAAAAAAGAAAAAUGAUGUCAUUUAAAGACAAAUUUUAGUGUUAUUUUCAUAUGUUAUAUCAGUAUAGAAUGAAUAUAAUGGUCAAGCAGCAAUAUGAAAAGGGUUUUGAUAUAUAUAUAUAGAGAGAGAGAGAUGA